Molecule: long non-coding RNA, 102905 nt
Filed under: Malus domestica (apple)
Lineage: Eukaryota; Viridiplantae; Streptophyta; Magnoliopsida; Rosales; Rosaceae
Description: long non-coding RNA (MDOM_LNC012124)
Source: RNAcentral
UUUUAAGAAGAUUGAAAUUUAAAAUAAACUUGGUGUUAGAUUACAUAUUAAUUAUAAUCCCUUGAUGUGUUCUUAAUUCAAAAUAAUUAAUGUGCAUUUUAUUUAUUGUCUUCCAUUAAAGAUUUAAAUUUAUUAAUAUACAAAUUUUAAUUUAUUUUUUCACCAAAAAAGAGUUUUUUAAUUUCUUAAUUUUAUUUAAUAUUCUUCAAACUUGAAAGACUCAAUUAAUUAUCUAAAUGUUAGUACCGAAACUAAUGUAUUUAAAUGUUAGUACCAAAAUAUAUUAUAUUAAAUUAAUGUACCUAAAUGUGCGUACUGAAAUGUAUGCACCGAAAUGUAUUAUAUUGAAUUAAUGUACCCAAAAUGUUUGUAUCAAAAUGUAUGUACCGAAAUGUGUGUACCUAAAUGUAUGCAUUGAAAUGUAUUAUAAUGAAUUUAAUGUACCUAAAUGAAGAAGACAAAGUACAUCGAAAUAUAUUGUAUAACAAAAAUUUAUUUAUCUAAAUGUUUACAACAAAAUAUAUUACGACAAAAGAAAUGAAAAUUAUAAUUAUAAUGAAAAAAAAUUAUACAUUAAAAAUUAGGAAGAAAAAGAGAAAUAAUUAAAAAAAUAAAAAUAUAAUUGAUAAAUGAGGUUAUUAAUGUAUCAAGGGACUAAAAUUAGAUUUUUAUCUUACUUAUGGUUUUAAUCUAAAAGUCAUCUUUGCCAAGGAUUAAAAUGAAGUUUUCUAAGAAAAUAAUGUGGGUCCAAAUAAAGUUUUCAAGAAUAAUUUCUACCGAACGAGUCAAACUGACCCUAAAAGCGCUUCUAACAAAAACUAUUAAGAACUUGAUCACACAAAAAAUAACUAAAACUAUUAUGAACAAUUUUGGUUUUUACAAAAAACACACACAAACCAGGCCCUUGAUCUUGAACGAGCAAAUUACGUUUCACAAUUGUAGUAUGGUGCAAGUGCCUAACAUGUCUAAGUGGAACCCAAAUAAAUGGGUUUGGGCCUACAGUUUAGGAUAUGCUUAAGCUUGAAUUUAAGCACCAGCGAAGGCAUCUACCGUUCAUGGUUUCUUAGUUAUUCGUUUAAACAACAAGCCAAACAUUAACAUAUUAUCUAAUAACAAAUAUCUCCUUUCGUUGACUUCACUAAUUACUAUUUAAUUGUAAUUAAGAUUUUGGGAGUCUACCAAAUGUCAGUGUCAAUCCAUUUAAAAGAAAGAAGGGUCCAUGAAAUAUUUUAAACCCUCAGUCACACUCACCAGGGCUGAAGUUGGCAACGUCCCUUAACCACUCCACUUUGUUUUGGAGUGUGAUGCUUCUCAAGUGGUCUGCCAUAUCUAAUCCACAACAAGUGGCCUUCGGUUCUUUGAUUGAGGAUGCCAAAGCUCAGGCGUAUGAGUGGCAGGAAGUGGACUUUCUGCACGUCAUUGUAACGGUGUUGCAUGCACACUGGUUAGCUAAAAUUUGCUUUAUUUAUAAACUAUUUGUUGAAAGUAUCAAUUUCACAUCGGGACAAGAGGGAUAUUGAAUGUAUUUAUAAGUAGUUGAUCUACUUCUUAUAUUGCCAGCAGGUUACCCCGUGUGUGAAGCCAAACGUACACUCGUGCUCCACGUCAUCCGAUUUGUGUUGUCCACGUGCUAAUCUUGAAAGUUUGCCACACGUGAGGGAGUGUGUUGAGAGUAUCAAUCCAUAUCAAGAAAAUGAGGAACAUUGCAUGUGCUUAUAGGUAGUUAGGUUAUUUCCAUAUUGCCAAUUAGUUUUCAGAGAGAACCUCAUCUUUCCUCACUACUAUAUAAUUUGGUUCGAGGAUACCUCCCAACCUUAUUUAGGACGUCCUCAUCCAAGAUCUUUAAGUGUACUUCUGCAUAUGUUUUAAUAAAGGCAUUACCUAAAAAAGAAAAAGAAAAAAAACUAAUGAAAAAGGGUUUCAAAACUUUGAGUUUUUAUUUAUUGAUAAGGACAAUAGAUGAAAAAGAAAAGAAACAAAAACUAAUCCAACCCAAAGCACGUGCAAGCGCACACAAGCAGUGCAAAAGCAAGCAUCUACCAAUUCAACAGAAAACCAACAUGCAGUGCAAAAGCAGCACACUAAUUACUUUUUUUAAAUAUUUCAUCAGGAAGGAAAAGGUUUAGAGAGAGAGAGAGAGAGAGAGAAUGUGAGGGUAGAGAGAAGAGAAAGCCAAGCAAAUCCAUUCAAACUGAAAUCAACAGACCACAAAAAUUUUCACCAAGAGAAAGAGAUUUGAGAGAAAAAAUAUGCAGUGCCUAUUGACAUCAAUACAUGACUACCACUCAACCCUACAUGUGGGGUAGCCUCACAUCAUCACCCCAUGUUCAAACGAUGGAAUUAUUUAUUAAUUUUAACCCUAGCCAGCUAAAACUUAAAAGUAAGGAAUAUUAGAAUAUGAUCCCCAAUGAAAGCACAUUUAGCUUUUCUGAUGCUUUUGAUCUAUCAUUUAUGCUUUUGUUGUUAAUUUUGUAUUGAAUAAAUUCAAGGAAAGUCAAAUAAAUUGAUUGAGAGAAAUAUUAAAAAAAAAUAUAGGAAUGUGAAAAUCAUUAUUCUAACUCUGUAAGAAUAUAAGCAUUAUUGCCAAUGAUUCAUAUGAUAAUGAGAAGAGAGCUUCAAAUUUUGACCCUCUUUUAGUGUUCAGUUUAGAAAAUAGUCAGUGUUCAGCAUAAAAAACAGUGGUAGUACUAGUGUUCGGUUUAAAAAUAGUCAGUGUUUAGUUUACGAAAUAAUUAGUGUUUGGUUUAAGAAAUAACCAGUGUUUAGUUUAUGAAAUAGUGAUAGUACUAGUUUACGAAAUAGUGAUAAUAAUAGUGUGCGGUUUAAAAAUAGUCAGUGUUUAGUUUACGAAAUAAUUAGUGUUUGGUUUAAGAAAUAACCAGUGUUUAGUUUACGAAAUAGUGAUAGUACUAGUUUACGAAAUAGUGAUAAUAUUAGUGUUCGGUUUAAGAAAUGGUCAGUGUUUGGUUUAUGAAAUAGUGAUAGUAUUAGCAUUCAAUUUAAGAAAUAGUCAGUAUUUAGUUUACGAAAUAAUUAGUGUUUGGUUUAAGAAAUAACCAGUGUUUAGUUUAUGAAAUAGUGAUAGUAGUGUAUAGUUUAGUGAAAUAGUCUAGUUUACGAAAUAGUGAUAAUACUAGUGUGCGGUUUAAAAAUAGUCAGUGUUUAGUUUACGAAAUAGUUAGUGUUUGGUUUAAGAAAUAACCAGUGUUUAGUUUACGAAAUAGUGAUAGUACUAGUUUACGAAAUAGUGAUAGUACUAGUUUACGAAAUAGUGAUAAUAUUAGUGUUCGGUUUAAGAAAUGGUCAGUGUUUGGUUUAUGAAAUAGUGAUAGUAUUAGCGUUCAAGGGUCGUCGGGGUUUGAUCUUGAGUUGGUGAUUGUUUGUUGAUCUAAAGGGCCGUUGGGGCUUGAUCUUGGAAGAACGAUGAACGAAGAAUGAAGAAGGCUUUCUUGAUUCUUCGGGAACCUGGAUGCUUGAGAGCUUCGGAGUUUCAGAGCUUCAGAGCUUCAAGGUGUAAUAUGAAUUGGUUCCCCUCAAAUGAAUGAAUUAGCCUUCUAUUUAUAGAAAUUUCCAAGGCCUAAUUUUGAAUAUAAUAUUCCAGGUGAAAUAAGUCGUUUCUGCCAGGUGUUGACACGUGUCCUGUUUGAUGACUUUUCCAACUUAUUUCGAUUUUUUGUUUAGACACACGCUACGUGUAAAAUUUAUGUAAUACAUGAGCGUUGAAACUUUGAUUUAUCGGUCAACAUUUAUUUACCGAAAUUUCGAUGUCUACAGUUUAGUUUAAGAGGUAGUCAAUGUUUAGUUUAAGAAAUAGUGACAGUUUAAUGUUUAUAAAACUGAAUAAUGAAUUUUUUAUUUAUUUUUGGUCUUGUAAUAUUAGUUUGUUCUAAAAACAUUAUGAAAGAAUGGUCAAAUAAUAAAAUAAUAAAAUAAAAAGUAAAAAAUAAAUUGUUUAUGGAGUGAGAAUAGGUGACAUGAGAGAGCGGGGAGAGGUGAAAGGAAAGAGGAGAGAAAAAGUUGGUGUCAAUGUGUGAAGUGAAAGGAGAGAGAAAAUUGAUGGGACGUGAGAGGGGGGAUUCGGGGGGAGAGAGAAGGAGGUUGAAUGGUGUAGGGAGUGAGGGAGGACGGGUGUGUGUGUGAUGUGAUGCGCAUGACCCGCUCGUCAAUAUUUGUUCUUUUUUUUUUAGUAUGUUAAACUUUUGUCAUUUUCAUUAAAACAAAGUUUAAGCCUUUUUUUAUUAAAUAAAGUUAAUAAAUGAUUUUUUGUCAAUUAAAAGUUUAAAUAAGACAUUUUCAUUAAAACUCACUAAAAUAAAAGGAAAGCUCAACAAAAAUAGAAAAUUUUCUCAAGUUUUGAUUUGCUACACUGGAUGACUGAUGUUGAGUUUAAUAUAAAACUAUAUUUAAACAUUUGGAGGAAAAUGAAAAAUAAAAAGUCAUCCCAUAUAUGACACACUCCGACCCGGAAUGUCCACUAGGACUCCAAAUCGAUUUGUGAUGGCCGACACCUGGAAGGUGACAUAGCCAUAAAAUGUGAUGAUGUGGGAAAAUAUGAAUAAAUUUAAACCUAAGAGUGCCUAAUUACCAGAGUACACCUGUGAGCAGGAAUGAACCCACUUCACAUGUGACGUUGGAGUAUAAACAAGUACAGAAGAGUGAAUUAAGAAUCGUACCCUCGAAAUAAUCUCCAAUACUAAAAAUCGCCACGAAUCUUCGACGAUAAGAAAGCUCAGCUAAUAAAACCUGGAGGGUGAAGACAAGACAAAGGUGAGUGACCCUGUAAAUAAAAUUUUAAUAUAACCCAUAUAAAACAUUAUAACCCCUCGCUACAACACCUGUAUAAUUUUCAGAAAGAUAUCAUAAAUAUACCACAAUACAGCAUCUCAUCAGCAAUAUCAAAUAAUCAUGUGAUUAAUAACUCAUACCAGUACGCAAGUCGAAGUCACCUAUGGUGACCUGUACGACCUACCCAUAUCUCAUCACAUAUACUAGUUCAUCUUAUAUUUCAUCACAUAUGCUAGCUUAUCGCAUAUUCAUCACAUAUGCUAGCUCAUCACAUAUUCAUCACAUAUGCCCAUAUCUCAUCACAUAUACUAGUUCAUCAUAUAUUUCAUCACAUAUGCUAGCUCAUCACAUAUUCAUCACAUAUGCUAGCUUAUCGCAUUUUCAUCACAUAUGCUAGCUCAUCACAUAUUCAAAUAAUAUGUCAACUGGAUCCACCUCUUGUGGCCUGUACGACUUAUCCAUAUCUCCUCAUAAAUAUAUAUGCUAACAUUUCAUCACAUAUCUCAUCAUAAAUAUAUGCUAGCAUCUCAUCAUAUAUCAUCACAUAUAUGCUAGCAUCUCAUCACGUAUCUCAUCAUAAAUAUAUGCUAGCAUCUCAUCACAUAUCUCAUCAUAAAUAUAUGCUAGCAUUUCAUCACAUAUCUCAUCAUAAAUAUAUGCUAGCAUCUCAUCAUAUAUCAUCACAUAUAUGCUAGCAUCUCAUCACAUAUACUAGUCGGAGUCACUUCACGUGACAUGUACAGCUGAAUCAAUAUCUCAUCAACAUACUCACUACCAUCACUAUCAUUAACAUGUACUCACCUGAAGCUUACCUGGGCGUCCGCAACAUCAUUUGGCACUUCGAAGCAUUCACAAUAAUUAGGUUUAGGUAAUACACAUGUGAAUAUGUCAUGAAGCAAUCUAAAACUCAACUAUAACAAAGUAGUUUCAAGUAUAUAUAUAACAUGGUGUGAAAUGCAUAAUCUGUAACGUCCCAUUUCCAAACUAUUUAUUUUUGGGAAUAAUUAUCGGCAAUAAGCCUAAUUAGACACUAGUUUAAUUAACUAAUAUUACUUACGUUUCCUUACUUUCAAUUCCUUGAUUCUUCACACAUUGAUUUAUGAACAACAAUUAACUACCAAAUCAUAAGGUUAAUUCUCACAUUUUCCACCAAUGUCCCUCACAUUGUUCAAUUCCCCAAACAAGGCUAUUGUCCCAAUUAUUUAGUCUCAUUUAUUAUAUGGUUGCAUCUAACGUCUCGUUAGACUGCCUACGUACCCUAAACAGGGAUCAAGCCAUUCGUAGUUCGCAAUAAUCAUUUAUAGUAAUACGCAUAUGGAUAUAUCACGAUGAAAUCUAAACUCAACCAUCUCAUAGUAUUUUAUAACAUAUACAUAUAUAUAUAUAUAUAUAUAUAUGUCAUGGCAUAAAUUUCUCAGUUUUAUUUAAAAGCAUUUAUAGAAUUAUCAAUCAUGAAAAAUAUGAUAAGCAAGGAAAGAUCCACUUACCUGGAGUCCGCACUACAACUUCCUAGCACAAAUAUCGAGGCGUCACAAACGAUCGGCGCAUGUGACCAAUUAUCAAACCAUAUCUCAGAAUUCUUGUUCAUACAAUACAUAACUUACAUCACACAUGAGUCUACGUAAUUCGGUCCAGAAGAUCUACAAAUCAGAUCUCUGAUUUGUAACUUCCAAAGAUUCACAUUAUGCUUCUAGAAUAACAUACUAAAGUUUUAGAAUGAUCCAACGGUCGAAUCUCUGCCAAUUGCCAAAACCAAGUGGCAGUUAAUAUUUUAUUUUACGAACUUACAAAUCCAAUUCGAAAAGAUCUGUACGUCGUAUUCCUCAAAUAUUAUGAAUAAUAACCUAUUAAAGUUUGAUGACGAUCCAACGGUCGGAUCGUCGAUUCAUAUAAUGGCCUAUUAACGUAUUUUAGAGAAUUUUGGUUCUAACGAUCAAUCUACGUCAUUCAAUUAUCAAAAAUGAAUUCAAGGCAUCAAAUAUAGCCUAAAAAUAGCAUUGGCGGCCCUCUGGCCACGCGCCGCCGCACGUGCCACCGUGAGUGGCGGUUGGCCGCCCCGACUCGCCGAAAAAAUCAGCUAUCUCUAAAAGUUACCAAAAUUUUCAGAUUUUCAGAUCUCAAUGAGUAGAACAACUUUCAUACCUGUGACCAAGGCCAAUUUGGCCUGGAAAGGCUCCAAUUUCAUCAAACCCGUCGAAACCCUAGAAUUGGGUGUGCUUCGAUUUGACCUCUAAACGUGUUCCGACACCUCCACCACUAAUUGGGAUUUGUUCCUGGGUUCUAGGGGAGUGUUUUAGUGGUGGUACUUGAAGGGAAGGGUUUCACAAUUAGUGGAUCCCGAGCAAGGUCUCGCGGCACCCCCGUGGGAUAUUGUGUAAAUUCCACCCCAAAUCCCUUCCAAAUUUGAAUGGAAAUGGAAGAGGAAAGGACUAGGUGAUGAUUAGGAGUAGCGGUUUGGUCCAAUUCGUGGGAAAUCCGGUGGAAAACCACCGGAAAAUAUGGAGAAAUGGACUGGGUUUGCACGGGUCACGGGUUGGGAACCUGUUUCACCCUUUUUCCCCGUUCUUCACUCUCCUUCCUUUCCCUCCUUUCUUCUCCCCCUGAUUGGUCCCUCACUUCUCUCUUCUCUCUGGUUGGCCCAACUCCUCCCUCUCUCCUGUUCUGAUUGGGCGGCUCUGCCCAGUUCUUUCUCCUCUCCCGUUUCCCCCCUUUUUCUUUCCUCUUUUUCCCACUCUUUUUAAAUCACUAAAAUGAUAAAUAAAACAGAUACCUAAGAAAAUAUAUACAUAUAUAUAUAUAUACACACACACAUAUAAAUAGUGAUCAAACCAAAAGUACUUCAAGAAAACGCUAAUGGAUUAAUUCAUACACUUCGCUAUACAUUGAUCAACGAAAGUCAAUACCCCCGCCUUUAAGGGCAUUUUUGUAAAAUCAUGUUUUUAAAAUUAAUAGAAUUGUAAAAUUUGGGACGGGUUGUCACAAUAUACAAGGAUGACCGAAACACAUUUUAGAGCAUCUCCAAUGUAAGUGAGCAUUUUUGCUCAGUACCAUUAACUCUAGGGUAUGCUCACCACCCAUCUUAUAGCUUACCAUGUGUCUCACUAACUAACCAAAGUUAACUUUAAUAUUACAUAUUUAAAAAAAAAAUUAAACAAGGGUAUUGUUAUUGGUACUUCAAAAUUGUCAUUUUGCACUCCAAAAAUUUUAUCUUUAAAAAGAAAAAUACAUUUGUGAGGAGUGUAAAAUGAGAUUUUUGGAGUGUUAGUAACAAUUAUUUUGGGGCCCAAAAGAUCGGGGGCACCAAAUUUAUUUAGGGUGUUAUAUCCAUAUAUAAUUUCAUAAGAGUAUAAAUUUAUAAAAUUUGGUUAAAUGAUAAGUAGUUUAAUUAGAACUAGUGGUUUAUGUUGUUCAAAUGUAACAAGGAGGUCUCGGGUUCAAAUUGCUAUAUGUUUAUUUACUUUCUAAUUUUUACAAAUUUUUUUUUAUAAGGUUAUAAAUUUAUAAAAUUUGGUUAAAUGAUUAAGAAGUUUAACUAAAAGUGGUGGUUCUUGAUGCUUAAAAUUAACAAGGAGGUCCCAAGUUCAAAAUGUUAUGUGUGUUUUUUUUUUUUUUUUUUCAUUUUUUAUGAAUUUCUUUUCAUAAGAGUCUAAAUUUUUAAAAUUAUGGAAUUCCUUUUCAUAAGAGUAUAAAUUUUUAAAAUUUUUACCAAUUUCUAUUUGGUUGUUAAUUUCUUUUUAAUUGCUAGCUAGUAGAUAUGUGGGCUACAAUUUUUAGACAUUCAUUCCAAUUCAAGUUUAAUCUUCAACAAAGAGUAAUGCAUAGACAAAUUUUUAGACCAAAUUUGCAACACAUAUGACGUGUCACUAAUAAGAAAUAAGCACGCUAAUCAACACUUAAGUAAUAUUCCAAUCAUCAACAAUUACAUCAUACUGUUUACAAAAUUUGGUUUAAAAAUUUGGUAUCCUUAGCAUUAGCCUUCGAGUAAUUAAUGGAUGCAUGUCUCAUUCAUUGCCUAUAUAUAUCAACUAAAGAUUCGGAAAUAUAAUUGUUUUUUUAGUCCAUAUUGACAAGGUUAGUAAAUAAGAAAAAACAUCUCACGAGUUAUAUAAAAACACUUUAAAAGUUCAAAUAGAAGCGAAACAAAACUUUGGAUAAAUUACACUUUACCACCUCAUGUUUGAGGUUUAUUGCAACCUCAUACAACAUCUUCAAAAAAUUUCACUUUUAUACCUCACGUACUAUUUUAUUUCAAUAUAAUACCUCCGUUACAUUCUUCAUCCAUUGGUCCGUUAAGAGUUGACGUGGCAAUAGUGGACCUCAUUACACGUCAGCCCAUUCAUUCCAAAACUUGGACACGUAGAUAUCCAUCUGUCACGUCAUAAAAAAAACUUAAAUACACAAUUAAAUUAAAACAAAAUGAAAAGGGGCCCACCCCUUUUCUUCCACCCUACCACAAGGCCUCAAUCUCCUCCAAUCUCCAUAACCACUAGCGCACCACCCCUUCCAAUCUCUAAACCCUCAUUAUCUAAUUCUCCAAAUUCUUCUUCUUCCCCAAAUCUCUAUAAAAAAAUCUCUCUAUUUUCGCUCUCAAUCCGAAAAAAAACCCCCAAAAAUUUCAUGGAUUUCGAAAUUUAUUUCCCAAAAUUCAAAACCAUCAUCUUCACCCAAGCCAAUGGUGGAGAGGCUUCUGAAGACGAAGAAGGCAACAUGCAAGGCUCUAAUCGGACUGCGGUGGUGCUAAGGGGGUUAGAAUCGAGAAUGCUCAGAGGGGCAAGAUGGGUCAGGAUGGGAAUCGAAUUUAGACCCAACUGGAAUGGGAAACAACCCCAGAAGUAGAUUGAUUUCGGGGUCAGACCAUCCGGUAGAGGCCUAAGUAAUUGAAGAGGAAGGCUAAAGUGUUUGAUAUGAAGAUUAGGUAGCUGAUGCAGAACCCGACUUGGCCGAGGACGAUCAUGACUUUUACAGAGAACCAGUCGAUUGGGCCACAGACAGCGAAACCCAGGUCGCCGAUAAACGCGAUCUUUGAGAUGGGGGUGGGGUGGGAUGAGGGGGUUGGGGGAAGGGGUCAGUUGGGGGAAGGGAGUGUUUUUGGGUUGCAGGUCGGUUUUUUGGAUGGGAUGGGAGGUGAAGAGAGUGGAGGAGAGGGAGGUGGGUUUUAGGUUUUUUUUAUUUAUAUAUAAUUAUAAAUAGGGUAAAUUAUUAUAUUUUAAAUGCAUAAAAAAUUAUUUUUUUGCUAAGUGACAGCCACGUCAGCACAAAUGUGGAUCCUAUAUUUGCCAUGUCAUCACUUAACGGAUUUUCUACCGGAUGUAUGAAACUGAAAUAAAAUGAUAAGUAAAUGUAUGAAAUUGAAAUGUUUUAAAGAUAUUGUAUGAGGUUGCAAUCGACCCCAAACCUGGGAGGUAAAAUGUAAUUUACCCCAAAACUUAUCAUCUAUCUACUUGUAAGCUCGGGGUUUUUUGGUUCCCUUUUCUCAAUACAAAGUAAAUUAGUUUUUUUUUCGUGUCUAAAUUAUUGAGAGUGAAGUACUUUUGAAGGUAUAAUUUUAUUGAAGUCUUACGCAUAAAAACAAAUAAUUUUUCGUAUAUGAAGUUAGGGCACAUUUUUUGGGUCCCUCGGGGCCUCAAAAGUCUCAGGACCGACCAUGUAGCCACCACCUCUGCAACAUCAGCAACUAUGAUUAACAUCCACCACACUAGCGCUGUCGCCGCUGACGCCAAAACUGCCCUCCUUCUUUUGUGUUACCAUUCUUAGAAAUUCAACAAAAACAAGGAAAAAAUUGAGAAAUUUAUGCAUCUAGCAAGAUCAUUUGAUACGUUUGAAUCUCACCCAUAAUAGUUCACCAUGGACCAAAUCUUACUUACGACUUCACUUCGCUCAUGAACAAUCAUCACCAUCGAAUCUUUGUCCGUUGCGAGCCUAGUAGAAGGAAGAAGAAGAAUUAUAUUGAAAGAAAUUAACCAGCAGUGAGACCAGUGGAAGGAAGAAAAUGAAUUACAGUAAACAAAUUAGAGCUUGCCUAAUGGAAGGAUAGAGAGGUGGAGGAGCCGAGGGGCAGGGGGCUUGGGGUGAUGUAGAGGUAGGGUUGCUGGGACCUACAAUAUUGAGUUUUUGAUAUUUUUUUUAAAUUAAAAUAAAAUAUUAAUUAAAAAGUUAACUAAAGUUAAAUGAAAACAUGUCAAGCUAUAAGACAGGUAGUGAGUAUACCAUAUAAUUAAACGAUGAUGAGCAAAAAUGCUACUUAUUAUGAACUCGUACAUAGUACUGCAAAACAGUGAAGAGAUAAAAAUGGAUAAAUAUAAGGGAGUAAUUUGAACCAUAAUCUGCCAUGCCUCAUAGCCUCUUGGUCCUUGUUGAUCAGGAGAAAAUUUUCAUUGUAACGAGAAUACGGAUGAUACAUCACGUGUUUUUAUGUAAGUGGUGAAAUUUUUUAUUUUUUAGGUUAUUAACCUUUUAACAUAUAAAUCAUACUAUUUGUAUAGUAAUACAUGGUGUACUAUCCCGUAUGCCUGUCAUACUAAAACAUCUCUAGUUGAUCUGUAACCGCUACUCAAUACCUUUGCUAAGGAUUAGACAAACAUGAAACGAUACCGCUAGUGCAUAUGGUUGGUUAGACUCUGAUAGCAAAGGUCCAAAAGGUGGGAAUAUUCUAAUCCAAGGGACUGCAGUGAUCCAUAAGAAAAACAAAAUAAAAUAAUAAGGAAAUCUUUAGCCUACCAGUUAUCAUAUUGUUUGCCUUUUUUCAGACACUGAUCAGAAACCAGAUAAUUGACACGACAAGAUUACCCACUCAGUGUCUAAUUGUUCAUCACCUUGAGCAGUUGAGCCGAACACAUAUUUCGAAAUGCCUUUUGAUGCAUUGAUGAUAACUGCGCAUCUCCUUUCGAAUUUUUCUUGUUUUUAAAAAAAGAACACACUUUAGACACUACGUAUUUAGUUUACGUUUUUAGUAUGAUGGUUCGAAAUAAAAAUUGAUAUGUAUAAAAAGAGAAAAUGGUGUGUGAUUUCUAUUUUCUUCUAUUUAUAUGUUUUUAGGUUGCAGUACUGCAGUUUUUUAUCCUUGUAAAUUGGUGCAAUGAAGAAUAUUUCAAUGCAAUGAAAGGAAAAAUGCAUUAAUUAUGUUGUUCAUGUUCUAUAUAUAGAUGAAAAAAAUUAACAUGGGGAACCAAAUUCAUGGGAGCAUAGAAUAAAUUAAACAUUUUAAGGAAAGAAAAUUAAGAUUGCUAUUCAUGGAUCUAAUUUUCAAACACUUUAAUAUAAAAUUUUUACCAAUAAUUAAGACGUUCAGUCGAUUUCCUUAUCGUUUGUGGGGCUCAAAACCCUAUAAACGAGCUAAAAGAGAAGAAAUUUUUAGUUAUGACGGGAAUACGGAUGGUACACCACGUGUUUUUAUGCAAUUGUGGAGCCAAAAAAUAAUCAAGAGGCGACACGUGGAUUUUUAGGUGAAGUGGACAAAAUUACCCCUGAGACACACCAGUUGUCCUACGCGCGAGCAGUGGACAAUCAUUCUUUAAUCAAGCCAAGAGUGUCCAAAAAAGGUAACAAAUUCCAAAUUAUCUCAUCCAUCCUCAUCUUAGGUAAUUACUUUAGAACCUACAAAUUAUUCCAUAUAAAUGGAAAUUAAUUGUGUAAUUAAUGGAUUAAUUCCUAAUUAAUCCAUUAAUCACCAAUUAAAUCACCCAUUUUCACACAAAAAACCUCUAAGGGCCGGCCACCUCCAUUCCCUAUAUAUAUGACCCUAUUUUUUCUAAAAAGAGGAGGUCCACACUCUUGCAAAACUCCAAAAAAACUCUCCAAACACUUUUCUAUCUAAAUUCUAACUUUGGCAUCGGAGGUUCUUCGACCAAAACCCCCUCCCCCCCCCCAUUCAUUGUGGGUGUGUGAGGCUCUUGGCCUUGACCAAAGGUGUUGAUUGUUUUGUAGGUGCAAUUUUGUCAAAGAAGGAGAAGGUGAAAAUUUGCAUCCACAAAUUGGUGCUUUCAUUGAGAGAAGAGUCACACACUUAUAGAAGACUCUCGCAUAAAAAGGUUUUUCUCUAUUUUCUAGUCCACUUGCAUUUUUUCGUACGUUGUUAUUAUUAGAAUUUUUUAUUUGCAAAGAUUCUUUGAUAAAACGUAAAAGAGAAAUACAAUGACCAAAAAUUUAAAAAAUUCCACGAGUGAAGAUUCCAAUAUUCAAGAAAUGUGACCACGGCGAUCCACAAGACUAAAUGUGAUCUUAAAGGGAGCGGCACCACCACUACAAGGCUCCACCAUGACAACCAUUGCGGUGGCCACCACGGCAAUCACCCAUAGCGAGGUCCAUAGCUCCACCACCACGGCCCAAGUCGUGCUAUCCAAGGCCCACGCCACCAAAGCCACGGCCCGAGCCAUGUCACUUCAUGCCCAACGCGAGCCCAAUGCGUUGCCAAGCCAAGCCCAAGCUUCUCAUUUGCGAGCAUCACGCGCUGACCAGCCUGCUCUCGCGGCCCAGCCUGCUCAAUUCCCCGACACCCAUAUAUGGGUUUGCUUUCUAGUGUGAGAGGAUAAACUAAUUGCUCUCCAGUGCGAUAAGGGAAACCAAUUCCCCAACACCCAUAUGGGUUUGCUCUCCAAUGUGAAAGGAUAAACUAAUUGCUCUUCAGUGCGAGAGGGUAAAAUAAUUCCCUGACACCCAUAUGGGUUUGCUCUCCAAUGUGAAGGGAUAAACUAAUUGCUCUUCAGUGCGAGAGGGUAAAAUAAUUCCCUGACACCCAUAUGGGUUUGCUCUUCAGUGCGAGAGGAUAAACUAAUUGCUCUUCAGUGCAAGAGGGUAAAUUAAUUGCUCUCUAGUGUGAGAGGGUAAACUAAUUCCCUGACACCCAUCUGGGUAAAGCUCUCCAGUGCAAGAAAGCCACAUAACUCAAAAAAUCGAAUGCUUGAAGAUCAACUAGGCAACAAAUGGUCAAGGGGCAGCAUCUAUUUUUGCACUUAAUAGUUUGCUCAUCCGACACUUUAUCUUUAGCAGCUCCGAUCUUGGUAGCUUCAUCCUUGGCUGCUUCAUCUAUGGCAGUUAAGAAAUCAAACUCAGGAAGUUUCCUCAUUUUUGGCAAGCAGCCCAGACGUGAUAGCCCAAACAAUUGCCUAUGCCAUGCCACUUCCUCGCCCCAUGUCGAACUAAUCCUUGGCUUCAAUCAAGCCAAGCUGCUCAAGCAAUGGCCCCUGCCACAUCACCUCCUUGACCCAUGACAAGCCGACUCCUGGCCCCUGCCAGCCGACUUGCUGCACCACCCUGACGACGGCCCUGUGGCAGCACCACCCAAGAGGAAGACAAGAAGAAUUAAGUUUUUCUUGCAUCGGUGCGGCGCGGAGAAGACGAAGAAAUCAACGAAAGAUGGUCCUUUGCACGGGCAAGAGUAGAAGAUUGCUAGGGGAGGGGAACAAAUAUCCUCUAAGCUUUCUCUCUCUUGUAGGGUAGAAUAAAUCACUCUCCAAAGUUUGUUUCCCUUUCCUAGAAGGAUCUAAUUUCCUAUUAAAAGAGAGAAUCAACAUCAAAAUAGGAAACAAUUCAAAGUUUCUUAGUGCAAGAAAUCUCUACACCUGUUGCCCUUUUUUGCGAGCAACCCAACAGGUGUGGGGGCAUUUGUGAAGCCAAAAAUAAUCAAGAGGCGACACGUGGAUUUUUAGGUGAAGUGGACAAAAUUACCCCUGAGACACACCAGUUGUCCUACACGCGAGCAGUGGACAAUCAUUCUUUAAUCAAGCCAAGAGUGUCCAAAAAAGGUAAUCAAUUCCAAAUUAUCUCAUCCAUCCUCAUCUUAGGUAAUUACUUCAUAACCUACAAAUUAUUCCAUAUAAAUGGAGAUUAAUUGAUUAAUUCCUAAUUAAUCCAUUAAUCACCAAUUAAAUCACCCAUUUUCACACAAAAACCUCUAAGGGCCAGCCACCUCCAUUCCCUAUAUAUAUGACCCGAUUUUUUCUAAAAAGAGGAGGUCUACACUCUUGCAAAACUCCCAAAAACUCUCCAAACACUUUUCUCUCUAAAUUCUAACUUUGGCAUCGGAGGUUCUUCGGCCAAAGCCCCCUCCAUUCAUCGUGGUUGCGUGAGGCUCUUGGCCUUGACCAAAGGUGUUGAUUGUUUUGUAAGUGCAAUUUUGUCAAAGAAGGAGAAUGCGAAAAUUUGCAUCCACACAACUGGUGGAAAAUUUUAAGUUUUAAGUUAUUAACCUUUUAACGCACAUAACCCACUAUUUCUAUAGAGACGUGGUGUAUCACCUCGUGUGACGGUCAUAUUGAAAAAUCCCUCUUAAAAGAGAGAGGAAAGAAAUUGUAAAGCAAUUUGGUUUAAAAAAUUUGGUAUCCUUAGCAUAACAAUAAUAAAAGCUACAACAGAGGAAGUUGGGCUAAUCCAAAUAACUUCGUUAGUAUUUAAAAUAUUUUCAGGUAACAACUAACUAGUGCGAGUAGCAGCAAGGAUUUCCCAAAAUUGAAUGCUGAUUUUCGAUGGAAAGAGAAAGAGAGGUGCUCCUGAUAUGGCAGAUGUUCAUUGGAAAGAGAAAGAAAGGUGGUACCAACUCGGACGCCGGGAAACGUGUAUGAAGGUUUCUUGGGCAUGCUUCGAAUGUUUGGUAUGAGUUUCUUUUAUACUUGUCAAGUGUUUGAUGUAACGCUUGUUAGACAUAUCUCGGCAGCACUCGACAAAUGCUAUUGAUAUCAAGUAUCAUAUUGUUUCGGCAUAUAUCGAUAUUUGUUGAAAUGUGCACUGAAUGAAAUUCUAUGAGAGUCACAUAUGGGGAAACUAUUGUUUUUCAUGUUGCUACUUUUUCAUGUUUUCUUUGUUUUGCUAGAAGACUAACAAAGGCUAAGUAUGGGGGCAUUUGAUAAGUUCAUUUUAUAUGUAUUUUACAUCAAAUUCACUCGUCUUUUCUUAGUUAGUUCCUUAUAUUUUUGAGUUAUUUACUUUGUUUUUGUGUUUUGUAGGAUUUGUCAAGCAAAGAAAAGAAAAAUAGUACAAGUGAGAUUUUAAGUAACAAAUUCGUCAAAACUGCAUGUGCAGAUUAGCUAACUUUGGAAGCAAGUUGCAAAGAGCUUAGAAUAAAUUAGAGAAUGAGCCUUAUAUGCUUGGAAAGCUACGGAUGUCUAUUUUCUGGAGCAUUUCACGGAUUGCUAUAUCAUUUUUAUAGAAGAAGUUAUGGCCGUUUUAACACUGAAAGGUUCCCAAGAGGCUGAGCAGUUUGUAACUGACAAGAAAGCAUUGAAAGCAAUAAAUCCUAUAAAUCUAGCAGCCAAAACUGAUGCAGCCAAGAACAAGCUAGUUGACACCUAUCCAAAUAUAAGAGGAAAUGGAAUUAAAGAUGAGGAUUAAGUGGGAGUAAUGGGCAUAAAGGCUACCUAAAGAGUUUCAAUUGUUUUACCAUUUCCUCUCAUUUAUUGUCAUCACUAAAUGACUGUUAGUGGGGUGAGUUAUGGAGAAGAAACUAGGGCAGCACGCAAGAACAAAAAGGCUGCAGGCUGUAGGUUUCACCAAGUGUCCGAUGAAACACCUCAUUUUAUAAAUUAAUUUUUCUAACGCGCUUCGCGCUCUAUUUAUAAAUUAAAAAUUAAACCUGAGACCCUCCUAAGGUUCGAAACUUGGACACCCCACUGCUUUCUGACAAUUGUGUGGAUUGUAGCCUUUGGGCUGGGUCGGUAUUGGGUUCCAGGUGGUGGUGAUUCACUUGGUAACUUUACCAAAAUAACCAUCCCUUAAUCUGCCACUUAGAUUGCUAUAUACAUAGUUUGACGGAAUUAACAAAAACAAAGUAAAAUUGAGCGAAUAAAGUAUAAAAUGAGAAAAUUGUUGUUUUAAGGUGGAAAGCCACAUCGAGAUCGAGUUUGAUGGGGGCAGUGCAAACACAUGACAUAAGCUAAACUAGAAACUGAAAGAUCCGCAGGUUCAGAAAUCGUGUGGUCCAAUUGGCCCCCUACUCUCUUUCCAAGUACGCUUUUCCUUUAAACUAAACUUUUUCUUGCGUGUCAAGUUCCCCCAUUCACUCCCCUAACAAACCGCACAGCCCGUGAACCUAAACUCCCCUCUCUCCCAAACGCUCAACCGCCUGCCCCCAAUCCAUAUUCCAAUCCCUAAUAUUCAGAUCCCCAAAUUAACGAUCAAAUUAUUAACAAAACAUUAAAUAAUCAUAAACAAAUCACCGCCCCUGGCAUCUUUCACGCCGAAUCUUCACUGCCCCAUUCAAAUUUUCGAUGGCACAACCUGAAAAUUGACGUUUUGAAUUGUUGGGUUUUUUUUUUUUUUUUUUUAUUGUCGAAGAUGUGAGUGAAAUAAGGUUGGCGCGUUUGGGUCCGGUCGUUUCGGGGAUGGUCAGAUAUGGCUCCAGACGGGGAAUUGGUGCCGGUGGACCCACAGGCGGUUGUGGCGGUGAAGAAGAAGUCCUCUCGGAGUUGGGUUUUGUUGGACUGCACCGGAAAAGCUACCGUCUUGGACGUGGACAAGUAUGGCAUCAUGCAGAGAGUUCACAUUCACGCUCGCGAUCUUCGCAUUGUCGACCCUUUGCUCUCUUACCCUUCCGCCAUUCUCGGCCGUGACCGAGCCAUAGUUCUCAAUUUGGAGGUCGUGCUCUUCUUCUUCUUGUUUGUCUUUUCAUUUUUUUUUUUGCGAUGUAAUUUACAUAUUUUUGUUGAAAAUUAUGGUUGUGGUAUUUCUCAUUAAUUAAAUUGGGUUUGUUUUCAUCUGGGUGUGCAGCAUAUUAAAGCAAUAAUCACUGCUGAAGAGGUUAGCCUCUCUCGCUCUCUCUAAAUAUACUCGUUUUCUUUUUCAGCGGAGUUUAUUUGUUUUUGGGUUUUGAGGAAUCACCGAGUUUGAAUUGGAUAGACAUCGGUAUUAGUUUUAUAUUUUUUUUCCGCGGAUAAAGAUUGCUGCUUUAAGAGAGAAGUAUUAAUUAUUUUUGUGGAGAAUUAAGUAAGAGGAGCAGCUAGAUAGAUUGUGCAAAUUCAGAAUGUUGAAAGUAUGUUUCCUAUAAAGUCAAACCAUAGUCCGUCCUUGUCUUCUAGGAAGAAAGAAAAAUAUGUGUGGUGCCUUCUAUGAGCUGGAGCUUUUUGUAGAUAGUGAUUGUUAGUUUGUUAUGGGAUAGGUGCUGCUCCGGGAUCCAUUGGAUGAAAACGUUAUUCCUGUUGUUGAAGAGCUUCAAAGACGGUUGCCUCCUGUAAAUGUCGCACGUGAAAAUCAAACAAAUGGGAAAGAGUUCCCUGCUGUGCAAAAUGAUAUUGAGGCGGGUGAAGAAGAUGGUAUGAUUUAUUGCUUUCAAAGUUUUUCAUUCAAAAAUAUUAUCUAUGGCUGUCAUUAGUGUUCUUGGAAAUAUAGAAAUGUUGAAUAAAUCAUUCUAAACAUCAAAAGUUCUGAGUUCUGGUUUCAUUCCAUGAUUAUCUGAAUGAUAUACAUUAUGCAUUGUAGAGUCACCAUUUGAGUUCCGGGCCUUGGAGGUAGCCUUGGAAGCAAUUUGUAGCUUUCUUGCUGCACGUACGACAGAACUUGAGACUGCUGCUUAUCCUGCUUUAGAUGAGCUUACUGCUAAGGUAGGACUUGACUUUUCUCUUAUUUUUGUUUUGUGUCUGUGUGGAUUCUUCAGUUGCUGCCUCUCUUCUUCUUGUGGCCUUCCAACUGAAAGAUAAAUAAACAAAGAAACUGAAUGAAUGUAGUACUUCAUUCACUAGUUUGGCUGAUUUAGGUAAAUCACUGAUAGUAGCCUUCAGGCAUGUUCUUUGUCAGCAUUGGCUACGUGAGGAAUAUUUCCUACUUAAAGUACUAGAUAUCAAAGUCUAGGAUAAUUGUUUGCAUUUUGGUGUGAAGUUGAGUGUAGAAGAGAUUCGGGCUGUUAUGCUUCACACUUUGGUUAGUUUUGGUAGACCUCUAUCUUUGCAUUCUUGCUGUUAAACUUAAUAUUUGGCUCCACAGAAAUAUUGGCUUGCAUAUUUGCCUGAAUGGUUUUGUAAACUUAGCAUCUUUAGCUAUGAGAGAAUAUUUCUCUCACUUGUUCUUGUAUUAAAGAAAAUAGUCUUCCAAUUAUAUUUCUUCUCCUCGAGUCGGCACUUUUUUAUUGUUUUUAUUUAUUAAAAUAUCCACCCCUUCUGCCUGCAGAUUAGUAGCCGCAAUUUGGAUAGGGUUCGUAAAUUGAAGAGUGGAAUGACUAGGUUGACUGCUCGGGUACAAAAGGUAUAUGAACUUCCUGUGGUCUGUGCAUAACUGAAUAGUAGUUCUUUGAAUUUAAAUGCAAUCGUUCAUUGAUUUGAUAUACUUCACUUUGGUGUUUGGUGAAAGAUGAGGGAGUAAUUUUACUCAUGUCACCCACUAUCUACCGAACAUCACUUCAUUAGAUAGCUUGUAAUAUUUCGUUUGAGAAAGUAAAAUUGUUCAAAUGGUUUGUAAAUGUGCUGGAUGCAAAUAUGCUCCACAAGCUGAAAUCUCCUAUUUUUUUCAUUUUAUGGAAUCAAGAUCCAAAGUUGUAUUGUUUGUGUUGAACCCAAGGAUUUGGACGGCAUUCCUGUCAUAACCUAGUAAAUUUACACACGACUUCAAUUUCAUAUCCUCCAUGUGCAAUCUCUCAGUUCAUCCUAUGUUUUGAUAUUCAAUUCCUGCCUAUGUUUGAUAUUCAAUUCCUGAUUGUUGACCUUCAAAUCCUGAUAAAGCAAUCGUUAUAUUUUGAGUGCAUAUGAGUCAUUAGAUUUUGAUCCAACAGUUGGUGAGCAGAGAUUUUUUUGCUUACCAACAAGUAGGAGAUGGUGAUUCCCUCCCUCCCAAACCCACACUUGCUGGUUAUUGUGUUAAUAAGUUUCUCAGCAUGUUAAACCAUAUGUAUGAAAAUAUAAAACAGUUAUCAAGACAAAAUAUUAAUGUAUGUAAGUAAAUAAGAAUGCCCUAUUUAUUAUUAACCAUUUAUGAAUUUCUGUCCAAAGGCUUAGAACGUGGUAAUGCCUUUAUAUAGUACCGACUGGUAAGUGUUUGAGCACUUCCCAAUGUUAGGAUUUUGGCUUGUCAAAGUUAGUGUCCUAUUUUGUUUAGGAUUCUAUUAGGAUUAAAGGUGCACCGAUUCUUCUUCUAAAAGAACUAAGAAAGAAUCAAAGUUUUCUUGUACAAUUAGAUUGGGAAUCCUAGAAGAUAAUUUGGAAUAGGAAAGAAUUUCUUUCCUAUUUCAUAUAGAAUAGGAAACUUAAUCAGAAAAUAGGCAUGUAAACCACACCCUAUACUAAGGGUUCGGCAAGGCUAGGGAAAGAGUGAGAAAAGCUAGAGACAGCCGCUGGAAAGAGAGACAACUGCGGGAAAGAGAGAGAUUAGUUCUAAGGUUUGCAAAAGUACUGUAUACCCUAUUAUUAAUCAAAGAAGCCGUGGUUUCUCUACCUAGGGAAAUCACAGCUGGACGUAGGCAAAAGUUUUGCCAAACCAGUAUAAGUCUUAUGUGUUUGUAGUUAUUCUCUAAUUUGCGAAGUUUAGUCUAUUGCUGGAUAGAUCAAAGAACAAGAUCCAGAGAGAGUCAGGAUUAUAACACCCUAUAGGUGACUGUAUAUGCAUAAUUACCAAUUAUAUAAGUAUGUGUGUGUGCGCUCUUGAACAUGUGCUGAGGUUCUUAUAUGAGGUCCUUAGAUGUCUGGAAAAGUUCAGUUGUUAAGAUGGCUUUUUUCUGUUAAAUACUGAUAACAGGAAGUUUGCUAUCUGGGUUAUUUAAGGGACAUGGGUGAAAUCUAGUUAAAUUUGUAUAGAUCAGAGUGAAAAUAUACACAACCAAUUUAGUUAAAUUUGUAUAGAUGAGGUCCUCCGUACCUUCAAGUCUAAAUUAGUUGCAUGAAAGUGCGUUUUUUAUUAUUCUGUAGAUCAAUUUUUUUUUUCUUUCUGUUGUGCAUCUCAUUUUGAGUUUGCAGACUAUGCUAUCGAAAUGAAUUUGCCGUGUGGAAUUUCUUAGUCAGAGUUUGACUGAAGACAACCUAUCAUUGUCCGCUUAGUCUUUACUACUGUAAAUCAAGUUAAUUGGAAAUUCUGUAUUGCUUAUUGUAGGUCAGGGAUGAGCUUGAACAGCUGCUGGAUGAUGAUGAUGAUAUGGCUGACCUUUACUUGUCCAGAAAGUUGGCUGGUGCAUCUUCGCCAGUUAGUGACACUGGUCCUUCCAAUUGGUAUCCUGCCUCCCCUACCAUAGGCUCAAAAAUAUCGCGGGCAAGUAGAGCAAGUAUCGUCACCGUUCGUGGAGAUGAGAAUGACGUUGAGGAACUUGAAAUGUUACUUGAGGUAAUAUUGUAAUGAUGUUGCAUACUUUCUGAUUGCUUUAUUUAGUGAAACUAAAUGAUGAGAAUGACAUUGAGAAACUUGAAAUGUUACUUGAGGUAGUAAUGUUGCAUAGUUCUUGUUUGCCUUAUUUUAGUGAAGCUAUAUACUAAACCAGCAAGCAAUGCCUUUGCAGGCUUAUUUUAUGCAGAUUGAUGGCACCUUGAACAAAUUAGCCACGGUAUGUGCUAUUUAGAUGCAAACUUAUCUUCUUUUAUUGGUUUUUGAGGAAAACUUAACCUUGGGAUCUAGCUUCAUCCCACCGUAUUCCAUGCCAAUCAUAAUGUAUAUCACUAGUACAAUCUGCCCCACACAAAGUGCACUGAAGUACACCACAGUCAUAAACUGUCCUGGCCCCAAAAAUGAAUAAGGUGGUCCUUAAACACAGUACGACCACCAUACAUAUUACCUUGAAAGGAACCCCUAGUAAUAAUGCUGCGAAUUAUCUAAUACCAAGUAGAGUUAUAAGUUAUCCUGACUUUGACCUAUCAAAGCAGAAUUAUCAUGAGCAUGAACCUGCACUUGAGGACGUAAAGUAAUCUGUACACUCACACUACUAAGGAAGCGACAUAGGAAUUGCAUGUCAAGAUCUGAUUUUUGAUUAAGAGGAGAAUGGUAUUGAGCCAACAAAUGAAUCAUCCCCUUAAAUUCACUAUAAUAGUCCCAUGUUUUUCCAACUGGUCUCAAUAGAAAAACUCUCAUAGACAUUUUUACUUGGAAUAGAUUUUUUUAUCAACAUUACAACUGCUUAAAUAUGAACUUUUGCAGCUACGUGAAUAUAUUGAUGAUACAGAGGAUUACAUUAAUAUUCAGGUACUUAAUUCAUAAAUCUUAAAUUUUUAUGAUAAUAUUUGUUAAAUUUUUUAUCUAACUUAUGGUUUCAUUUUGCAGCUUGACAACCACAGGAAUCAGCUGAUUCAGGUGCCCUUUUGUCUUCUGAUGUAGUGUAUCAUAUUACUGUACUAUGCUGGAUUCAGUUCCUUUAAUUUCUAUAUUUUCUUUUUACUUUGCUGCUCCAUAUCCACAAGGAUCUGUAUUUUCUAAGAUUACUGUUUAUUUAAUUCACAUUCAUGGUUGCAGCUUGAGCUUUUUCUUAGUUCCGGGACUGUAUGCACCUCCAUAUUUGCAUUGGUGACUGGAAUUUUCGGCAUGAAUAUCCCGUAUACAUGGAAUGAGGGUUACGGAUACAUGUUCAAAUGGGUAGGCAAAGUAUUUAUUUCCGCUGGUAAUCUUGUCUAGUAUGACUGUAAACAACAUGUCUGAGAAUUGAACAUUUUUCCAUUUACAGGUUUGCAUUGUCACGGGAAUUUGCUGUCUUUUUGGUUUCGUAAUAAUCAUAUCAUAUGCUCGUCACAAGGGUCUAGUCGGAUCUUGAACAUCAUAAAGAAGCCCUGAGAUUGAUCUUUUGGAUCUUCUGAAAGUAAAUAAGGUGUCGAAGAUUUUCAGCAAAGCUGCGUGAAGGAGUUAAAAUUUCUUGCUGAAUUUGGUGAUUUUUUUGGGUGUUUCUAACCCAAGGACAUUGCAAAGUUUUAUAAUUGUCAAACGGUCUAAUUAACAGGAUUCGGUCACAAACGCAGACUGUAAAACUUGUCUACAGAACCAUACAUAUUUCUCGAUUUUGGUCGAUAAUUCUUGUUGUGUUGCACAGAAGUAUUUUGAUCAAACAGAUAUAUAUACUGUUAAACUGUAAUAGGCAAUAAUGUCAUACGGAGUGAUUAAUGCAUUCCACAAAACUGAUAAUUUCUCUGAAGAAAUGUAGGCACUAUCAGCUGUAAUGUGACAUGAUUUCUUGCAAUCUGUUUCUGGAGGCCGUUUACGCUCGUGUCAAUUUUCGAGUUUUCAGGUUGUUUUGAUCUAAUCCUUGACCUUGAAACUAUACAUCGAUCGGAAGGUCGAGUUUUCUGCAUUCAGAAAUAGCCAUAUGCUAGAGUUCGGCUAAGCCAACAAUGAGCAGCUUAAUUUGGUAUCGAAUUCGUCAUCCACGAGAUUCGAACCUAAGACCUCUCACUUCUUCCAAGUAAAGAGGAAUACUACCAGACCGUAGUACUGAGUGGCAAUAGUCAUAUGCUAUUGAAACAAUAAAAUUAAAUAGAAAAGCUGUUAGGGCAACCCGUACAAGAAGAAUCAAGCAAGAGAAGCUGCCUAGCACACGAACAAACUAGUCUUACCAAAUACAAUUGGAGGCUUGUUGAUGUCCAAGAAAGAGAAUUAAAAUCCUUCCUUUUCUUUGACACUUUGUGGAGGAAGUUUGUACAAGAUUCUGCUUGACUCGGUCAAAGCCUUGGAUGAGAAAUAUUCUAGCAAAAAUUUGGGUCUAUACUAAUAUGAGAAGUGUUAUUGUUGCUCUUUGAAUGACUUAACCAUCAUCUUAAUUACUUUCUACUAAGGUGCAAGUUGGAUGAGAAAUUUUGAUUCCCACCAAUUGUGAUCCUUUUUUUUUUUUUUCAACUUUGGGGUACCCAUAUCAAGUAUGACAUAUGAGAUUGGAAAAUUCCGAAUAAAUUUGGUUUAGAAGUGAAAUGCAUCUUAAAAUUUUGUAAAUUACGAAUUUAUAUCGGGGGUUUAUGCUUGAACUACUCACAAGUAUUGAAAUAAACGAGACCCAAUGCCCAAAAGACAGAGUUGUUCCAUGGACAUUGAUGGCAGGUGAGCACUAGUAUAUAUUAGGUUCUUUGGGCUUUUGGUUCGAGUUUUCCUAUCACGGCCAAUUUUAAUCUUUUACAUUUUUUUAUCAUAUCCCAAAUUUCAUACUCCAAAAAUUUGAUGAUUAUCUCUCAAAUGUAAUUCUAAAUAUAACUUGAAACCCAAAUGCCUUCAAACCAAUAAUGCUGCAGUGGUGCUUAGUACGAGACAAAAUUAACCACUUUGAAUAGGAGAACACAAUAUAUAUAUCAGAGCCGGCUCUGAGGAUGUGCAAAAGGUGCCACCUCACAGGGCUCCCAAAGUUUCUUUACAUGUAAACAGAUACCUAUUAUAUACUUAAAUGUGCAAGAUAAUAAUAAUCACAACACUAGUGCUAGUGGUGUAGUCCUUCAAUCUUCUUGUACAUGGCCUAGGUUCGAGUCCUUGUAGAACUAUUUUGCUAUUUUUAAGUUUUGCAAAUUUAUUAACUUAAAAAGUUAAUAAGUUUUACACAAAAAAUCAUGCAACAUAUUUCGAACUAAAGACAUUUCAAGACAAGAAACACUCUUGUCCACUCAAAGUGGUGCUCUAAUUUGUAGUAUUUAAAUUUUAUAGAUACAAAUUGAAAAAAAAAAAAAAGUUAAUAAGUUUUACACAAAAAAUCAUGCAACAUAUUUCGAACUGAAGAUCUUUCAAGACAAGAAACACUCUUGUCCAUUCAAAGUGGUGCUCUAAUUUAUAGUAUUUAAAUUUUAUAGAUACAAAUUGAAAAAAAAAUAACAAAGAAAAUACAGUAUUAAAAAAUGAAGGGCCUCCAUCUAAAUCUUGCAUAGGGCCCCUAAAUUCCUAGGGCCGACCCUGAUAUAUAUAUAGAUUUCGUUUCAUAUGCGUGUUAUUUGAACUCGAUGAAAUUUGUGAAAAAAAAAUAUGAUUAAAAUAAAAAAAGAAAAAAAAAUAUAUAAGAAUCACAUUCUAUAACAAUAUUAUACUCUUAAACGGAAGACUGGUCGAAAGGACAAUCUUAUAUUUUAUAUAUUUAUUAUUAGAUAUAUAUUUUAUUUUUUAUUAAUAAUAAAAUGAUUGUGGGUUAGGUGUUAUGCUUCUGGAACGGAAGGAUUCGAACCUCUGAAUGGCGGGACCAAAAACCCAUUGCCUUACCACUUGGCCACACUCCAUUUCUGGUCGACACUAAUAAACACUAAUAUUGCUACUGGUUGUUCGUCAACUCAAGUCUAAAUAUCUAUUAUUUGUAAUAUCCACGAUCAGAUUAUAUUUAUUUGAUACACUGUUGUCAAUUGAAUGUUGAGAAAAGAAACAAAAGAAAAAACAUUAAAUAUAACUAACAAUUCCAAUUUCAAUCAAUUAGACAAUUUAGAAUUAUAAGAAGAAAAAAAAAACUAAGAACAUUCUGUAGUCUUAGUAAGAGGGGGAAGGGUUAAGGAUUUACCUGGUUGAGAUAUCACAUUAUUAGAGGAACCCUAGAUGCUGUCGGAGUAAAGGAUCGUCAAUAAGGGCGUUCUAGUGCGUUGUAGAUUCUUAUCCAUGAAUUUAAUAAAUAAAAAUUUAUGUUGUUAAUGAUUUUCUAUCAAAUGAAUUUAUUUUUUGUUCAAAUUCUAAGUAAUUAAUAAUAAGAAGGAUACCAUGAAUUUUUACGUAUUCUUAAUAGUGUUCUAAAAAUCGGCCUAGGCACUGGGCGGUGGAGCUCCGACCCGAUUUAGACCAAAACGUUCAGCUAGGCGGGGAGGACUUUGGCAGCCGCCUAGGCGCUCGCUAGGCACCUUAGGUGGGUUAGGCGGUGUGAAUCUCGCUGCAAGUUGGAAGAGAGACAAGGUGAACCUCGCUCGCUAGGCGCCUUUUGCAGAUACCGGGUGAAUUUUUGCAGCUUCUCUAUGAAGAUGAGGAAGAGAGAGUGCGAAGAGAAAGAGAGAGAGACUAUUAAACAUUUCAUUCUAUGGUGGAGCAAGUUGGAUUUGAGAUCCAAUUUUGAGGUUCUGAUUUUUCUCAAAGGGCGAAGAAGAAGAACGAAGAUAAGGGAAGAUAGUGCGAACACACAGAGAGAGAGAGAGAGAGAGAGAGAGAGAGAGAGAGAGAGAGAGAGAGAGAGAGAGAGAGACUAAAAGAUCCAAUUUCUGAAAAGGCAAGGAAGAAGAAAUGAAUAGAUUAUAGACAUGUCACUUUCCAAGGUAAAAAGCUGGUGAUGACUUGGGUGAUGUGAAAUAGGGUGGACAGCUACUUCUUGAGUGAUCAAAUGGUUUUAAUUAUAAAAACCACCCACUUGUGUGGGCUUUUAAAUGUUAUGUGUCAUCACCCUCUUACAAGUUUGAGAUAUAUAUUAUUUAUAAAUGUUAAAUUAUUUAGAUAAUAUUUUAUUUUUUUUCCCUAGGCAAGCAUAUUAUAUAUAUACAUAAAACAUUCACAUAUGUAUGUUCUUCUAUAAGAAAUAACAUAUUAUUCAAUAAUUAUUUAUAUCUAAUAUAGUAAAUUUAAUUAAUUUAUAUAAUAUAUAAGAAAUUUACCAAAAUCCGCCUAGACCCCGCCUAGCCGCCUAGGCGCUAGGCGCUAGCCCACCGCCCGACUAGCGCCUAGCGUUUUUUAGAACCUUGAUUCUUGAUAAACCAGCGUUUAUAUAUAGAUGUAGGAAGAUCCGUUUGGGAAGUAAGAAGCCCCUUUGACAUCUCUUCAUCUGCAAAGAAUUCUUGAUGUGAAAACACAGGCUGAUCUUUGAAUAGGAAAAAUAUGAAUAAACCUUAUAGGUUGAUGCCACAAAUUCCAUCCCCAAAAACCAUAUUUUGAUUGCGCCUCAACAAUAUCAAUUGUACUUGAACUGUUAGAUAAUUAUAGUCGGUGAUACCAUCAUUGUUACCAUCGUUAUUAUAGAACCAAACAUGAGAUUUUCACUUCAUACGGCUCCUUGAAGGCCAGAAAUAAAUAUAGGGAUGCAAUGGGGUUAAAUUGAUUGAAUUCUUGUUGAGACUUCGUCAUACGUUAUCCAUUCUUCAUAUAGAAGAAAUAAGUAUUAUUAUGUAUCGACCAAACCGAUGAUUAUUAUUCCAAUUCAGUCAGUCAUGUUUUCAUUCAUUUGGAAUAUGGGCUCUUCUACUUCAUUUUUUAAUUAUUUUUCCCUUUCUUUUUUUAUUCCCUUCCAUAAUUCCUUAAGUCCAUAGGUUUGAUCCUAUAGAAUCUGACCCACUUUAUCAUUGAGCGAAAGGUACGAAAUAAAUCAGAUUGUUUUUUCGAUCAGAAGUAAUAUGUGAAAUCUUUGGUUUUUUCCUCUUUCUCUAUCCCUAUCCCGUCGGUACAAACGUUUGAAUCAAUCGAGAACCUUUUUUUUUUUCUGUAUCUGUAUAAAUGUAUCUAUAUAAAUCAAAUAUUAUUACAUUCCAAUUCCUUCCCGAUACCUCCCAAGGAAAAUUAUGAAUUGUAUCUCAAAUUGACGGGUUAGUGUGAGCUUAUCCAUGCGGUUAUGCACUCUUUGAGAGGAAAUGAAUACAUUUCUAUACUAUUUAGUAAGUGAAAUAUAUAAAACAUAAUCCGGAUUAUGCCAAUCACUUAUUCUACUGGAUCUUACGAAGCCUAUUCAUAUCAUACAUGACAUGAUCGGAGGGUUCCAGUGGAACAUAACAAAUGAUGUCGAGCCAAGAGCACUUUCGUUCUUAUAUAAUAUAAAAAAGUGGUGGAUGUAAGAAUCCACAGCUGAUCAUGUCCUUCAAGAUCCACAUCUAUGAAUUGAAAGGUUCAAAUGACUCUGCAAUCAGUUGUUAGAAUCUAUAGGUCUUCAAAUCGUUCAUUUGAAAAAAAUUGAAACCCUUCUUAUUGAAUGAUCAUGAUACUUCCCAAAAAUCAAAAUUCUUGAUCAAUGGAGGAACAAUAUCACAAUUUUUGUUCAAUAAGAUACCAAAGUGGAUGAUUGACUCAUUCCAUACUAUAAAUAAUCGCAGGAAAUCUUUUGAUAACAUGGAUUCCUAUUUCCCAAUGAUAUCGCAUGAUCAAGACAAUUGGCUAAAUCCCAUGAAACCAUUUCAUAGAAGUUCAUUGAUAUCUUCUUUUUAUAAAGCAAAUAGACUUUGAUUCUUGAAUAAUCCACAUCACUUCUGCUUUUAUUGUUGGAUAACUAGACUGAAAACCGUCUUUUACAUUGGAUGGUUUGGUGUUUUGAGGAUCCCUACUUUAUUGCCCACAACUUUUGUAUUUAUUAUUGCUUUCAUUGCUGCACCUCUGAGAUAUUGAUGGUAUUCGUGAACCUAUUUCUGGAUUUUUACUUUAUGGAAACAAUAUUAUUUCUAGUGCUAAUGAGUUAUAUCUCUUCCCUUGCCCCCAUCAAGAAAUAGAACUGACUAAUCCUAAGGCAAAUGGUCGAGAAACUCAACGCCACUAUUCUUGAACAACUUGGAGUCGGGCCUUCUUUUUGCACUAUUACGGAUAUGAAAAUAAUGGGAAAAAUUGGAUUCAAUUGUCAAUGGAUCCUAUCGUAAUCGAAAAUAGGAUUGAUUAUGGAUUUGAGCCAUAGCACUUGGUUUCAGAAAACCAUACGAUUUUCCCGAUCUAAAUAAAGUAGGUUUUACAUGAAGAAUAUUUUGGCUCAACAUGUUUUAUUCUAUACGGGUAGGGGAAGAGCCCGACUCAGUAUUCUUUGAAAAAAAUUUAGAGAAAUUAGAACCAAUUCAAGAUGAUACGGGUCAACUUCUUCUUCUUGCGCGCUAAAGAUCUUGCCAUUUCUGAAGAAACUGGAGUAACAUGUGAAAUCUCGUUCCUGAAUUUCACUAUUGUAAUCUAUGUAUUUCGUAUGGGCGGGAUUUAUAGUAUUUUCGUGAAUUUAAAUUAAUUCUAGAUUUUAAUUACCUAAUUACAAAGUUUGAAUUUUUGAAAAUAAUUAUUAAAUUCGUAGACCUUCGAGGGUCACUCUUAAUGUUUUUAAUCGGGCUCAACCUCACAAGCGCUUAAGCGAAGGCCAUAUGUGAAUCGGAACAAGAUAGGAACAUUACAGAUGUUUUAGAAGUUUCUUCAAAAAAAAAAACAAAGAAGAAAAUUUAAAACUGCCGUGUGGUAGAAAAGAAAAAAAAGAGGGGGGAGAGAAACAGGUCACUUAACCCGUACAAAACCAACGGGCAAAGCCAUUGGAAUUGGGUGGUCUCCCGGCAAAUUUCCAGCGAGUUGAAGUUUCUCAUCACUUUGAAAUCAUUUCUCAUCUUCCCCUCUACCUAUUCUAUCCCAAAUUCCAUGCAAAAUAACCUUGAAAUUGGGAAAAUCACACCGGUGGGUGUGCGGGUUCAUAGAUGACGAUUCCCUAAAUUUGAAACAAAUUUCUUCGAUUACCACCAUCUAUAGCCUGUUCUUGAGGUCUGGAAUAAAGCCCAAACAACUAUAGGGGCGGUGGAGUACCGGAGAAGCCGAAUCAAAGUCACCCAAAUUUCUAGGGUUCAUGCGGGUAUGGACAAAAUUGGGGCUUUUACCCGCCAAAUUGGACUUGCCACAGGUAUAAACUUUCUUUACUCAUGGAGAUCUUCAUUUCUAUAAAUUUUGGUAAUUUAAAAAAAAUAGUUGAAUUUUUCCAGCAAGUCAGGGCGGCCGACCGCCACCCGUGGCGGCACGUGCGGCGGCGCGUGCGGCGGCGGCCUGACUAGUGGGCCGAUGAUGUUCUUUUAAGUUCAAUUAGAUGCCCUCAUUUCAUAAUUGAUAUCCAUAUGAUGUGGUUUGAUUGUUUGAACUUAGUUUCAUUACGAUACAUCACUUGACCUUUAUAUGAAUCAACGAUCCGACUGUUGGAUCAUCACCAAACCUUAAUGCGUUAUAGAGCGUAAAAUUUAAGGAUAGCUAGAACUGACGAAUCGGGAAUCCAACGUACGGAUCUUCCUGAAUUGGAUUUCUAAGUUUGUAAAAUCAAGCGUUGGCCGCCACUUGAAUUUGUAAUUAGUGAAGAUCCGACCAUCGGAUCAUGAUGAAAUUUUGGUAGGUUGUUUUAGAAGCAUAAUGUGGACCUUAGAAGGUUACGGAUCCGAAAUCCAAUGUGUGGAUUUUCCAUAUUGAAUUGUGUAGAAUUGUAGACCCUACCUGUGACCGAGAGUUGACUUUUGGUCAACAUGUCUUGAAAUGUUCCAAAUACUAAAAUUAGUACUACGGGAGACUUAAGUGAAGUCUAGUGGACCUACAUUGGUUGGAGAGUGACUUGAAUAUUGUGAUAUGGUUAUUACCUUAAUUUCUUAUAUUAAUAUAAUUUGUAAAUGUGCAUUGGACUUAUAAAUAUGAUUUCUAUUGAAAUGUGAUUUUCAUAUAUUUAGCCAUAGACUUAUGUUUAUUAAACAUGAUUUGGCUUGUGUAUUGAUGAUAAUGGUGAUAUAUGGAUGUUUAAUUAUUUCUAGUAAUGUGAAUGAUAAGUAUGAUAAAUUUAUGGCUAUGUGAGAAUUUAUGGCUAUGUGAUCUUAGAAUCCUAUUUGAAAUAUUUUGUAGAACUUAUAUGCUUUUGUGAUAUAUUAGUUGGUGGCCAUGAGAAGUUGAUGGUGUAGGAGACUACGUUGUAAUUCAUAGGGAUUAGUAUGAUGUGGAGAAAUGUGAGUGACUUUAAUAUAUGUUAUAUUGGUGAUUACCCAUGUUUUCAUAAUUAUUAUCCUGUGAGGAUAUGUCUUGCUUUUAUAAAUAUGUUCUUUUUUUUAUUGAAUUGUUAUUUUUAAUACUUAGCCAUCAAUUUAUGUUCAAGAAGUGAGAUUUGACUUGUAUAAUUGAAAUAUGGGUUGAUUUGUAUGAUUGGUAUGUUGUGAUGAAAUGUGAGGCUAGGAGUGGACUAUUAACCAUUGUGAUGGGGAUUUGAUGCUUCGAUAUUGUUUCAUUUCCCGCUUCGUUUAGUUCUAAAUUUAGUAAUUGUGCCUAAUUUCCCUUUGUUGAGCUUUUGUAAAUUAAGUAGCAUGUGCUUGUCUCAUUUCUUUGAGCCGUCGUACAUUAUGGUGUUGGCCUUCCGUGCUUCUGUUGAGUGAUGGUCAGGAAUCGCAUCCACUCGGAUUCCGUUGAGGGAUGAUCUAGAAUCCCUUCUGCUCCGCAAUUUCGUUGAGUGAUGUUUCGGAAUCGUAUCUAAUUUGGGUUUCAUUUAGUGGUUGUUAUACAUUGUACUUCAUGAUUCCGUUGAGUAAUGGUCCGGAAUCCUUUCUACUCCACGAUUCCAUUGAGUGAUGGUCCGGAAUCGUAUCCUGGGUUAGAUAUUGUUGAGUGGUCCGAAAUCCCAUUCUUCGGAGAAGUAGGUUUGGCUUAACUGUGUCACUCUAGCCUUUGUUUUAGUAUAUUAUGAAUAAUGGUUUUGAGAAUAUUGUGAAUUGAAUCAUAAAAGCGGUUGUACGUCUGUGGGAUUCCUUCGAGAUUUUCUACGAUUCAAUUAUGAUUUCAUAAUUUAUGAAUUUAGAAGAUAUGGGAAUGAUUGUUAUUAUUUUGACCAUAUUAGUGAAUUAAUGUGGCUAGAGAAUGAUUUUGUGCGUUGUCGGUUCUUAAAUAUGAUGUAUGUUGUGAAUUGAGAUAUCAUGUUGAAUCAUAAUGAUUUAUAUGAAGGAUGGAAGGGAAAUCUUGAUUUUUUUUCAUGUGGGUUUGUUCAAUGUUCCUUGAGGUGCUACAUGAUUGAAUUGUGAUAUUAUGUUGAGACAUAGUGGUCUAUGUGUUGAAUGUUCGAUUGAAGUGAAAUGGCGAACUACGAAUGGCUUGAUCCCUAAUAAGGGUACGUAGGCAGUCUAAUGAGGAGGUUAGAUGCAGCCAUAAAGUAUAUGGAAAAUUACUAUGCGAUUCGAUUCUUGAGUUGUGAUUUGCCAUAUUCCGAAGGCGAGGUAUGUUAAAGAUACGGGUAUUUGGUGAUGUCACGUGUCGAUUCUGGACGUAUGUCGGGAUCGAGACGUGACAUUACAUCUCUUUUCCAUUUCCAUUCAAGAGUUCUCAUGUGUUUCCAUGCCCAUUCGAGACCUCGAAAAAUGGACAACUUCCUUUUCUUAGGAACACAUACAAGAUUUGUCACUACAAAAAGGAUAAUGGUAAGAGCUGAAUAUGCAACAACAAUCCAAGGGCGUAUACCCAGAAAAAAACUAAGUUCCCACUCACGACCCACGUAGCAAGCUACACCAAGUAAGAAGUGUAGAACAAUUAGCUCAUAAGGACCACCAUUGUAUAACCAUUCAUCAACAGAAGUCGCUUCCCAUAUAGGGUAAAAGUGCAAACCUAUAGCUGCAGAAGUAGGAAUAAUGGCACAAAAAAUAAUAUUGCUUCCAUAAAGUAAAGAUCCAGAAACAGGUUCACGAAUACCAUCAAUAUCUAUUGGAGGUGCAGUAAUGAAAGCAAUAAUAAAUACAGAAGUUGCGGUCAAUAAAGUAAGGAUCAUCAAAACACCAAACCAUCCAAUGUAAAGAUGAUUUUCAAUGCUGGUUAUCUAGCUACAAAAGCGACCCCAUUGGCUUCUGCUUUUGCGUCUCUCUAAAAUUGUAGUCAUGGUAAAAUCUUGAUUUAUUUAAUAAUUAAUCAUCAGGGACUCACCAAAAAUUAUUAAUAAAAACAUUAACAGUAAUGAAGCAAAUCAAGAAAGAAUUAAUAAAACAAAUCAAAGUUUAAUUAAAUUUAUUUCGAUUACAAAAGAGUCACUUUCUAAUACUAAUAUUAGUCUUAGUAAAAAAAAUUCUAAGACUUUUUUUUACUUAUCUUAAUUUUCACAGGCAUAUGUAUUUUACAAAUUAUCACAAACCCAACUUAUUAAGUUAGAGAAAUUGAAAUCCGUAUUUCAAUAUAAUGGAACCCCCCUUUUUCUUAAGAAUGAAAUAAAGGAUUUUUUUUUUUUGUAAGACAAGAACUAUUUCAUUCAGAAUUAGGACCUAAAUGGGUCGGUUUGAAAAUAAAUGAAUUGCUAGUUGUGUAGAAUAUUAUUACUCUCGUUAGACUUAACCUCAACUAAAAAUAAUAAGGGUUCGGACAAUUUUGACCUCUCCAUUUUGGCUUAUAUAUAUUUGACCUUUUGAGGCAAUUAUAGACCCUGGGGAGCAAUUCUGAUUGGUUAAUAAAAAUAUAUUUCAAUGCGAUUUCUUUUUAUUUUUCAUUUGUUUAGCCAAUCUAUCAUGAUAAGUAAAGAGACCCAGUCACUUUGUGUUGAUUAGUUUCUAAAUGUAAGUUUUCUUCUCAUUAAUAGUAAAUUUUUCCUAUAUUUCCCAUACCAUAUCUAGUCUAUGAUGACAAAGAGAUGCACGCAUACAUUGUCUUACAUUCCAUUAAGAUACAUGGUACUAAUUCAAUGACAUAUCAAUUAGAUCUAGAAUGAACAAAAUUUUCUUAUUUUAGGUCUAAACUUUUAUCUUUUGUGAGUGAAGAAACCAACCAUACUUUUGUAUCCCCUUUCAAUUCCAAUUUUAAAAUGAAAAUAGGAUUGAGUAAGUUUUAUUAAAUUAAAAAAAUAGAAAUUAAUAACGAAAUUCAAAUUAUUAUUACUUUCUAGGCCUAUGAUAUCUUCACUUAUGCCACUGUGCCUUUUCUAGGCCUAAGGAGACACAUGUCAGCUCUUCAAAGUCAUCAUUGGGUGUCCUCACUUCGCCAGGCCCAUAUGCUUAAGACCUUGCCUACCACUAGAGAUUUCCUCAAGCGGUCUGUUCAAUAAGGUUUGCACAAUCUUAGUAGAACAUGAACUCAGCUGUUAUGCUCUGAUCUUGAGAUAUCUCCCAGAUUGACACAUGACAUUAGGGUGUAAUUGUACCACACACGCUUCACUUUUAAGGCAUGACUAAAAUGACCUAAUAGUUCAACAACGCAUAACCUUUUAUUUUAUUUUAUGACUGCAUCUAACCUUUGUGUUAAAUUGACUACGUACCCCAAGAUGGGAUCAAGCCAUUCUUAAUGAAACCAUGUGCCAGCCAGGAUUGUCAUUUCGUCAUUCACAUAUAUCACAAUAUUUUGCAACACAAUUCCACAUCACAAUAAUUAAUCGAUUCCAUGAAUAAAAAUGCACAAUAUUAACAUUUAACUACAUUGAUUAACCAACAAAAUCAAAUAUCACUUCAUUACUUCUAAUAAAGCCAACAUUCCCAAGGUUUGCCGUAGUUCUCUACAUGAAAUCCAAUUAUCCGACAUUAUGACCCUAAGUUACAACCACAAGCAUAAAUUUGAGCAACUUCCAUGCACACGAAUAUAUCACUCCGGACCACGCAACAGAAUCCAACGAAGAUAGGGUUUCAGAUCACUCAAUGAAACCAAAUAUGGAAAGGAAUUUCGGUCCACUCAAUAAGAUCCAACUCUAGAAAACAUAUGGCCCCCCAAUGCAGAUACACCAGACUAAAAGUGGGCAAACGGGUACAUGAACCGCAGGUCGGGGCGGGUACGGGCCAGUUCCUGUUUUUUAAUAGGGGAAACAGGGUGGGGCGGGCUGAGGCAAUGACAUAGGUGGGGCGGGCCGGUUCCAGAUAUAUAGAAAAAUAAGGCCCCGUACCGGCUCGUUUGUAAUUGAAAUGGAAGGCCCAGAUUGAAAAUAAACAUACCUUCCAAUCAUAACUGUUGGUUUUUACCCUAGUAUCUCUGAAUCUGAUCGAGUCUAUCUCGACCCUCGACCUCUCCGUCUCUAGUGACCUCGUCCCCUCCCAUGAGUCCCUCCCUUCCACGGUUCCACCACCCACACUCCGUCACUCCCCAUCAGUCAUCUCCUUGCCCACCCCCGACAUCACCGCUGUUGUGAGUCUGGGCCCUGACGACCACCACUGCUGAUCUUUUUCUCGAUUGUUCUCCUCGACGACAUGUCACCCCAGACCUAGAGAACCCAGGCACAUGCACCACCCAUCUUCUCGAUUCUCUUUCUUUCCUUCCCAACGACAUCACCGUCGUCGCGACUCGCAAUCACCAACACUCCACCGUCGCCAGUUCAGGUGAAUUAUUUAACCUCUUUUUUUUAUUUUAUAUUUUAUUUUUUAUAGGUUCUUUAACCUCUGAUGUUUGUAACUUUGUAGUUUGAACUUUGAUCUAUUAGGAUGUAUGUAAUCUGUGCUCAAUCUAUUGGGAUGUUCAUGUUUGUUCUUGCUGAUUUGGUGGAUUUUCUGAUUUUUUUAGCUUGUUUAUUAGGUGUUUUAAGAGUUAAUACUUAAUUGAGCUGAAUCUUCAUACCUGUAGAAGAAGCAGAAUUUAUACUAAAUUUUUACUCUAAAGGUUCAUAUUAAGGUUAACAGUGUUUUCAUAAAUUUUUAUUGUCACAAUUAUGUUCAUACAAACUCAUGUAUUGCUGAUGAAUUUGCAGGAACUGUGUUCUACUUUAAUGGUAGUGUUUGCACCAUACUUGACCAAUCCCGAAACUACUGAGCACCGAUCAACGUUAUACCGUCAAGGACCCAGAAGAUUUUCCAUCCAACCAAGAGGCCAAUCACAGCGCGACACGUGUCGACAUCAGAAGCCAAUCAUAGCGCGACAUGUGUCAACAUCAGAAGCCAAUCACAACACGACACGUGUCAAUGUCAGAAUGAAACUAAAAACUCUCUUCUAUAUAUAGAGAUCAUUCUCUCACAAUAUUUCCUAAUGUCAUUUGUACUAAAUCACUCACUAGUACUUACUAAAGGAGAGCUUAAACCUAUGUACUUGUGUAAACCCUUCACAAUUAAUGAGAACUCCUCUACUUCGUGGACAUCUGGGUGAACCACGUACAUCUUGUGUUUGCUUCCCUGUCUCUAUCAUUUAUAUACUUAUCCACACUAGUGACUGGAGCAAUCUAGCGAAGGUCACAAACUUAACACUUUCUGUUGUACCAAAGUCCUCAUUGAUUUUGUGCAUCAACAUUUGGCGCCGUCUGUGGGAACGACACUUAUUCCCACUCUUUUCAACUUUGUCAAGCUGGUUUUCACCAUUCGUACACUCUCUUUUAACCAUGCAUCCCUCUUCAACAUGGGGAGCGAAGGAAGCCACAGCACAAAGAAUGACACCCUUCUUGCACCUAGUGCGAAGCAACAAAAGAAGGAAGGAAAGAAGGUUGCUCUUCAAGCUAAAGUCGAUGAGCUAGAAACUCAGAACAACAAGAUAGCAAUAAAGAAUGAGGUCCUCCAGGAGCAGUAUUAGAAGCUCUUUGAGACACUCUAUGAAACUAGGUGUACUCAAACAUGCUAGCUCGUUGCCUCUGUGAACAUCAACAAUCAUCUGGGUGCCCUCCAACACGGAGGGUCACCUCCCUUCGACAUGGGUAUCCCUGAUGAGGAACGAGCUAAUCAUCAAAACAUUGAUCAACAUGAGACUUCUCUCAACCCAGAUGCUUCAACCCGAAGUAGGAGAAGUGGAGGAAGACACCUCCUUGCAAAAAGGUUGGAAGGAUCGAAAGCCGUUUAUUGUGACUGCCGAGACUUUCUAAAGCAACGUCGAGAGAAUCCCCUCCACAUAUGCUUGAAGAUCAAUGACCCAAUGGUUUUUGAAAGACUUGGUCCCCUCCCACGACCUAGGUCAGCUGCCAAUCUAGGGAAGGAAUGACAGGUUCUCGAGGAACAUGAAGGUACAGGGGACUUUGAGGUAUUCCGACAGACUCACCUUAUAAGUCAGUACGGCGAGUCCAAGAAAAAACCACACGCCCUUGCUCAAACUUUCCUACUUCUAAGAGCCGAUGGAGACUUACGAAAGAAAAUUCUAGUGGUACAUGACUCCACUCAAGACCCCCUUGUCCUACAGCUCAUUGAGGAAGUAAACAAGUUGAAGGCCAAACGUUAGGCCGAGAUACCUAACUGGAACCAACCUAGGCCUGGCCCUCUUUUAAUGAAGAUCCUCGACACCCCAUUCAAGUGAAGACAAAACAAAAGCUUGGUUUACAACUCUAUACUGGAAGAGAGGACCCAAUUGAACACCUUAACCUCUUUGAGUCCACCAUGGCAUAUCGGAUACACAUCGACGAAGAACGAUGUCUUCUCUUCCUCUCUACCCUCUCUGGCGGAGCUCUAAACUAGUAUUGCUGUCUUCCACCUGAAACAGUAGACUCAUUUGAGGAACUGAGGAAACUGUUUGUCUCUCAACACAUCUUCCAAACCGAUCGCUUGCAUUCUACAGAUGACUUGUACACUAUUCACCAGAAGCCGGACGAGUCACUACGAAAGUAUACCGGUCGCUUCAGCCAUGAGUAUUCUCGUUGCGCUGAGGCAGAUGACAAGACCGCCCUCAAGGCCUUCACGGCAGGCCUACGUGAUUUUUUCUUCAAGUACAUGAUCAAUGCCAACACUUGGAAGACUUAUUCUGAAGUGAUGGCACAUGCUUACAACCACGCCUCCGCCGAAGCAAGGACAUACCAAGGGAACCCCUAUAUGGUUAACCCCUAUCAACAAGUGGGAAGUGGAAGUCAAGUUCUACCAAGUGAGGAGAUCUUGGCCAUUCAGACACCCAUUGCAUCAUCUCCUGCCUCAUUUAGCUACUCGCUAAGUCACCAAAUGUAUCUGUCUCUUAGUAAGAGGAAUGAUUUUUACUUUUAGCAAGCCCAUUACAACAAGAGGGAUAAAAGUUCGUAUCAAGACAACCAGGGGUGAACGUACCGUCGACUAUUAUGACUAUGAGGCCAAACCUCACUCUUUCAAAGUGGAGGACUAGGUACUGAAAGAAAUGCUAUUAUAAGAAGGCAUACACAUUACAAAUGUUUUGACUCUCAACCGCUUGAGAUCUUUUGUCACACAAGUCAUUCGGAAAAUAUUUAAAGAAGAGGGAAUUCAGAUAACUUCUUCUGAGUCUUUUGCGUUCCUAACACUGGAACAUUUGGUCUACGCUGACCUACCCUUAUACUCCAACUCAGAGCUUCAACAUGCGUACUUUGACACAAAGUAUGUGAUACUAAGUGUUACAACCAACAUGGUUCACAUAUCAAAAGCAUGGAUCCCUUCAUGCAUAGCAAAACAUUCAUAAGCAUCACUCAUAUCAAUCAACAUAAAUAUCAUACAUUCCAACACAUUCAUACAUAAACAUCAUACAUUCCAACACAUUCAUACAUAAACAUCAUACAUUCCAACACAUCCAUACAUAAGCCAACUGUGCUUCGAAAUGGUUCAACAUACUUUGUGUCUUCGACACUUACUACAAUGUGCAUUGACACCUUGCCCUUAUUCUCACCAACCAAGUGAUGAAAUGUGAAUAAGGAAUUGAUCUUCAUGCCACCAACCAGGUGAUGAAAUGCACAACCCGUACUCUAAUAUCAUUUGGCAACUUGCCACUCACGCCACCAACCAAGUGAAGAAGGAACUCAUCUUCGUGCCACUAACCAAGUGAUAAAAUGUACAACCCAUACUCUCCUUCAUGCCACCAACCAGGUGAUGAAAUGUACAACCCGUACUUUAAUAUUUUUUGGCAACUUGCCACUCAUGCCACCAACCAGGUGAAGAAGGAACUCAUUUUCGUGCCACCAACCAGGUGAUGAAAUGUGAUGAAAGGUGAUGAAGGAACUCACCUUCGUACUACCAACCAAGUGAUGAAAGCAACUCACCAUUCAUUCCACCUACCAGAAGACGAGUGGUACAACUUGUACAUGUGAACUCCUAGCAUUCACAAAAUAAUCAAAAACCCUCAAGCUUGACAACUCAACUAGGGGAUCACUUAUGCCCAACAAGAGUUAUAGUCACCAACAAAGUCUUAUUGCAAGCCAACAACAACUUCAGUGCCUAGCAUACGAAGAUCAAGCUAUUUAGCCCUCUUGCAUCUGCUUCAAACAUUUCCCCUCUGUAACAAUGCAAACACUACAACUCGUAGAAAGCUUCACACACUUUUGAUCAAGACAGUGUGAAGCAAAACCAAUUUAUGGUGCCAACAAAAGCUUCAUCAAAGGAGUUCAACCACAAUUCUCAAAAGCUUCACACACUCUUGAUCAAGACAGUGUGAAGCAAAACCAAUUUAUGGUGCCAACAAGAGCUUCAUCAAUGGAAGGCAACCACAAUUCUCAAAAACUUCACACACUCUUGAUCAAGACAGUGUGAAGAAACCAAUUUAUGGUGCCAAGAAAAGCUUCAUCAAUGGAGGCCAACUACAAUUCUCAAACUUUCGAAGCAAAUUCAAAACUGUUCGAAGCAAAUUCAAUUUAUAAGGUUCAUCCAAACUUUCGACUACUACAAGGUGUGGCUUGCAUCACAAUCUCUUGCUCAACAGUCUGGAAGCAAAAUUUGUAUAUGUUGUCUCUCCCACAUUUUCAAAUUUCUAGUUUCCCAAAACAAAAACAAAAAAAAAAAUGGGAAAUUCAACAAAGCUUCAUCAAUGGAGGACAACUACAAAUUCUCAAAAGCUUCACACUAUCUUGAUCAAGAUAGUGUGAAGCAAAAUCAAUUCGUGGUACCCAACAAAGCUUCACCACAAAAGCUUCACCCACCACAAAAGCUUCACCAACAAAAAAUUCACCAACAAAAGCGUCACCCACAAAAACUUUACCCACAAAAGCUUCACCCGCCACAAAAGCUUCGCCCACAAAAGCUUCACCAACAAAAGCUUCACCCACAAAAACUUUACCUACAAAAGCUUCACCCGCCACAAAAGCUUCACCCAUUACAAAAGCUUCACCAACAAAAACUUCACUCACAAAAGCUUCCCCCACCACCAAAGCUUCCUCCACCAUAAAAGCUUCACCCAUAAAAGCUUCACUAACAAAAGCUUCACCUACAAAGCUUCAACACAAAAGCUUCACACUAUCUUGAUCAAGAUAGUGUGAAGUAAAAUCAAUUCAUGGUACCCAACAAAGCUUCACCUAUAAAGCUUAAAAUAUAUAUAUUUUCAGAAAUUUGAAAAUUCAAAAAUUCGAAAAUUUGAAAAUUCGAAAAUUCAAAAAAAAAAAAAAAUUUGAAAAAAAUUGUCUAGGCCUCCUCUUCUUUGGGCCUAACAACUUUCAUAACAAAUAUAUAUGAAGGAGGAGUUUUGGGCUACCACUUAGAAAGGAAAUACCUCAUUCGUCAACUCCCUCGACCGGAGACUUGGGGGACUCUUACCAUGGAAGAAAAUGCCGAUAAUAUCGGCAAAAUAUCGCCAAUAUUAUCAGUUUUUUGGGACAUGGAUAUUUUAAUUGGUAUCCGAAUGGUUUUCGUCCAAAUAUCGUGAUAUUUUUUUUAACGGUGCAAUCGGACUUCCGAGCCGAACGUCGGAGAAGAACGCCGGAGACGGUGUGCCUAUUCCCGAGCCGAUUUCAUCCCAAAAACCUUGCAAAAACACGAUUUUUAACUUCAAUUUCACACAUAAACUUCAAAUUUCACGUAUGCAAGAGGUAAUAAACGAUUCAACAUAUGUGAUGUCGGUUUAGGGUUUAGGGUUUCAAUGGAAUCUCACCUGAAAACUUGUUCAGCGGCGCAUCGCCACAGACGACUGAGCCAACUCAGACUUCGCCUGAGCCAACUCAGACUUCGCCAGAGCCACGAUCAACGGCGGCGACACCCAGAUAUCGAGAGGGAUUUGAGAUUGUCGGACUGAGGAGCAGAAGGCCGUGGUGUGUAUGUAGGGGAAGGGAGAAGAGAGAUCGAGAGAUUCUGUGUGUGUGUGUGUGUGCGUGGGAGAAGGGAGAAGAGAGAUCGGAGAAGGGAGAAGAGAGAUCGAGAGAUCUCUGUGUGUGUGGGGGGGAGAAGGGAGAAGAGAGAUCGGAGAAGGGAGAAGAGAGAUCGAGAGAUCUCUGUGUGUGUGUGUGUGUUUGGGAGAAGGGAGAAGAGAGAGCGGAGAUCUCUGUGUGUGUGUGUGUGUUUGGGAGAAGGGAGAAGAGAGAUCGGAGAUCUGUGUGUGUGUGUGUGUGGGAGAGAGAAGGGAGAAGAGAGAUCGAGAAGGAUCGAGAGAGAGAGACUGAGGUCGUGGUCUGCGUGUGUGAUGUUUGUGUGUGUGCGUUGUGUGUGUGUGUGGUUGCGUGCGUUGUGUCAUUUGUGUGUGUGUGUGUGGGUUCCUCCUGUCAGGAGGACACAUGACUCACUCAAUAUUCCCGACAAGUUUUACAAUUAUUUUGACAAUUUGACAGACUCACUCAGUAUUCCCGACAAGUUUUACAAUUAUUUUGACAAUUUGACAGACUCACUUUUACAAUUAUAAUUUGUAUUCUUUUCAGACCAUGGAUGGUGGUUUCAUUCAAAACCGUGUGCCGAUAUUGUUUUAAAAGGUGGAGUAUCAGAGCCAUUGUGAUAUUCUUUCAAAGCUGCAUUCUUUCAAGAGGUCGAGUAUCAUAGCCAUUCAGAGCCUUUUCGAUUAUUUUAUUUCCCUUACCCCUCUCAAAGUCAUUCCAGAUCCAUUCCAGAGCUUGAACACAAAGGGUUCCAUAUUUAAAGUAAGUUUACAAACUUAUAUUUAUAUUCUUAUAAUUUAUACAAUAACAAAAAAAUUUGUGUGAACUCGUAUGUUAAUUUUUUUAAGUAAUUAAUACUUGAAUGUUAGUUUUUGUAAGUAAUUAAGUAAUGUUAACAAUUACAUGUUAAUUUUUUUAAGUAAUUAAUACUUGCAUGUUAGUUUUUGUAUGUAAGUAAUUAAGUAAUGUUAACAAUUACAUGUUAAUUUUUUUAAGUAAUUAAUACUUGCAUGUUAGUUUUUGUAAGUAAUUAAGUAAUGUUAAUAAGUAAUUAAGUAAUGUUAACAAUUACAUGUUAAUUUUUUUAAGUAAUUAAUACUUGCAUGUUAGUUUUUGUAAGUAAUUAAUUAAUGUUAACAAUUACAUGUUAAUUUUUUUUAAGUAAUUAAGUAAUGUUGUAUAAUUAUUCCCUAGGAUAAUUUUAAUAUGUUUAAUGUUAUUUAUUAUUUUAUUUCCCUUACCAUUUUCAAAGCCAUUCCAGCUCCAUUCCAAAGCUUGAACACAAAGGGUUCCAUAUUUAAGGUAAGUUUACAAACUUAUAUUUAUAUUAUUGUAAUUUAUACAACAACAAAUAAAUUUGUGUGGACUCGUAUGUUAAUUUUUUUAAGUAAUUAAUACUUGCAUGUUAAUUUUUGUAAGUAAUUAAGUAAUGUUAACAAUUACAUGUUAAUUUUUUUAAGUAAUUAAAUAAUGUUGUAUAAUUAUUCCCUAGGAUUAUUUUAAUAUGUUUAAUGUUAUUUAUUAUUUUAUUUCCCUUACCAUUUUCAAAGCCAUUCCAGCUCCAUUCCAAAGCUUGAACACAAAGGGUUCCAUAUUUAAGGUAAGUUUACAAACUUAUAUUUAUAUUAUUGUAAUUUAUACAACAACAAAUAAAUUUGUGGACUCGUAUGUUAAUUUUUUUUAAGUAAUUAAUACUUGCAUGUUAAUUUUUGUAAGUAGUUAAGUAAUGUUAACAAUUACAUGUUAAUUUUUUUAAGUAAUUAAGUAAUGUUGUAUAAUUAUUCCCUAGGAUAAUUUUAAUAUGUUUAAUGUUAUUUAUUAUUUUAUUAAUAUUAGGUUUUAUUAUCAAAUAGGAUAAUUAUUCAUUAAUAUUAGGUUUUUUUAUUAUCAAAUUGGAUUAUUAUUCAUUAAAUUAGAUUAUUAUCAAAUUGGAUUAUUAUUCAUUAAAUUGGAUUAUUCAUUAAAUUGGCUUAUUAUCAAACUGGACUAUUCAUUAAAUUGGAUUAUUAUUAAAUUGGAUUAUUAUCAAUUUGGAUUAUUAUUCAUCACUAUGUUUUAUAUUAGGAUUAUUUUUAAGAUAAUUGGAUUAUUAUUCAUUAAAUUGGAUUAUUCAUUAAAUUGGCUUAUUAUCAAAUUGGACUAUUCAUUAAAUUGGAUUAUUAUUAAAUUGGAUUAUUAUCAAAUUGGAUUAUUAUUCAUCACUAUGUUUUAUAUUAGGAUUAUUUUUUUUAUCAAAUAGGAUUUUUAUUCAUUAAUAUUAGGUUUUUUUUAUUAUCAAAUUGGAUUAUUCAUUAAAUUGGAUUAUUAUUAAAGUGGAUUAUUAUUAAAUUGGAUUAUUAUCAAAAAUGAAUAUUAUUCAUCACUAUGUUUUAUAUUAGGAUUAUUUUCAUGAAACAUAAUUAUCAUCAUUUAUAGUAGGAUUAUUUAUAUUAGGAUUAUUAUCAAAAAGGAAUAUUAUUCAUCAUUUAUAUUAGGAUUAUUUUUUUAUCAAAUUGGAUUAUUAUUCAUUAAUAUUAGGUUUUAUUAUUCCAUAUUAUUUUUUUAAUUACUUAAAUUUUUACAAUCAUUUUCUUUACUUCAUAUUUAAUUCUUCUGUAGAAUAACUUUAUUAUUUAGGUUCUCUUAUAUAAUCGUCAUCACUACUAUAUUUUUUGGCCAAAAAAUAUUUGUCUAAUUUUCAUAAAAAAUAAAUGUAGGUACAUUUACGAUGUCCAGUGGAGCUACUAAACGUGAUCCAGCUUGGGAACAUGGAUACCCAAUAGACGAAAACAAACAUGGCAUAAUUUGCAAAUAUUGUGGUCGGGUAAUGAAGAGUGGCGGAGUGACACGACUUAAGUACCAUCUUAGUGGAUUAGAUCCAGCAAAAAAUGUCCAACGAUGCGAUAAUGUCCCCCCAGAAGUGAAGGCAUUCAUCAGCUCAUUAUUAAAAAAUAAAAAACAGCAGAAGUAAAAGAUAACACAGGGAAUGGAAAAUAUUCGAGCUGGGCUACGGGGAGAAGUCUAUGGCCAAGAGCUUGACAGUGAUGAUGAUGACGAUAAGGACGAAUGUGAUGAUGACAUGGGACCUGAAGAACAACGUAGUUUGAAACAAGCAUUACGUGCCUUCAAACAGUCAGCAUGGGAAAGAGAACACCUUCAUAAAAUUCCUAAUAGAGCACAAGGUUCCGGGACAAGUGGUGGUGCACAAAUGAGACGGGGAGGCAGUCUUAGAGAAUCACAACCAACACCACCAAUAGCCCCAAGUUUAUAUAAGUCAUCCAAAGCACGUCAAAAGAGUGUUUGGAGUUAUUUCACUGGAGGUAAUGUGAAGGAAGGAAUGGGGCGUCUAAUUAGCAAGUUCUUUAUCUAUGAAAAUGUCCCUGCUGCGAAGGCAUCAUCACAUCAUUUCAAAAAUAUGGUAGUGGGAUGUCAACAAGCUAGUGUUGGAGUACAACUUCCCACUCCCUAUGAGAUAAGAAACAAAUAUUUGGAUAUGGAGUAUAAAGACAUUGGCGAGUAUGUUAACAAGUUGAGGUCAAAGUGGGAAACUAAUGGUUGCACAAUCAUGUGUGACGGAUGGACCGGCCCGACCAGAUUGUCUAUCAUCAACUUCAUGGUAUACUCCAAGGGAAAGACAAUUUUUUUUAAGUUUGUUGAUGCUUCAGACCAUAUAAAGAAUUACAAGUAUAUUUACAAAUUAUUGAGGGAUGUAAUCAUGGAGGUGGGAGAGCAUAAUGCUGUCCAAGUCGUGACCGACAACGGUUCUGCAUUUGUCAAAGCUAGAAAAAAGUUAAUGAAGCGUCAUAAUGUGUUUUGGACAUCAUGUGCAGCACAUUGUAUUGAUCUCAUAUUUGAGGCAAUGGGGAAGACAGAGAAUGUUGCUACUGUGGUCAAAAGAGCUAGAACGAUCACAAAUUAUAUUUACAAUCACGGUUGGUUGUUGGCAAAGAUGCGUGAAUUUUGCAAAGGAGAAAUUAUUCGUCCAGGUACCACUCGAUUCGCCACCAACUAUAUUGCAUUAGACAGCAUACUCAAGAAGAAAGCAGGGUUGAAGCAACUAUUCACUAGUGACGAUUGGGCCAACCACAAUUUGAGCCACUCAAAUACAGGUCGUAUGGUGGAAAGUAUAGUGCUUGAUCAUGCUUUUUGGACUCAAUCAGAACAUGUGUGCCAAGUGUUUGAACCUCUUUACAAAGUUUUACGGAUCGUUGACACAGAGGUGUAUCCUACUAUGGGGGCAGUAUAUGAGUUGAUGCGUGUAGUGAAGGAUGAAUUGGAAAGAAAACAUGGUGCAAGGUGGGUCAUAAAGAUAAUUGAAGACCGAUGGUAUAAAACAUUAUACCACGAUUUGCAUGCAGCAGGUAUAAAUUAUAUCAUAAUUUUGCAAUUCGUUUCUUUAGUUGCAUAAGUAUUAUUUCUCUUAUUAGAGUAUGUGUUUCUUUGAACAACAUAUUAUUUGAAUCCCCGAUACCAAUACAGACCCGGUGUUGGAGAUGAUGGUAACCUUAUACGUGUUGUACAUAAUGUAUACUCUAAAUUAGACCCUGCAUCACCAGCAGUUGGCCAAUUUGGAAAUGAGGUAGACAAUUACUUAAAUUAUAAUAAUUACUUUGUUGGAUUAAACUAACACGAUUUAUUGAAUUCAGCUAACAUGGUUUAAAGAUGCAAGAAGAACUUUUGGAGAACCAACAUCAGUUGCUGCUCGAACAAAUAUGUCUCCUAGUAAGUAUAAACAUAUUUCACUAUAAGUUUAUAAUAGAAUUUGUUGGAGUUAUUAGGCUUAUCAACAUUGUUUUUCAUUGUAGCUGAAUGGUGGAUCAUGUAUGGGAUCGAUGCACCAACUGUGAGAAAGUUAGCAAUCAAAGUAUUAUCACAAACAGCUUCCUCAUCUGCUUGUGAAAGAAAUUGGAGCACAUUUGCACUCAUACACACAAAGCAAAGAAAUAAGUUGGCUCAUAGUAGCUUGGAAAAAUUAGUUUAUUGCUACUACAACAUGAAGCUUCAAAUUCGAGAUAAGGAAGCAGAAAUAGAUCAUGUCGACCGUGGGACCCACUAGAUGUGUUUGAUAUUGUUGGUGAAGAUGAUGAUACAGAGGGUAACCAACUUUUUCAAUGGAUUAGACCUCUUCAUCUAGAUGAAUGAAGGCAACCCAGCUCACAGAAUUGCUGAAGAAGCACGUAAUGAAGGGAUAAAUGUAGAAAGAGUAUUAGAGGAGGAGGUGGGAUCUAGCAGCGCUGACUCUUUGGAAGAACUUUUGCGCCCAAGACCAAGAAACACUGGAAUUCCACCUUCUUCCAAUCCUACACAACCACAACAUCGUGUUGAUACUAAUGAUAGCUCUAGUACAAGAUCAGGAGACUCAUCUACCACCGGAGGUGGGAAUGAUGAAGGACAUAGUAGAGCUGGAGGUAGUGGAGCUGGAGGUAGUGGUGGUGGAUAUGGAAACUAUUAUGGACCACCACCUUUCGGAUAUAUGAGCCCCUUCACUGGUGAGGCAAACUUCACGCAUGCAACACAGGAUGAUGACCAUGGCAGUAGGCGGGCAGGACCAGGAAUUGGUGCCAUAGGGAAGGACUAUACUCGCAGAGAAAGAGGCAAGGGGAUUUUGUCAAGUCAAGAAGAUGACUCGUUAUCUAGAACUUCAGACUCUGUUGGAUUGGGAAGUAGUAACUAUGGUUAUACUCAUAACCAACCAUUUCCCUACCCUUCAUAUCCCAUUCCUGUUGGGAUGGAAUCGAGCGACUCAUGGAAACAAUCCCAGACUCAAUCUUCAAAUUAUUUUUCUUAUGGACAACCUCAACCAAUCUCGGAUCCAUAUGGGUGGCAUGUUAACAAUUACAUGCAAAACUAUUUUGGGGAUUUAUCAUUUGAUAACUACUCUUCAUAAUACACUCAUUCUACACGUAGAGAUGAUGAAGAUAGUGAAAAUUUUGAACCUCAUAGAAAUUUAUGUGGUACUAAAGUGUAAAAUAUUGUACUAAUUCAUUAUAUAUAAAUGAUUAUGGUGUGUUUAGACUUCUUUCAUUAAUUACUACAUAUUUUCUACACUCACAAUGUUUGUCAGCUCGCUAUAUAAUCAACUUGAUAAUGUUAAAUCCAUCAUGCAAUGCAUUUCUUUCCAAUUUUUUGUGAUAAACUAAUAGAUAAUUAACUAAAUAAACAUCCUACAAAGUUUCAAUAAAAAUUUCCAAGUUUUUCUUACAAUUUCCGUGGUUUCCAUGUAAUUUUUAUCGAUAUCGAUAUUUUACCGAUAUUUCCAUCGAUAUUUCCGUGUUUUCGAACUACCGAUAUUUCCGAUAUUACCGAUAUUUUCUUCCUUGACUCUUACCAUAUGCUACUGCAUCUUGAUACUCGGAAGUCUCACGGCCACUCAGUGACUUGGAUUUUUCAAGUCUCCAACCGAGAAGUUUUCCUCACUCAGGAAAUUAAGGGAGCACUACCUCAACAUACAUGCUUCACUCACAAAGCUUCAACAUACAAGCUUCAACCAAAGAAAAAUUCAAAGAACUUAGUGAAGAAGGCUUUGGUGUAUUUAACACAAUACGUUGAAAUGAAGCAAAGCUUAUUUAUUGAUAUCUCCGAUAAGUUACAAAUAUGUACAUAUACAUGAAUCAAAAUAAACAAACAAGAGGGAGCCUUCAUAAAGGUUGCUCAGGAGAAGUCUCAGCAGUCGGCAGAACCCCAGAAAGAGGAGGCACCGGAGGGUGAUCAUUCGGAGCCUCAGUACUGGGCAGAACCCCAGAAGGAGGAGGCAUCGAAGGUUGAUCAUUUGGAGCUUCAGUACGCAGUACAGCCCCAGAAGACGAAGGCAAUAAAUGCCUUUAGAACAAACUCACAAACCUCUGAUGAUCAAGUAAAAUCUGACCAUUAGAUUCCUGUAGCUGGUCAUGCUUCCUCUUCAUGUUUGUAACAUAGUCAUGUGCGAGCCUAUGCAACUGUUUAUUCUCAUGCUUGAGCCCUCUGAUCUCCUGUUUGAGACUUAUCACUUCAGCCGCCAAUGAUUCAACUUGACGGGUUCGAGCAAAUAAAGCGUUGGGCCAUAUUAAACACAGAACUUGCACACUGAACACUGAGAGCCAGAGAAUCCUUAACAGCCAACUCAUCAGACCGUUUGGAAAGUAGUCUGUUAUCUUUAGGAGUAAGAAGGUUUCUGGCUACCACCGCAGAGGUCAUAUCAUUCUUCAUCACAGAGUCCCUAAUGGUAAGAGGACCAGUAGGGGAUAAGAAGGAUGGGCGCCAUAUGUUGUCUUGAGAAGGCAUGGCUGCCUCUUCACCAAAGUUCAAGUAAAAACGACGAUCGGAUGGGCCAGACAUUCUUAGAAAUGAUGAAGGAGAAAUGAGGUGCGAUAAAUCUCUUAAGUAUAAAAAUAAGGGGAAAAUUCCUACAAGCAAUAACUCUCUGAAUGUACUUCUUGCACACAAUUGGUGCCCUUAUAAAAGAAAGGGCAAUAAGGCCGUUGGUUCAAAAAUCAAAGAGGCACCACUUUCCGGAUUCCGAAGAGGCACCACUUUCUACACGCAACAUCAGCUUCUCGGGUACCACAUAUAACUUUGCCAAAGAUCUCUGACAAAGUUUAAACACAUAAAUUUUGAAGGUCCAGCUACCCUACUAUUACCCACAAGGGUAAAGGAACAACAAUACUGCUUGAUAACUAGAAAGUCCCUAUAUGUGUCAACCUCCGUGCUCCGUGGCAAGGCAGACUGGCAAAAAUGCCCAACCUUUACUCACAUUCGAGAAAACACUCCCAACAAGAUUGCUUGCUCAAAAAUCAAAGAGACACAGCUCUCCGAAUCUCGAGAGCCAAACUCCCAACAUGAUUAAUUACUCAAAAAUCGAAAAGGCACCGCCUUCCGAAUCUCGAGAGCCAGACUUCCAACAGGAUUACUUGCUCAAAAAUCGAAGAGGAAUAUCUCUCCGAAUCUCGAGAGCUAGACUCCCAACAGGAUUACUUGCUCAAAAAUGGAAGAGGCACCGCUCUCCGAAUCGAAGAGCCAGACUCCCAACAUGAUUGAUUUCUCAAAAAUUGAAGAGGCACCAUUUUUUGAAUCUCGAGAGCCAGAUCCCCGACAGGAUUGCUUGUUCAAAAAUUGAAGAGACACCGCUUUCUGAACUUCGAGAGCUAGAUUUCCUUGGAUAAAGCUUGUCUGCAAUCUUCACACGCAACAUUAGCUUUCCAGAUACCAUAGACCACUUUUUUAAAGUGCUCUGACAAAGUUAAAACACAUGAAUCUUGCAGCUUUCACUACAUUGCUAUGACCAAGAAGGGUAAAGGAACAGCGUUACCAUUUGCUGUUGGGACAAUUCCUAUAUAUGUCGACCUUCAUCCUCCACAGCCUGGCAGACCUGCAAAUAAAAAAAAUGCUCAACUUUUCUUCACAUCCAAGAGGGCACUCUCAGCAGAGUCUCUCGAAAUACUCAACUUCUUUUCCCCUGAUAAUACCUCUGCAAACAAGCCACACCAGAGCAAGAGUAUCUCAUAUCAUCAGGGUUAAAAGCAAGAGGAUCCCAUAUCAUGUUUUUUCCCUGUCUUUUCCUUUGGCCUUGUUCUAACUUGCAAGACAAGGAGAAAGAGAGCAAUCAGUCAGCACUUGGAAUCAAGCUUCCAGUCAGGAACUCACUGCCUGGAACCCCUUGCCUGAUUACUUACCUGACAUUGCUCUCGAGUACUCAUCUUCAACAUUUUAUGCUUCCAGAGAAGAUACCACAUCUGCCUGAGGAACAGAUAGGACAAGUGAAAAAGAUACAAGGAAGCAUGUGGAGACAAGUGUAAGAGAACACAUGUUGAUACAUCCAAUACUUUGUCAACAGCAAAAUUAUCACAUAUCAUCAGGGUCGAACGUACUCUAGAUUUGAUGGAAUUGUUUUGACCCUCAAAUUCUUGAGUCGGCCUUAUAAUCUGAAGGAAACCAAAAAACCCUUUAGCCCAAUUCAAGAAUAAACCUGUGGAAAGUUAUUUCUUCAAAAGCAAAAGUAUCUCAUAUCAUCUUUUCUCCAUUUGCUUCUCCUUAACAUUGUUGCUGUUUACGACAUAAGGAGAAUGAGAACAAUCAACCGGAAGCUGAAGUCGAACCUUCGAUCCAGGUUGCUUGCUUGGAAGUUUGAUUGCUUACCUUGUAUGUUACCUUAUUCGGCAAAUCUCCUAGCUCGGCGACUUGGGGGACUCCUACUAUAGGAUUUGUAUCGCACUUAACCAAGCUUGAAACUACAAGUAAGCUUCAAGUGAAAUUGAUACAUUACCUUGUGCAUCUUCAUCAGUUAAAGAUACCACCCCUGGAUAGAGGAAAAGUACUUCCAGAGAAGAUGUCACAUCUACAUAUGAGACAGAUAAGGCAAGUGAAAAUGAUACCACACUUCGGUACUUAGAAGUUACGUGAUUACUCAAUGGCUUGGAUCUUGCAAGUCCCCAACCGAGGAGCUUCCCUCACUCGGGAACUUAGGGGAGCACUGUUUGUACCAUACUUGACCAAUCCUAAUACUACUGAGCACCGGUCAACGUUAUACCGUCAAGGACCCAUAAGAGUUUCCCUCCAACCAGGAGGCCAAUCACAACGCGACACGUGUCGACAUCAGAAGCCAAUCAUAACGCGACAUGUGUCAACAUCAGAAGCCAAUCACAACAUGACACGUGUCAAUGUCAGAAUGAAACUAGAAACUCUCUUCUAUAAAUAGAGAUCAUUCUCUCACAAUAUUUCCUAAUGUCAUCGGUACUAAAUCACUCACUAGUACUCAUUAAAGGAGAGCUUGAACCUAUGUACUUGUGUAAACCCUUCACAAUUAAUGAGAACUCCUCUACUCCGUGGACGUAGCCAAUCUGGGUGAACCACGUACAUCUUGUGUUUGCUUCCCUGUCUCUAUCAUUUACAUACUUAUCCACACUAGUGACCAGAGUAAUAUAACGAAGGUCACAAACUUAACACUUUCUGUUGUACCAAAGUCCUCACUGAUUUUGUGCAUCAACAGGUAGUAUGGUACCAAUUAUAUAUAUAUAUACAGAUGGUUCUCACUUGGGAUCAGUUGUUGUGUAAUGGUUAAGUUAAUUAUCAUUGGAUUUUGUUAGUGUUGUAUUAUAGAUGGACCAGUCUUUGUGUGUGUGUGUGUGUGUAUAGUAUGGUACCAAUUAUAUAUAUGCAGAUGGUUCUCAAUUUGCCAUAUUCUUUAGUUUCAACAUCACUGCUAUAUUUGGAUUUUGUUGUUGUUAUCUGGUUUUGUUCUUUAAUUUUGUUUUUUUUGGUCUAUGCUUAGAAAGUUUAAGGUUUAUGGUUUUGUUCUUUGGUCCUGUCCUUGUGUGUGUGUGUGUGUGUGUGUGUGUGUGUGUGUGAUUAAGUGAUUUGUUUCCUUUUUCAUUCUUGGUGGUUUGUGUGUUCAAUCGUUUCUGCCCUAGUUCUGGUAUGGAUUGUAGGAGUAAUGACAUUAUUUGUGCUUUUUUGAGGUAUAGCAACUUGGGAAGGCUCUUCUUUUUUUAAUUAAUAGCUUCUGCAUUUUUGUUUUGGCCAACAUAGAGCGCUGUUUUCUAUGGCUCUUGGUGAUCAAUAGGGUUAGGCUUGGUAUCUAUUUUAGUACAGUUGGGAUUUAAAUAAUUAAAGAUCUAGUUCAUCAUAAGAAGAUAAAGAUAAGAAGUAAAUAAUGAAUGUUAAAAAAGUUCUAGUGGCUUGUUUCUGUUCUAGCUGUGUUGGUUUGUUUUUAUUUCAUUGAAUCUGAAAUGUAGGGUUUUCUGUAUGGUGUUGUAGUUCGCAGUCGCACAGUUUUGGGAUUGGAAAGGUUGUCGCCAGAUUCUUGAGGAUAAUAUGAUGUUGGACGUUAAAAAUGUCAUGUUUAUAUUCUAUUUUUGCUUACAAAUUCAAUGAGGAUUGUUGUUGGAACUGGGACAUUGGAUGUGGUUUUGGAUGUUAGUUUGGAAUUUAUUGCAGAUGUCUUAGACUUUCGGAUAUUUUGUAUGUUGAUUUGAUUUUUAGAUGUUGGACGAUGUAAUAUUGUUAUUUUGGAUGUAUUGUUAAUCUAUGAACUUGGAUGGAAUCAUUUUGGAUGUAUUGUUUUUUGCAAUAUGUGCAAUUUUUUUUUUCAAACCAAAAGAAAAAUAGAAGGGGGACCCAUGGACCCGGCUCGAACCGGCCCGUUUCAACCGGGCCGGGUAAGGUCCGGUUCCUAUAUUAGAAAAUGUAAUCCCCAGCCCGGCCCGUUUCCUUUGAACCUAGGUUCGAUCCGAUCCCUUCAAAAUUGGGCCCGGCCCAGCCCGUGCCCACCCCUACACCAGACGGAAUCAUAAGCACAAUAUGAAAGUGUGGUCUCUUAAUACGGAUUAACCAAGCAAGACCACCUAUGGAUCUAAUGUGACCAUGUAGGCAUUGACCCACCCAUUGAGGAUUAAUCAGGCGGAGUUUCCCUUAAAAUGCAUGGUCCUCCAAUGCUGAUUAACCAAGCGAAACCAUAGUCAUGCAUUCAAUAGCGUGGUUCCCCAAUGUGAAUUAACCACGUUGAACUACUUUAUGUAAAUAAUGUAUCAAGGUAGGUAGUGACCCCCUAAUGCGGAUUAACUAGAAUGGACCAUAAACAUACCCAUAAUAGUGUGGUCCCCAAUAAGGGAUUGACCAGGCGAAACCAUCCAUGUACCACACUACUACAUGGUGCAGUCUGAUCAUCACACAUCAUAUAUCUUAUAUUGUACAUCAUACAUCAAUUCAACAUAAAUCACAAUUGUAUACGCACACAUUAUCGAUUUCAUAAGACCAACAAUAUCUAACCACAUAGACCUACACGUUUUAAGGUAUGUUUCUAAUAUGGUCCCCAAUUUAUCUACACAUACUAGUAAUCAUCCAUUUCCAAUACUCUCAUUUAGAAGUCCAGUAAACACGUAAAUCUCAGUAAGAUACCUUGCACACAAACCGAGGUGUACAACUCUCGAGAUGACACGCAAGCCAAGUAAGCCCACUACGCUUUAUCGGGUCUCUAUCAACGCUAAUUCAGCAUUUAAGAAGGAAUCAUAACAUGUUGAUAAAAAAUGAAUCCUCAAUCAAGGGUCCCCGUCUAGAUUGUGAACCUUAAUAUUCUAAUUCAGAAAAUUCGAGCAUUGGAUUUCCGAUCUAUAAUUCUUAAGAUCCUAAAGUAUACGCAUGACAUACUAAAGUUUUAUGAUGAUUCAAAGGUCGGAUCUCCGCCUAUCAUAAAGGUUAAGCGGUGGCCAUUUACAAAAUUGGGGCGAAACUUGGGUCUUAUCAAAUAGAUUCAGAGUAUGUAAAUUAGCAUAGGUAGACAAAAUGGGUCAUUCAGCUAACGCAUCAUUACAUGCGGGGGCCCACGACUCCCCAGAAUUCGAACAAUACCAAAGCCGAUUCAUAAUAUGUCAAAAUGAAGCUUGUGAGCUAUACAAAAAUCUUCAUACCUUCGCCAGAGUGCGAAUUGGCCGGAAGUCGUUAAAAUUCGUCCGGAAGCCAUUAUAUCUGAGAAUGGGUGUACCUUCAUCAUGGAUUCGUUAAAGCUCGAACGUCCAAACCAAAGCUUAAGUUUUAUAGCUGGGGUCACGAUGAAUCAGUCGGUGGUGGUGUUUGGCGUCGAGGUGAACGGAUGAGGUAGAUCUCAGGUGUUAAACACUCAAAAACUUGAGCCUUGAUUCCCCAAGAAUGGUGAUUAAAUGAACGAAAUAUUAGGUGAAAAAUAAUCCUUGGGAUGAGGGGAGUUGAACCUAGGUAGAGAUCAGGAUCUAUUUGUCGGAAAAAUAUCGGAAUCGACGUCAAAAAAUUUUGCAGGAAAACGGGUCGGUAACUGAGUCGGGGAGGGAAAUUGGGUCAAUUAGCAAGUUGGCUUUCCUAAAUAUAGAAGUUCCAAGUUAUUAAAAUGCCCCUGCCUUUGCUCGCUUAUUUCUCUUUCAUUACAACUUCAUUUCGCCAACUGUUUUCUCCUAUAUGUUUGUAGGAUCGAGCUCUAUCUAAAUAUACUUAGUGUGACCCCAAAAGGUCUACUAACUUUUAAUGACUAAUUACGCAAAAACAAACAUUGUAACUAGUUAACUAAAAUUUCUCAAAUUAAUAAAAAUAAAAUCACCUACAUACAAAUUACAAAAUUUAAAAUAGUGAAAUUCAGGAAAGGGGUUUCACAUCAGCAUAAUCCUGGUAGAACGUUGAGGUUAGCCUACCAUGGCAUGCAACCUUAUUGUUAGGCUGCCAACGAGGAGUCUCUCCUAUCGAUAAUCGCCACUUACUACUUAGAACUCUAUCAAGUUCAAUUUCCCUCAAUCUAUUUCUGACAUAGACAUCGAAUGCCCUUUGGUGGACACACUCCCCCUUUGCUUGGGUGUUUGUCAUUAGCCUAACGGUGUUAAUUGUUUUGGAGGGGUGAUUUCGUCAAUCUACCCUUGGUGAAAAAUUGCAUACACAGCUAGAGCCUACCUAUUCAACCCAUUGUGUCUCGAGUUCCAACUCUCUCCCUUUCCCUAAGUGUAGAUUGUGUAUAAUAGCAUUUGUGAUCCAAAACAAAACAAGAACAACAUUGCUUCUUGUUUGCUUCUUUUUAUUUUUUAUUUUUUAUUAUUAUUAUUUUUUUCAACCGAGCCCCAUUCAUUCAAUUUAGACUUAUGAUUUUCUUUCAAUAAGGUGAAGACUGAAAUGAAAAAAAAAAACUAGUAGAUUGACAACAACAUGAAUUGGUUGUUAGAAUCUACGAAAACAAGAGUCUUUAUCCUGGUUUUAAUUACUGGCUUUAUUACAUACCAAAUCAGUUACACGUAGCAUCCAACGUAUCCAGUUUUCCAGUCAAAAAAGCGCUUAUAUACAUUCACCAAACCUGAAAAAAAAAAGAAAAUGAUAAACAUAGCAUGACUAAAAGGAUCGAGAGUGAUGAGAUUAGGGUAAAUGGUUUCCAGUAUGAAAGGAUCCAGAGUGAUAAGCAAAGCGUAGACCAUAAUAAGACGCGAAGGCAGAAGGACGAGAAAUUGAUUCAAAGUUAGGUAAAUCUAUACCUCUUCCUCCUUAUGUUUGUAGGCAUGUGUCAAUAGUUAAAAAACAUAGAUAUGGAAGAUCUUGAACUAGAUUUGCAUGUCCUCCAUGACUCCUUUCUUGUUAACUUUCGCAUCCAAGAUUUGCAUUGUGUUAUUUUGGCUGCAAAGUCAUCAAAAGAUGAUUCCCCCAAAAUGAUUUUCAUAGAUUUUUGGAAAAAAAAAAAAAACAGUAAAUUCAAUUACUUUUUUUUUUUCUGCGGAAAAAAGAAAACAUCGAAUUUCCUCAUAACACUCAAGAUCUGGCUAUAGGCUCCCCAUGGUUCAAUUUCAAUUAGAAGAUAAUCAUCUGAUUAUUUGAUUCAACUUCCUAUCGCAAAACCUCCUUUUCGUUUCUGUUUUUAGUGAAUUCCUUAUAUAUAUUGAUAUAUUUCUUUCUUUCGGAGAAAAAAAGGUUUAUGAAUUCUAAUUAUAAUUAGCCAACACACAUAAAUCUUUCUUUGUUCAUGGUUAGUGAGGUGAAAUUAAGUCGAGAGGAUUCGGUCAGCUCUGAACCGGAGGCCGACAAAUAUGAGUCAGUGGGCUGCCACUUGGACGCACAUUUGUCUCUGCAUGUAACCAAAACGCUCGCAUGAUUUACAUUUGCAGUCAUAACCGUCCCACUUUUGCAUCCUAAUUAUCAAUUUCUCUCUUUUUUUUUCUUUUUCUUUUCACAUGAGGUAAAAAAUAAAUAUUUGUUCAAAUAGACAAAGUGUAUCUAUUGGCUAAAGAGUAAAGACCAAAUUUACCCGCUUCACUCUUCAUUUUAAUCUUGCUGUACAUUUCAUGUUUUCCACAUAUUUUUCCGCUCAAUAUGUAAUUGACUUGUUGGCAUAAAAUUUUGGGGCUUGUUUGGUAUAAUAUUAAAAAAAAUUCAUAAUUUAAAAAAAAAAUAUUUCUUAAGAACAAUUUGCUUUACAUUCAAAAAUUUGUUUGGUAUGAAAUUCAAAAUGAUUUUUAAAAUUUAGUAAUUAAAAAGAUAAAGACAAUCUACAGCAACUCCCCGUUGAUUUGAGAGAUCUAAAGAGAGGGUCACAGGAAAAGUAGAAGAGAAAGAAAGAGGAAAGAGAGAUAAGGGUAGAGAGAGGAGAGAGAAAUAGGAGAGAGAUUCGAAGGGGGGGGGGAGAGAUGAUCAGUUCAGAAAGGAGAGAUGAUCAUAAGUGAAGUGAAGAGAGAAAUUAGUGGGUUUAGAGUUUAAAAAACUCUAAAAUCUCACUUUUUGUGUUUUCUAGAAAUAUGCUAAUUUUUAAGUUAGUUUUGAGUUCAAUUCUUAAAACCCAAACAAAUAUUCAAAGUUUAAGUGUUAUUGAGUCAAAAAGUUGAAUUAAAGUAGAAUACCAAAUAUUUUCUUAAAAUUCAGAUCUUUAGUUUGUUUUGCUAAUGAGUUAGAAGUUGAGUAGUUUUAAGUCAUAGUUUGUCAUGUUACAUUGUUGAUUAUAAAUAAGUGUUGCAUAAGUGGAAGAAAUAUAUAUUUAAAUACGUAACAUUUAUUAUUUAGUUAAUCACAUAACAUGUUAAAUUGUGCGAUAACUCAAAAGAAUUUUGAUAAAAAUUGUCCAGAGCUACACAAAUCAUUCAAAUCUAUGAUAGCUAGACUACCACAAUGCAACCAUAUCCAAAACACAAUUCAUGUUGUGGAACACUUUUUAUAAGUAUUUGUUAAAAAAUAAAAGGAAACUAUCUAUAUCAUGGGAAAUGACUUCUACACCUCCCUUUCUCUCUUAGCCCUUUUUUAUUUUUCUAAGAAUUAGAUUGAAUAAAUCAAAGAAGAAUUAAAUGCAGAAUGAGAAAACUAAAGUGUGAAAAUCACUACCUAUAUCAGUAGUGCCACCAUUCUCACACCCAUCAAAUUUUAAAGAAAUGCUACUCCUCUUAUCACUUUCCUUUAUUUUGUUCAAUACUUGAACAGUUUUUUUCAUAGAAUAACAAGGCUUUGGUAGAAGAAUAGUUUCCCGGAAAUAGAUUUUGCAUGUAGGAUAAUAUUGCUGUUUCUUUGGUGUGGAUUAAUAGAUAUUGAACAUUGUACAUUAGGUAUUCUUUCGGGUGGAUUAAUCUAUGUUGGUGAUACAAUGAACCAAGUUUACUCCUCAAAAUCACAAACUAAACACACACAAAUUAAUAUAUUGUUUUGUUGGCUGCAUAAAAAUGCAGGAUUUUUCUUCCCCCAGUCUCCUCAUAUUUGAACGCUAACAAUUAAUACUAGGACUAGGACUUUCCAAUUAUACUUGGAGAGAAAUACCAUUUCAUAAUAGUGUGACAUCCUGCAACCCAAGGGAAACUUAAAAUGAAAAUUGGGCAACAAAGAAAUGAAACCCUAUUUGGUUUUUGGUUCCGAUAUAAUUGAGAAAAAUAGAAGGUUUAGAAACAAACCAUAACACCCCAAAAACAUGAAAACAUCCACUCACAAAAAUAAAACUUGUGGGCGUACUUUAAGCCCAUAAACACCACCAGCGUAUCGUACCAUGUUAGGAUUUGUUAUGUAUAUUUCUGUCUGUUUCAGCAAACUCACGCAUAGUUAUAGUUUUUCAUGCGCGCGUUCGUGUUUGUAUGUUUUUGCUUUAUGAUUUUUGAGAGGAGGUGAGAUUGUAGCUGUUGUGCCUCGAACAGAUCAUCAAUCCAACCCCAAUCCCAUUGUCCAAAUCGAACAAGAACCCUCUUCGAAUACUCCAAAAUUUCUAUCCACUCUGUUUUUUGUGUUUUCCGUCUGUUUUUUUCUCGGCCACCAAACACGUCCUAAUAGCUAUCAUCAUUCACCAACACAGAGUCAGGAAACCCCGUACUAGGUUUUGUUUGCGCGCUCAAUUUCUUGGUGAUAUGAUUCCUGUUUCUUGAUUUUUCUGGUCAAGAAUAUUGAAGGUGACAUGCACCAGGUGUACGUGAGUUGCAGAAUAGUUAAAGAAAGAGAGUAGAACUGCACUGGUUUGUGUUCGUUGACAUGAGUGGUCAGGUGGUCAAGAGAAACAGAAGGGAGAUCGAGGCAUGCAUGACAUGUCCACUCUGCGAGAAGCACUACUGCGAGGCCACUACCAUAUGUGAAUGCCUUCAUACAUGUCAGUACCCUCUCUCUCCCUCCUCAUGUUUCAUCCAAUAUUAUGUUUUUUUUUAAUCGGAUUUCAUGUUUCUUUCUUGAAGUUCUUCCUUUCCUCGAUAUGGGUUCUUUGUUACGUUUUCGUGAUCAGGGUUUUUAUUCAAUUUGCGUUUUGGUUCUAAGUUUUUUUUGAAGAAACUGUAAUUAGCACUUCAAAAAUAUCAUUAUGCGUUAUAUCUUAUAAAAACAUAAGAGGAAACUUGCAUGUCUAUAAGUUCAUGAUGAGCAUUUUGGAGUGUCAAUAACAACUCCCUUUUGGAAUAUGUCAAUCUACUAAUCAUUGUUUGCUAUUUCCUUGCAUAUGUGUAAUGAACGACUUGGACUUCAUGGUUGCAUGGUCUAUAAAUUUAUGUAGUGUUAAUAUCUUGGUCACGUUUCACUAUUCUGCACUGGACAAGACAAGACCUAAUAGCAAAGAGUUGCGGCUAAGUUUUUCGAAUUUACUUGGCAAUUAUAUUUCCAAAGAAGCACUAUCUCUAUUUUCCAUCACAUAUUAGACUCCAGUUAUUUCUUAUGUUUCACUGGAACAUUGUUUGGUAAUCCAUAUUUUUUGUUAUCUUUCUUCGCUCAUUCGUCCCAUACCGUCUUAAUUUCUGUCUAAAUUCAUCUGAAUAAUAUGGUUAUUUGAAUCAUAUGGAGUAAGCUGCAUUAUGUGUUUUAUUUACCUCAGUCUCUCGUAUAAUCAUCUGAGCUGCAUAUUGAUUGUUCUUCUAUCAGUCAAAUAUGUGACUUGUCUCUUUUGGUUUCAAGAACAGUUUGCAAGAAGUGCAUAUACUCAAAGAUAGUAGACGAAGAGUUGGACUGCUGUCCAAAAUGCAAUACUUAUUUAGGGGUUGCUCCAUUGGAAAAACUCAGGUAUUUGAAUUUGGUCAUCAAUAGUAGUCCUAUGUUUAUAAAUGUUUAAACAUCGGUUACUCAUUCAUGUUCUAAUUUUAUAGCAUGCUAGAAGAAUGGUUAUACUGUAAAUUGGAUUAUUGAUCGCGUACUUUGUUACCAAAAAAAGAAAGAUUUGAUGCACAGACUGUUUAAUUAAUAGUACAGGCCCUGGACACUGGAUAAAUUGAAAAGCGUACAGUUUAACUACUAUAAUUUUGCGUAGAACCAAUUGUUCAGACCAACUGCUGUGCUGGGAAGGUAUUGUGUAUUCAGCAAGGGACAGAUGCAAAGUGUAGUUUUCUUUUUAUUUACACUUCCACUUUUCAUUACAUUCAACGUUUAGUUACCAUUUUUUGAAAUUUCUUGAUGAGCAAACAUACAGUGGCAAGCAGGUUCACAUUUGAUGAGGGUUUCCUAGAUUGCUGAUAUGGAAAGGUUACUUUUAAUAUCUGUGUUUAUUUUACGUUAAUCUUUUUGUUUCCUUGUCUGCAGGGCAGACCCCCUUUGGGAUAGUAUAACAGGCAAGAUCUUCCGUCCUGACACAGAAAAAGUCAAUGCACCUGCUGACCACAAUGUGCAAGAUACAACGGCGGAGCCCCUUCCUUCCGAAACAAAAAUGGUUAAGGCACUUGCAGACCUCAAUGUGCAAGAUAUAACAGAAGAGCUGCUUCCUUUCGAAAGUAGAAAGUCCAAGGCACCUGCAGAUGACAUUGCGCAAGAUAUAGAGAUAGACCCACUACUGUCCGAAAGGAAAAAGGUUAAGGCACCUGCUGUGUCUUCAGCUCCAAUCCCAGCUAAAAGAAAAGAGAAAUAUCUCUCUUCAUUGGUGAUAAAUUCACCUCAAGUAUCAGGCGGACCUGAGAUGAGUGGACGAAGAAGGUAUCCUACACGAAGGAGAGUUCCUCUACGAGAGUAUCCUUCAUUUCAGGAGCCUGAAAAGAAAGAGGAAGAUUUCCAUGAGAGAGUUAAGUCACCUCAGACACUAAAAAAAGAUGCACUAUAUACCAGACAGGUAAAAGAGGAAAAACAAUAGUCGGUUCAAUGCAUUUGCUUCUCCAUUUUUAUCCUCUCAAACAUGUUGAGUUAUGUUGAUGCAGAACUCUACUGAGGGAUCAUUGAAGCAGCACAUGCUUAACAUGGAUGUGGAGGACAAUUCUCAACCCGAAGAUGUGAGACCUGAGAUCUGGAAACCAUUAGACAGCCUGGUUGAAGCGGCAAGAAAAUCAAGUUCUGAUAAGAUUAAUCUGCUACUGCAACUUCCUGUUUCCGAACCAAUGUUGCCUGAUGCGCUCAACAACGAAGCACGUGAGGUGAAGCCCAUUAUGGAAUAUGGUAACAAAUCCAAAGUCGGUGGAAGUAUGAAUCAAUCUAAUCCUGCUCCAUCGGGUUCAGGGAGUUUUAGGAAACCACAACGUGGCCGCAAAAGAAAACUAGCUGUACCUGAGGGACUCAAUAUUCCAGCACAAUCUUUGGUUGAUGCAAAUAAUAAAUGUGACAGAAUAUUACGUCCAAUUUGGUUCUCGUUGUUUGCUUCCAAUCACCAGUGAGAUUUUGUUUCCUUAGCAUAAACCAAUAACUGAUUUUGGUUGUUUUUUCCCUCUUCAUGUAUUGAGUUUGACACUUUUGAAUUGAUUGUUGCAGGGAAGGCUUUCCACCAUUGCCGCAGUUACCUUCAUUUUACUUGAGAGUCAAGUAAGUUUCAUUAACCUCAUGCCCUUCUAUUUUCUUGCAUUUACUGUAUUUGCUGAUCCCUCACCAUUUUGGUUGUCGGAAUGGAAGUCUUGUUGUUUAAUUGUAUCUUUCCCUGCACCAUGAAUUUUUCAGUCUCGAUGCAAAGUUCAUGGCAAUAGAUCAUAUCUUACAAGCAAUUUGAUUUUUCGCUCGUGAUUCAUGAUAUGCUCAACUCAAUAUCUAAGAGGCUUCCUAUGGUGUUUAGAUAACAUGAAGAUACUGCUCUGGUAUCACAAAAAAUGAAAUUUGUUUCUACUGCAAUCUUUUGUUACUGCAAUUCUGCAACAUAUGAUAUGCAUUCAUGAAGCUUUUUAGGCUUUUACAAAAUAUAUCAUUUUCCAGAUGCCACAUGUUUUCGAAGGACAAAAGAAAUAUCCUUUCCAUUUUUAGUUGUUACACAACUGUACUGGCUUUCCAUGGAUCGUUGUUUAGGAAUAUUUUUCAGACUUGUUUGAAGAAUGCAUGUGCCCUUCUUUUUUCUCAUGCCCCCUUUUCUUGGAGACCACUCAGGGAUUAUACAUGGCAGGAGUAUACAAAAUUAAUCCUGUGGGACUGAACUGACCAUUAGAUGAAAAUGCUCUCUUACCAUUUUCCGGCAUUGUCUAGUGUACUUUUUUUUGUGUAAUAUCUUGCAGGGCAGACACUAAAUUCGGUUUUGUUUCUCGAAAUUCUCUAGGGAUGGUAGCAUACCUGCUUCUUUCAUAAAAAAGUAUCUGGUCAAAAAGCUGAAUCUUACCAGCGAGGAUGAGGUAACAUCAUCUUUGUCCCUUUUCAGUUACUACUUUUUGUGCAUGUAUGAAACUUAGAACUUAGAUGGUGAAGAAAAGGAGAGGAGAAGCGUUUUUCUUAUAUCGAAAAUGAAGAUACAUUGUCCUGCAACAAAACCAAAUUUAUCCGUUUUAUUUCUCGAAAAGAAAAGAAAAGAAGUGAAUCAGAGAUAUUCGAUUUGUCCAUCACUGCAUACUGUUCACUUGAGAUUUUGGGUAAUUUGCUUUGGUGAUAAUCUGCCUUGGUACAUAUACUUGUGGCGAGCAGGAGAAAGCACUAAAUUCAUGAAUUGUUUAUAUCUGAUAGUGACAUUUGAAACUAAACUUGAUGAUAAACAUGCGAAAACUCAGUUGAUUUGAACACUAAGCACAAACACGAUUUAUCUGUGCAGACCAGCAAAAUUAUUAUGCUAAACAGACUUUUUAAAUUCAUGAAGUGUGCCUAAAUUUGAUACUGAGUUUCACUUGAUGCCUAAUGCAGGUGGAGGUCACAUUGCGCGGUAACCCAAUAGUUCCGACAUUGCAGCUGCAUAACUUAGUCGACUUGUGGUUACAGACAACACCGGCUUCACAAAGCAUUCAGAUCUCCAUAGGAAGCUCUGCAAAGGAAUACGUGAUGCCCCUCAUGUAUGGUCGAAAAAUGCUGCCUCGGUAGCUUUAGCUAUUCCUGUAGUCACAAUUCUGUGAAAGUGAUCAGUCCAGGCAACGGCAGUCUGAGCUGCCUUCACCGUGUUGUUCUCCGCAUGAAAAUUCAUUUGUUCUUUCUUUUCAUCCCCGCGUGCAUAUACUUGCUUUGCUUGCAGUGUGGUGUUCCCGGUACUUCUUACUCUAAGCAGGUUUUCGAGUUAUACUUGAACAGGAUCUGUUCUUUAGGAUCGUAACUCUGUAUCAUGGUUUCUAAGUUUUUGUAGAAUUCUCUCGUCGAAAAACAAUAGAUUUUCAAAACAGAUGAAGCUGGUUUAAAUUAUAACUCUUGGCGCAAUAUCGGUUAAUAGGAAUAUACCUAAAACAUUUCUUUUCCUCCUUUCUGAUAAUUUCAGAAGGGCUUAAAUGUUAACUGGAAUCUUACAUCUACUUUGAACGAGCAGAUAAUGCGAAUGGCGGACAUUUGGGAAUACGAAUGUGAAUAUUCCGUAAAUGUUAAAACUGGGGAGCCCCAGUGCCCAUGGACAAACUGAUGAAUGGUUUUUUCUCAAUUUUCACCACUAAUGAAAAGGAGCUAGCAUCGCACAUGAUUACCCAGAAAAUUGCAGUACACAACUUACAUGCUUUUACAAUGCAUGAACCGAUACAGCUACCUACUCUGUACCCAUUUGUUCCACAUUUACCAUGAGAAAGCACUGAUGUAUACAAGUUUCUCCGUUAGAAGCUGAACAAGUAGAGUGCGUGAACAAUUGCAGACUUCAGAAGCAAGGCGCAGCAUCUCAAACUGGAUCUGCCGGAUGAAGAAUGAAGAAAUGCCACCACCUGCAAUGCAUACAUUGAAAAUAUACAUAAAAAUGAGCGAGAAUGCAUUAGCUCAAUCGCCACUCAUGGGAACACUUGACCUAAAAUGUUGAAACAAGAAAUACGGUAAGCAUAACAUGUCAACAGAUCAAAUUAACAAAAUAGACUUGGGGGCCAAUACUGGAAGGUCAUAUUACAACCCUUCCUGACUAACAGCCAAAACUAAGAUGAUUAUAAAUUAUUUCAAAAUUCCAUACCUGCGAUUGUGUUUUCUUCAUUCACUGCAAAAUCAGAUAUAACCGGCGUAUGACAGCAUACAUCCAAUGGCACCAGUUUGAGAACUACGAUUAACAAUAAACAACUCAAGAAACAACAAUAAGUGAUUGCUAGUGAUUACAAUCAUUUUUUUUUUUCCAGAAUGUGAAGUAGGUACCAAACUCUUACAUAUCCUGGAAACAAAUUCAACCGUAAUAACUAGCAAUCAAGCAGCAGCAAAUGAUCAGCCUAGGACAUUUCCAAGCCAGAUGUGUAUUUAUCCAAAGCAUUCAUAUAUGUAAAAAAUGCAUGUUUUGGGUAAAAAGCACUCGGCUCAAUUCAAUCCUGAUAGAGAAUUAAUUCAUCGAUUAUUUCUCGAGGUUAAAAAAAAUCAUGUCACUGCCCUUUGUACGUGUGAUAUUGCCUAAAUCAUACGACAUAAAAAGAUCAAUUCUCAAGAGCAGCGGUACUGCAUAAACCAGUAGCUCCUCCAUAUGGAUGGAGAGCGACAAAACAGAACAUAGCUGUCAAAGAUGGAUGAUGCCUCAUUUAGACCCAAAACCGGACAACUUUUUCUAUCAGGAAUAGGUAACGGGUAGAACGGUUGAUAGAGUUACCAGUGCUAAACCACCCCCGUCAAUAUGAAAGAUGCUGACAACAGAAAUAAAAUUAGUUUUAUCUCAUAUCCCUAAAAUUCAAUGGAUUAGUCUUUAAUAUCAUAUCUAAGGCUUCAAAAUCAAGACUAAAUAACUUUAGCAUGAAUAUGAAACGACAUAUACAUGAUGAAAGUACACAGUACAGAUUUCAUACGCCAAGUAAUUCAUACGAAUACAGAGGAAUUGAGCUGCAAAAUUACCACAGAACACAAGGCGCUCAUCCUCCCAGCUUAUCCCGUUUAGCCCACGAGCACAUUCACUUCUUCUCCUGCGCAAUGUACUCCCGAAUUCUCUUUGCUUUCUCUGUCAUUUCCGCAAGUGCCUCCUCCGUCUCACCAAUGAUCUGUUUUGGCAAAUGCCUCUCCAAAAACCCAAACCACUCCCCGAGCGUCAUCUUCUCCAAGUCACAGCUCACAUUAACACCCGAACCACUCCCACUUCCAUUGUCGCCCUUAAUGCGAUUCCCGCUUCCAUUUUCAACCUUUUCGCCAUUCCCACUUCCACUUUCACCUUUUCCACCACUCUCUUCUCCAACGCUGAACUCUCUAUCCGCCUCCUCAUGUCUCUCUUCCUCCAAUUUCACCGCUUUUGAAGCUUCAUUGUCAAGUUUAUAGCACACCGGUUGCUCUUUUGGUACAUUCUUCCCCCUCCUUGCACCACCACGUGUCCUUUUCGGCAAUCCUUCAGCGUCUACACAACAGCUCUCUGCAAUCUUCCCCAAUUCCUCAUUCUUCGUGAUCCGAGUUUGCCUCACACUCACUUGCCGUGUCAAUUUUUCCUCCACAGGCUUCUCCUCCGCAACCUCACUCUUCAAAACCCUAGCUUUGGGCGGUCGACCCCUCCUCUGAUUCCCCUUGACCUCAAUUUCCUCGACACGCCUCGGGUUCCGUCUCAGCCGGCUCUCUUCGUAGCCAUCGAUCUUAACCUCAAUGGAAGUGCACUCGCCGAUUUUGAUUUCGUCGCCGUGGCUGAGAUCCAGCGGCGUGUUUGGGGGGACAUUGGUGCCAUUCAAAAGGGUUCCGUUUGAGGAGUCAAGGUCUCGGAGCACCCAUUUGCCCGAUUCGGACUCGAUGGAGAGGUGCUUGGAAGAAAUGCCGGAGUCUUUGAUCGGGAUGUUGUUGCAGCGGCCGUCGCGGCCAAUUCGGACCUUGGAUCCGGGUCGGAAGUGCCGGGUGUCGCCGUUCCAAUUAUGAAACCCCGGGCCUCGGAGCAUUUUCAGGUUGAGAGCUAAGGGCUCCAUUGUUUCUCUGAGUCUGACAGAAGAAAGGAGGGAAAUUGUAGAAACUAUUUUAAAUGCUUUUCCGUUUUCAGAGUAAAUACUAGCCUCUUGCCACACUUUUUUUAUUUUAUUAUUAUUUUUUAUUUGAUAAAAUGUAUGUAUUGUUUUUAUAUUUUCCUUGUUAUUAAUUUUUAGUACAUGGGUUUUUUCAUGAAUUCAUUUUUUUUUUUAAUUUUAAUAGGAAAAAAGCAAUUUGGAUAUUAUGAAAACUUCCUUCUUUUUGCUUUCUUUCUUUAUGUUUACUAACUUCUUUACACGCACUCACGCUCAUGCGAGAGACAUUUUUGCAUCACGGAUGUUACGCUCUUCAAAGAUGUGUUGCUUUAGAUAUUCUUAAGUGAUUAUUUUGUAGAUUGUAUGUUUGCAUACAUCAUAACAAUUUUUAUUAUUAUUUUUUUUUUCAAUAAUUUCCUUAUGAUUUUUUUUCUCUACAGUUGUGUUACAAUGAUUAUUAUAACCAAGUUUUAUAAUUAAUGCACAUACAAACCUUAAUUUUCUCUAAUCACGGGUGUCAUGCACCACACAGUUUUAAAACACAUUAGUGGGGUAAUUUCUUUGGUGGGAUAAAGAACCACUAUCAGGUUUUCUUUAUCAUGGACUAUUAAACAUUUGUCAUUUUUUUUUUUUUACUUUGCAUAAAGUAAUGAUUUAUAUGUUAUUCAUGCAAUCGUCAAUCAACAUGGAAUUUUAGAUGCAACUUCCUAGCUAAGGUCCAUGAACAAUAGUAUGUAAACAUAAACAGAUGAUCCACAUAGUAAACUGAAAACGAAAAUCGGUUUCCUUCCAAUUAUUCAUCUCUAAAAACAAAUUUGGCACAUGGGUAGUUAUAGUUGAACCUCCCACUAAGCUGAGAUGUGAUCGUGGGAUUCCUACGAAGCAAACUGCUAACUGGUUUGUGCUUAUUCUUCGUAGUCUUUGAAGGUUCAACACAUAUAGUCUUUGAAGGUUCAACACGUAACCUCGUCCCCCCCCCCCCAAACCUCUCUUUUUUUAAGUUUUCCGUUUUCUUUUUCAAAUUUUUAUAUUAUCCUUUUUCAAUUGGUUUCUCACUACAGAAAUAGUUUGAGCACACUUAUCUAGAUAUUUAUUUUUUAAUACAAUUUUUUGUUUAGUUAUGGUUUUUUACUAAUCUCUCAUACAAUUUUGUACUAUUUUCCUUUAAAACAACAACGAAGAUAAAUGGGAAAACAUAAACUAUUCCAAAAAUCUGAAAAUAUGACAUGUAAUUUCAUUUCUAAAUACAUGAUGAUAACAUUUAAUGUCCUUAAAUCAAAAUUUCCAGAUUCAUAAGUUUUCAGUCAAAGUUAUAGGCUAGCUAGAAAUGAACUCCUAAUAUAUGAAGCAAAGCAAAAUAUGGACAAUAUAUACAUAUGUAAACAUAGCAUCUACAUGUGAAAUCAAAGCCAUGCUUGCCAUCCAUUUGCUUGCACUUGAUGCUUUAGAUUUUCAUGGUUAAUCUGCAAGCAAUGAUGAUAAAAUAAGAAGUCUAACUGAUUAAGAUGGGAAUAAUGCACUAUAAUGCACAAUCCUAAAUAUAAAGGUUGUAAGCAAUUUAACCUAAAUACCUUCAAUUUUGACAAUUUUCCCAUAGCAAUACUUUUACUCUAGUUACUUUUAGAAUACUGAAAGAUAAAUAAUUUGUCAAGUUUGAGGUAACAAAUUGUAAUCAUGUUUACAAAAUUAAAUAGUAAGAAAUGUUACCUUAAGCUUGUACUUUAACGUUUGUACUUUGAGACGGGUGUGAUGUUUGUAAAAUUGAUAAAAAUGCAAUUUUAUUUCUAUUUGAAAGUUGAAUGCAAUUUGAAUUUAUAGUAUACUUCUGUAUGGAAAUAAGAGAAGAGUUACCGUAUUUGGAAAUGUUGUUUGGUCACUAUUAAUCUUUUUCUUGCACCCAUAAAUUGUUUUUUUUUAAUUUUUUAAUUUGAGUUAAUUAAUUUGUAGAAUUUUUUUUUAAUUUUAUAAUUUGUGGUAAUUAAUUUGUAAAAUAGAGAAUGCCAUUAAAAUAAAUAGGUAAGAAAUGGUGUUGUACCUAAUUUGUUGGACUUUAUUCCAAAUACUUAUUAUGUGAGGAGUUGUUGAAGGCUUUAAUUCUUCUACAGCUACAGCCUUUUUCAUGCGCUACUUAUAUAUUAAAGGUAUAUAUAAUGUUAGAUUUCUUGGAAAAAAUUUAAUAAAGAAUUUAGAAUACAUACUGCUCAUGCUUCUUUUUCCAACCAGGUGUAAAAAUAGAGAUACGUUCGUUUGGAAUCUUAUCAAUAAGUAGUUCCUUCUUCAUUUUUUGUGGGUAUUCUUGUAAAUAUCUUGAGAAUGAAAACAAAUAAUUUUUUUUAAAUACUUUUUAAACUUUCUUUUGUAAAAUCCACGUGGCAUCAUAUCAUUGGAGUGGUAAGGUUUAAACGAGUGCCACAUCAGGAGAGGUAAGGUUACACGUGUGCCACAUCAGCAUACAAAAAUUGACAAAAUUGAACAGGAAGGGUGACAUUAAUGUUCGGUAGUAAAUUUCAGGAAUGACAGUAAUUGGUUUUCUAAUUCAAUAACUAUUUUGAUGGGGUAGAUCAAUUUCAAAGACUAUCUGUGAUAAAAAUAGUCCUUUUGGUUUAUUUCUAAUUUUGACUCAAGUACAUAUAGCAGAUCGUCUGAACUUGUUUCCUACAAAAUACACUUACAAUACGUAUGAAAAUGAAAAGUAAUCACCACAGCAUACAUAAACGAUUACUACAAAAAUUUGCAGUUAAACUUUCACAAUUUGCAAGGUUCCAAUGUAUACCACGAUGGCACCGUCCGACAAUGCGACCCAUGAUUUACCAUGAGAAAACAAUGGUAUAUACAACCCCAAAAAUGUGAUCUGAAUCGGGAAGAAGUGCCGAACAUCAACUACGGUGGUGGAUACACAAUUUCAGACUUCUGAAGGAAGAACGACAUCACAACUGGAUCUGUUGGUUAGAGGUUGACCCCCAUCGGAGGCUUGUCUGAGACACAGGUACCUGAUCGAAGAACAAAGAAAUGCUACCAUCUGCAUUGCAUACAUGGGAAAUACAUAUAAACAAGCAAAAAUGCAUUAGCACCAUCUCCAGUUCAUGGGGAGCCAAUACUUGACAUAAAACGUUCAAACAAGAACUGCUGUUACAUAUAACGUCACAACGUCAUAUGCACAAAAUAGACUCGGGUCAAUAUCAGAACAGAAAAAAAUGCAAGUUUGGGUAAAAAUCAUACAGCUCAAUUCAAUCCUGACAACUCUUGAUAGAGGAUUUUCAUAUUUAUAAUCAUGUCACGGUCCCACGUAUGUGUGAUAAAGCAUACGGCAUAGACAAAUUAAUUCCCAAGUGCUGCAAUGUUACUCUAUUUGGUAAAUGGCUACCACAACACACCAAAGGAAAGGAAAUUAUGCAAGAUACAUUUCCCCGAGACAGAAAGGACUCAAAAGGUCGUACCCAGUGCACAAGGCUUCCGCUUUACGCAGGGUCUGGGAGAGGUGAAUGUCGGCUAGCCUUACCCCCAUUUAUGGACCGCCAAAUGUUCACAUGAUUAGGAACUUCAAUGCUAUGUAGCAAACCAAGAUUUGAACUAAGGACAUGCAAAGAGUUAUAAGGGGUACAUAGUGAGUAAAAUCACAUAAUCUUCAAAUAGGGCCCAUUCUUUUAAAAGACACCGUUGACAGAAACGUAAAUGUUUGCCAAUUAUUCAUAGGUAAAUGUUUGUCAAUUAUUCAUAGGUAAAUGUUUGUCAAUUAUUCAUACAUAAAAUUUUCCAACUAUGGGUAUAUAUUCAACUUAAAUAAACAAAGUUCCGAAUGUUUUGAUGCAAUCAGAAAAGUAUAAGUUGCAUGAAAAGGCUGCAUAAGUACGACGAAGAACAUGUUUACAUAUUCUGUACACGAUUUAUAUGCCAGUGACACACAUAUCAGCAUUGCAGUAUGAAUGCGGUAUAAGGUAUCAUCGUGCCACACAUUAUGCCUAGCAAAAAUGUUAAUUGGAUUACGAACGCAACUGCAACAAUGCAAUUUUCUGCAACUGGGAAUGCAUGAAUGGAGGCAAAUCACAUUGGAUACAGUCAAUCAAGAAUUACCAUAAACACGAAAUUAAAUUCCAAAAACAGAUGAAUAGCGCAAAUAACAAUGAAGUAAUCAAAUUGAAGGAUAUCAAUUAAAGCCCUAUACUUCCCUCUUGUAAGCAAUUAAAACCCAAAAUUCCAACCAAAACCCAACAAAAUUUCAAAAUUGAAUUUCAACAAAGCCUAGAAGAAAAAGGGAAACCAAAAUCCAACCCACCUUAUAAAAUUUGGAGAGAAACAGUCACAUAAUGGUGUAAUUCCCACUUGGGUCAGCAUCAUCCGAGAGCAGAGCCCCAUACGGCGAUUCCUGAUCGUCCAUAACAAGAUCCUCCGUCCCCCUAAACACCGCAUGCAGCCCAAUCAAAACGACCCCAAUCACCCCCGAAACGACGACGUUGACCCACACGUGAGUCAGGACCAGAGCCACAACCGUCACCACCGCAAGAACAACCAUCACGACUCGGUCCGGGACCACAAACCCGAACACCUCGAGGGGCUGGUCACGCGAGAAGUAGAGCACGAGCCAGGCGGCGAAGACGAUCAAGAAGACGAUGAUGGAGAAUGGGUGGUAGAGGAGGCUGAGGAAGAGCACGAUCAGGGCGAUCAGGGCGUAGUUGGAGCGGAAGUGGGUCAAGUUCUGGGCGAGUCGGGUCGUCGCGUCAGAUAGACCGGAGGGGAGGCUGAGGGCGGUGGGCUCCAGGAGCUCACCCCAUGGCCGAAGCGUGGCCCUUGCCGUUUGUGUCGCUUCCUUGAACUGGGAAACCAAUCCAGCAGACAUUGCGAGAUGGGUUUCUCGAAAGAAUUGAUUUUUUACGGCGGAGAGUACUGGAAAUCGGGCGGAGGAAAUCAGAGAGUUGGGGUGUUUGUGUUUCCUGUGGUUUCAAUCUCUCCUCUCGCUCGCUGCUAAUGGGAAAAUGGCCUUCGGUCAACGGAGUUUGACCUCCGCUAGGACUGGAUACUGUUAGCCGAGGGUUUAUUUAUCACAAGACUGAAAGUUGGUUCAUAUAUUUGGGCCAAAUUUAUUGGGUUGGGCUAAUUUCCUCCAUAUGGGGCUUUUUUCCAAAAUGUUCAAUGGCCGGGGGUUGGACGGACAAACAACAGAGGUUUCAGGCUUGGACAAUAUCUGGCGUUGGAAUCUUUGGUUCUUUUCUUCUAAUUUCUUAUACGAAUUGGUAACCCGACUCGAAAUGAUACGAAAAUAACAAAUUUCGGAUUAACACAUUAACUAAUCAGGUCACACGUUCCGAGCGAGUUGGGGAGGCCUAUUUACUAUUCUAUUUAAUAUACCACAUUGCAGAUGCUAAGACAAUUGGUAAAAGCAUCCAAUAGGGAGACUAGAUGCCUUGACCAACAAUGGGAUAGGGGUUACCAUGCCUUUCGGCUAUGACGCAACUACUUUGACGGUCGACCCAAUACCAAACGAAUAUACCCAUAAAGUAAAAAUAAGAGAAAACUAAGAUGAAGUUUAAAAAAAGGUCUUAUACAAGAUUAAAAAUUGAUUUUAGUCCUUAAACUCUAUUUAGUGCAUAUUAAAUGUCUUUUUUUUUUUAUUUAUAAUUUUAUGGUGUUCAUAAAUUAAAGGAUUAAUCUUUGUUUACUAUCCUAAAGUUUUUUUGUUUUCAACAUUUGAUACAUGAAAUUUUUUUUAUCCCAGAGUGGUACCUAAAAUUAUAAUUUUAGGACAGUUUCAUACAUCCGUUAAGGUUGCUAUUAUGUCAACCGUUAAAUAGUGACGUGGCAUCCAGGUGGACAGUGACUGGACGCCACGUGACAUUAUGGGCCCAUGUGGAUAUUAAAAUUUUUUAAAAAAAUUCAAAAAAAAAAAUUAUGGGCCGUUCAACCCCUCCUCCCUUCUCCCUCCCUUAUCUCCUCUGCACCCACCCUCCCCACGUCUGCAACCCAUCCCCACGUCGUCAUCUUCUUCUUCGCCCAGAUCCCGCAAGAAUCUUCUUCGCCGCCAACAACUCAGCCACCAUCUCCAUCCCCGCCUUCCCCUCCUCCGAACCCGACUCCUACCCACUUCCAGUUCCAAUUCACCCUCUCCCAAUUUGCCCACUUCUUGUCCGAUUUUCGCGCCACUAUUGAACCCGAGCCCGACCCACAAAGAUGCUUAGAUUCUGAAAAAGAGAUGACACAAAUGCAAGAAAUGGAAAUCAGUGUGGUUUAGAGAGGUUAGAAACUGAGCAAUUUUUGGAUUGCUUUUUGGUUUGAUCAAUUUAAAGAAAUGAAAUUCUGAGUCGAAUUUCUUGUUCGUUAUAUUCGAUCUCCGCUUGAGAAUUUUAAACUUAAUAAUUGCAAAUCAAGAUACAAAAUUGACAUGAAUUUCGAAUUGGGGUUUUGGGAAAUUUGAGAAGUUCUUGGCGAUUGAUAAGAAACUUCAACUCCAAUAUGUUCUUCAUUAUAAUUUAAACUUGAUUAUACAAACAGUAAACACAAAAUUAAUGAAUUUGAAAUUUGGAAAGUGAUUGAAUUAUAAAUAAAAAAAAUUAAGUGAUUAAGCUGGAGGAGGUCCAGCUGGGUUGCUGGGUGUGGUGGGUUUGAGUUUCCCUUCUUUGAAUGUGUCUUUGGCAGAGACGUAAUAUGCAAUGGUGAACAAUCCAUGGAAGAAGCAUAAGAUCCCUCUGAUGGACAGGGAGAGGGUGAAUGGUGGGGCGAAUAUCGGUCCGGAAGUGGGCAAAUUAGGAGAGGGUGAAUUGGAAUUGGAAGUGGGUAGGAGUCGGGUUCGGAUGAGGGGAAGGCCGGGAUGAAGAUGAUGGCUGAGUUGUCGGCGGCGAAGAAGAUUCUUGCGGGAUUUGGGCGAAGAAGAAGAUGACGACGUGGGGAUGGGUUGCAGACGUGGGGAGGGUGGGUGCAGAGGAGAUAAGGGAGAAGGGAGGGGGUCGAGGGAGGAGGGGGUGAAAGGCCCAGAUUUUUUUUUUGUUUCUAAUUUUUUAAUAUCUACAUGGGCCCAUAAUGACAUGUGGCGUCCGGUCACUAUCCACCUGGAUGCCACGUCACUAUUUAACGGUUGACUUAACAGCAACCUUAACAGAUGUAUGAGAUUGUCCCAAAAUUAUGACUUUAGGUACCACUCUGCAAUGAAAAAAACUUUAUGUACCAAAGUUGAAAACCAAGAAACUUCAAGGUAGUAAACAGAGAUUAACCCUAAAUUAAAUUUUAUGAAAAUAUUAUAAAUUUUAAUUCUCAUUAUGGUAAGUAUCAUAUAUAUGAAAAUAUUUUCGUAAAUAUUUUUCGGUACACAUGUUUUCGUAUAUUUUCUUAUAUGCCACUAAUUCAUUACAAUAUAUUUAGUUAUGAACAUUUCGGUACACUAGGUUAGUAUAAUGUGUUUAGGUAAGGACAUUUCGGUACACUAGUUUAUUAUAAUAUAUUUAGGGUCUGACAUUUUGGUACACUAGUUUAGUAUCAUAUAUUUAGGUAUGGAAUUUUUCGGUACACUUAUGUUUUUGCAUAUUUUCUUAUGUGCCACUAAUUCACUACAAUAUAUUUAGGUACGGACAUUUUGGUAUACUAAUUUACUAAAAUAUAUUAUGAUACAAACGUUUAAGUAUACUACGAAGUAAAAUAAAUAUAAUGAAUUAAUGUGUGUAUAAUAAUAAAUAAUUUUAAUUUUAAUGUAAUGACAUUAAAUAAGAUAUCUAUUAAAUUUUAAAACAAAAAUAUAAUAAAAUUUGAAUUAAUUACACAUUAGAGGACUAAAAUCAAUAUCCAAUCUAACACCAUGUUUUUAUUGAAUUUUAACUUCUUCAAGGAUUAAAGUUAAAAAACCCCUAAAAAUAAAUAAGAAAAACAAAACUUCUUUUAUAAAAAUAACUACAAAAGCUUUACAUCGUGUACAAAAUAAUAAAAACUCUUAAAUCUCUUGUCUAAUACAAUCUCAGCUUGUCUAACAAUUAUCUUGUCAAAUAACUCAUCUAUAAAAUAAAAGGUGAGGGGUGAGCAAUAACUACUGUUGCCCUGUGACUGGAAUAUGUAGUAUGCAAGUCAAGCGAUGCCGUUUUACAAACGCUAGAAAAUAUACAUCAUAAAUAGAUCAAAAGCUUUAACAACAAAUAAUUUCAUAUCACAUCAUCCCUUUAUGUGUCCAUUGUAUUCUUUAUCAAAAGUAACUCACCACGUGACCCAUAAUGGCCAUUUCGCCUUAAUGUCCUUGUGUGCAGUUUACAUUUAUCCUCAGACUAAUGCAACACUAAAGUUCUCAUGCUCUUAAACAUUUCCAAAUAAACCACAUAUCACCAUAUAUAAUAACUCCAAAAGUAUUUCCACCAAGCAACAAGCAAUAAAACCAAAAACGGAUAACGCAGCUAAACUAUAAGACAAGUAAGACUCUCCAAACCAUACAAGUGCAUGGCAAGCCCAUGCAAAGGGUUUGGUUAAGAUAUGUCAGAUUCCACCAAGUAUACAAAUGGAACCUAACCAUACAUGCCCACCGAUUAUAUCUUCCAAAUCGUCUACACUAACGAUCUACCCUUCUCCAAUUCAACAUGCUUGGCUUGAAAUAGAGAGAUAUUUAGAAAUUAAAUAAAACCCACAAUAAUUCGUAGUUUUUAUUUAUUGAAAAUAAGAACAUUUUGAAAUAAAAUAAGAACAUUUUGAAAUAAAAUAAGAACAUUUUGAAAUAAACCACUCACCUUGAUAAUUUGAACUUUGACAAGACAACCCAACUAACAUCUUCACACACUUCAAACCCUAGCUCUCUUUCUUUUCCUAUUCUCUCUCCCACCCUAGGAGAACCAUAUUGUAGGCACUGCAUGCUGUCGUUCUUUUGCAUGAUGUAACCAAUGGGGCAUGCUCCUAUUUAUAGGAGAUUAGUCAGCUAUCAAGGGGGAUGUGAUCAAAUGGUUGGCAAGAUACUAGUGACACCUAAGGCGGCAAAGAAUUAGAUGAUCUUCGAAUCUACUACGUGGUGGUCAAGUAAAUGCAUGCAAAAGGUGUCAUGCAAUAUGAAAGAACACCUGCCAUCUUCCUUUACGCGAAAAGUGCUCAUAAGAACUUUAAAACCUCAAUGUAAGAUAUACACGUAGAUGUAAACCAUUGUGCUGUUGAAGCUUAGAGAGAUAGAGAGGAAGAGUAGAAGAGAGAAGAGAGAGAGAGAGAUAUUGCUUCAACAUAUUAUAUUUUUCAUGACAUUGUAUGAGAUCAGUGGCGAAGCCAGGAAUUGACAGGGGGAGGGGCAAAAUUAAAAGAUUGUAAGGUUCAAAAGAAUAGCAACAACCAAAUCCUUUUAUAUAGUAAGGUCUUCCAUAAUUUUUCAAUACAAACAAAUUACAAUUGUUGCCAGCGAGAUUUCAUAUCAUGAAAACUUCGCAUAAUAUGCUCAUUAUCAAUAAAAGCAAAUACAUCUCUCUCAAUGUAAACAAGCAUGCUAUCACUCAACCAUUGAUCUCCCAUUUUGUUACGUAAUGGUGUUUUCACAAUCUUCAUAGCAGAAAAAGCUCUCUCUACCGAAGCGGUUGCAACCGGUAACACCAAAGCCAAUGUAAGAAGCUUAUAUACUAACAUAUAGCUUGCACACCUUCCGGUCUUCACCAACUCCUUUGCAAGAUCACAAAUUCCUCUUAAUGAUGAAAGCUCACUAUGCAUCUUCAUAUCGUGAAUGUAAUUGUCAAGUUGAAUGGGAAGAUUUAUGAGGUCCAUACGAUCAAAAUCUUGAGGAUAAAGUUGGGCUAGACGAACAAUUUUUGCUUUGUCAAAAGAUGCAAAAUUAUUCACCGGACUCAAACAUGUCAUACAAAGAAGCAAUUUGGUGUUUACCUCAUUGAAGCGAUUAUUCAAUUCAUUUAAUUGCGUAUUAAGGACUUGAAAAUAGAGAUCCACAAUAGUAAUAAAAGUUUGUGAGUCUUGGAGCUUUACACCUUGAUUUUCCGGGUACGAAACGCAAAUCCUCCAUGUUAGGAACAACAAUAUCAGGUUCUUCACAAAACUUUUGUACAUCAUCAAGCAAGUCCCCAAAAUCAUCAUCUCUCAAGGAUUGUAGUCUUUGCUUGCAUACUUCCACUAACAUCAUUGCAUUCAAAAUAUCUUGAUCUUUCUUUUGUAAUGCUUGUGAUAACUCAUUUGUAAUUCCCAAUAUAAGUCUCAUAAAAAAAAGGUGAAACACAAAAUCAAAGUUUGUAUGUUAUGGAAUAACUUACUUGCUUCUCGGAAAUUGUCUUGGUUGGUAUCAUCUUUAAUCCAUUCAAGCACCUCCACCACGACUUCAAACAUGACAAUAAUACUCACUAUAGUACCAUAAUGUGAGUUCCAACGUGUAUCACAAGAACGCAUGAGACUACUCUCUUGAUUUACCCAUUUCAAGAUCACCAACAUCAAGAGCUUUCUUAAUUUGUUCUAGUUGUUUCUCUCUAAAUGUAUCACGACGCUUACAUGAUGAUCCAAUAGUAUUGACCAAGAUACUAGCAUUGUUAAAGAAAAUGGCGACACCCUCAAUUCCCUUUGCAACGGCUACAAGAGCUAGUUGAAGUUGGUGUGCAAAAUAAUGAACAUAAAAUGUUUGAGGAUACUUGUUCAAAAUCUUUGUUUUAAGGCCAUUUAGCUCAUCUUUCAUAUUACUAGCUCCAUCAUAGCCUUGUCCCCGUAACUUGGACAUACACAAAUUUGUUGUAGCAAAGAAUCUCUCAAUAGCCUCUUCAAGUGAGCUACUAGUUGUAGAGGUGACAUGUUGCACACCCAAAAUGCAACAUUUUUUGAUAUACUAUACUUCAACCACUUAAACUUAUCAAACCAACCGAUGAUAAAACAUCUUUUGUCACUAACUUUUCUUGGCAUGAUGUGGUCUCUAGGUUGACAAUGAUCAUUUUGGAGAUAGUGUCUACAAAUUGCUUCACGAUAAUUAGGUGGAUAAUCAAGCAUUCGACGUCUAUGUCUAGGGUCUGCAAGAAGAUUAGCCAAUAUUUCAUCCAACUCAGUGGCCUCACUUUGUUGUGACCUACUAGGAAUAUUCGAAUGAGGACUUCUUGGAAUAUUUGAAGGAGAAGAACUACCCAAAAUGUUUGAAGGAGGAGUUAUGCAUUGUUUCAUAUAAUAUCGUUCCAUUACGUAAUUGUAAAGUAGAAAGAAAAAAAAAAUUCUUAGACUUUUAAUCCUAGAGUAGACUAUACUAUAGUAUGCAUAAUAACUAAUCCAACCCCAAUUAAUCAAUACCAAUAAGCAUACAAAUUAUUCGAUAAAUAAAAAUUCAAUUCAACUAAUCAUAUGAAUAAUUGUAUACAUAAUACAUUAUGUAAUAAUUCAAUUCAAUAAUCGAGAAUUCAAAUUUUAAUUUUUACCCUAUAAAAUAAUUUCAUAAUUUCAUAUCAAUAAUCAAUAAUCAAUAAUCAAUAAUCAAUAACUAUAUUAGUGCAUUUAGUGCUUUAUGAUGUGAAAUAUAUAAGCACACAAAUUAAACCCUCUUUUUAUCAAUUGUAGCAAGUAUGUAAGUAGGGAUCGUUCUAGGCCGGGGAUUAGGAGGGAUUGCCAAAUCACUUGAAAACUGACUCAAAACUUAAAAAGAAAGUUUAAAAGUUUAAAACACUAAACUAGACUCAAAGAAUGCAAAACUAAAGUUUAAAACACUAAGAUAAACAAAAAGAUUCAAAACAGCAACCAAAAGACUCAAAACUGCCUUAAAAACACAAUCUGGGCAGUUUUGAACACUAAGGAAGAAUUUGGACGAAAAUAUGUUAUAACUUGACUCAAGACACUUAAAAACACAAACUAAAUUGAUUUCUAACACUUCAAAAUAAAGGGGGAAUUGGUUUUGACGAAUUUGAAAACAAAACAAACUUUGUAAAUCAAAACAGAUUGUAAAUGAAUUUGAAUGAAACUUAUGGAUGGAAGGCUAGCUAGGAGGUUCUUCUCUACACAUGUCACACUUGCAUACAAAACGAUUUCCAGUUGCUUUUCGAUAAACUAUGAAUACUCAAUGCCCCAAAUUAACCGUGAAUUGCACUAAUUAACCCUCAGUUUUUCCACAAGUUAUUGGGUUGGAUGAUUGCAUACGACAACCCAAACAUUCCCUACAAGUUCCCUACAUGAAUUGCAUAAUAGAGAUACAAGCAAGAAUCAUUAAGUUCUAUGAAAAACAUAAGCAUUGACGAGGCGAGGAAUAUCAGAGUUCCUUGGUUUCAAAUCAGACUCCUUCUGCUGGGUUGAUUUGAUUGUGCAGUCUGCAUUCUUCUCUGCUUGUUUCUUCUGCACGGCAAGCAGACACGAGGUAGAGGUGUUGGUCUGUUUCUUUCUUCAAUCUUUCCAAGUGCCCACCUCUUGCUUUCUUUCUCCUUGUCCCUAGCAGAGGAUGAAUUGGUAAAUUGUCUCCACAUGCUUCGAGAUAUCAUUUUCACUUCCCUUAUCUGUUCCCCAGGCAGAUGUGGUAGACGAAGCGGAAGCAUAAGAUGAUGAAGAUGAGUACUCGAGAGCAAGGCUAGGUAAGCAAUUAGGAAAGGGUUUUACGCAGUCGGUUCUUGAUCGGAAGAUUGAUACCAAGUGCUGGCUGAUUGCUCUCUUUCUCCUUGUCCUAAAACAACGACAAGGAGAAGGACAGGGAGAAAGCAUGAUAUGAGAUACUCUUACUUUCAACCUUCAUGAUAUGAAAUACUUUUACUUUGGAUGGGUUGUUUGUAGAGGUACCCCAAGGAAUAAGGAACACUGAGUUACUCAAGAAGGUUUGUUGGAAAGGCAUUCUCGGAGAUGACGGAAGGUUAUGUAUGUCUGCCUUGUCAUGGAGGGUGUAGGUCUAAAUCAGUGUAUGGUUCGACGUCAAAACCUAGAACACUGGCUUCAUGAAUGAGUUGGAAUCUGGCCAUCAUUCUUAGAUUUAACCAUUAGGAGGCCGUAUAGGUCGUUAGCUGAAUUCUAUUUGUGAAAUUCCUGCAUGUAUUCUAGAGCCUCACCAAAAAACAACAGAUGGCGAUUCUUUUUUACUUUAAUCAAUGGCGAUUACUUUCAGCCUCAUUUCUUAAAUGCUCGAUACGAGCCUUCAUUUCUCCAGGCUGAAGAAGAAGUUUGAUUCGUUUCUUAGAUUAUUCAAUCUCAAUUUCAAAAUUGCAAUCAAUUACCUUCUUUCUUUGGAGUAACUCGGUCAUGAUUGUCGAAGGUUGCCGAUUAUCCUCUUUUCUUGCGGUCUCUUUAAGCUACCACUUCAUGACUGAAACUUCUUAUGCUGUUCGUAGACAGGCCAUGCAGCCCAUCCUCUGUCAACGACAUUUUUGGGAUUUAGACAAAAUGGUACACGUACCGGCAAGAAGAUUAUAAUUAUGCCACUGGUGGUCUCAUGGCUCAAGUGGUUUGAAAGUUCGUUAGGUCGUUGAUGAACUUGAACUUCCAGAGUUGUAUACAUAGUAAUCUUUAUCAUAAAAUGGCCCUUCAAAAUCAAGGCGCCGUCUAACUGAAGGUGAUUGGUAAUUCUACUGUUGAGGGUCGAGUCUAUCAAAAACCCUUUGAUGUCGUUGUCUUGAGGUAAGCACUGGUUAAGAUUUCAUUAAAACCACAUAUAUGGGUUCGACCGAUGGUUUCAGUAGUCUUGGUUCAGUUAUGAUGACUUUUGAUUGGCAUUUACUACAUAAGAUUAUCGGGCUCUCAGUUUCAUCAAAACUGGAGACAGAUGCCGGUUCGACAUACACUAAAUUAGAGAAGAACCUGGGGGGUCAUUUUCGUUGUAAAAUUGAUUUUCAAGUGGCCGAGGAUUCUGUUUUGUGACGUGAUAAAUCUGGAUGUACUCAGCUUUUCUUUUUUUUCUUAUCCUUCGGCAAAUGGAUGUCCACCAUACCUAUUGUUGCCGAAGGGAAAUGAUCAGCAUCGACUAACAUCUGUGUCUUCUCUGGGAACUUUAGUUUGCCAUUAUCGAUCCAGCUUUGAAUAGCAUCAUGGAACACAAAGCAGUUAUUUGUCGUGUGUUUGUUUGAGUUAUGCUACUUGCAGUAUGUUUUCCCUUUUAAUCUUCGACCAUAGGAAUGUCAUGCCCUGGCUGAAGCUUGAUGAUCUUUGUAAGUAGUACCUGGUCAAAGAUAGCAUAGCCUUGGUGAUGUCAAAAGUAUAUACCUUUGAUGUUUUAAUGACUGCUUCAACAAAGGGCCGAGUGCGUUUUGACAUCUUUGGAACUAGCAUGAGCCAGUGCCUUGUAUACAUAAGGUUUGUUGAUUACUAUCUCGGUCGUGUCAAUGCUGACAUAUUGGGACUCGUCACCCCCGACUGAUGCAUAUCCUUCCAUUGGGUUCUUAUAAAUUGUCCCACGGGUUAGAGUUUUCAAAAUCUUUUCAUCUUUGAGCGGAUAAUCAUAUUGCUCGACAUGUUGAGCUAACUUAUACAUAUCUUGAAAGUUUGCCACUAAGUAUUUCUUCUUGUAUUCUACAUCUAGGCCAUUUUGGGCAAGCCUAACAAAUUCCACCUCAGCAAGGGGUACUCGACACCAAUUCCUAGCCGAUUUGAACUUGGUAAAGAAUUCCAUCGGUGACUCAUCAGAUGACUGUGCCAUCCUAGCGAAAGAGGAGACUGACACUUCUUAUUUUGGUCGAUAAAAUUGUUUGUGGAAUUUCUCAACCAGUUCCUCCUAAUUUUGUAUAGAGUUCGGUGGAAGGUUAAUGUACCACGUAAACGUUGUGCCUGUCAACAAGAAAUUAAACAGUCGUCGUUUAUAAAAAUCACUGUUGACAUCUUCACAUUGGGCAAUGAAUUUGGCCACAUGUAUAAAUGAGGACAACGACGAUUUCCUAGUGAAGAAACUGAAAUCUGGGAUCUUGAAUCCUCGAGGAUAUUCAAGCCUUUCUAUAAAGGCUAGAUAUGGAUGAAUAAAUUUUGGAAAUUUCAACCCUUUUUUCAAGGUUGAAUCAAUCAUCUUCUAGACUUCAACCAUAAACACUAGUGUUGCUUUUAUUCUUUGGCCGAAUUCAGCCGAACUAAUGCUUGGUUCACCGUAUGCUUUCUCAAGAUCGAUUAUCUUAGGUCGAGUGAGUUUUAUCUUAGCCGGUAUUAGCAGCAGCCCUUCUUCACCCAAAGGAACAUUCUUGAUAAAACGCUGCCUAGGUUGAUUAAUCGGCUCGUUUUGGUGAGCUUUGUUAACUAGAAUUUCGAGCAGCUUGUUAUUCAAAACACUCUUAUCACGUACUACUUCAAGUAGGAUUUUCAUCUCUCAGCCAAACAUUUGCCCAAACUACCAAGAUUGUUCUUCCAAUCGUCGUCGGAGAAAAGAUUUAGGUGGACCAGAGCUCUCAUCGUCGUCGUCGCAAUCCUCUACCAGACCUUCAAUAAAACCAUAUUUUGCCAUCUUGGUAAUCUGGAUGAAGACCACGGCAUCAUGAUUUUGAUUGCCGAGAUUAAUUUCCUUCUCUCGGCGCACCGUGCCUAUGGCUUCGGGUGUCAUGGCAACAUGAGGGUCCUACGCCUACGACGCAUACUGGACUCUGAACUAUAGGUGCUAAACUGGUGGUUGGUUGAUCCAUAGUUGUUUUCUUUUGAUUGACCGUGUUUCAACGGUCAUGAACUUCAUAGCCUUAGCACUGGGUCCCACUGGAUGUGCCAAAAUGUUGACUCUAAAAACUACUUAGUCUACGUGGUGUGCAUGCCAAAUAAUUAAUAAACGAAAUUUUAAUUUGCAUUAAAUAUACCAACUUUUUUAAUCUAAAAUGUACCGAUUGUUCUUUUAUAUAAAUGUACCCAUUGUUUUUUUCUAUUAUAAAAUGUACCCAUUUUUUCAUAUAAAGUGUACCACCUUUUUUGUAUGAAAUAUACCAACUUUUUUGAGGAAAAUGUACCUAUUAAAACUACCAAUUUUUUUGCAUGUGAAAUGUCAUUAAUAUAAGUAAUGACAAAUCAUGUCAUUAAGAUAAAUGAUACUUUUUUAUAUAAGUGUAAUUUAUUUUAUAAUAUUUUCAAUCCCACGAAUCAUGGUUUUAUUUAAAAUCUCAUUUAAUAUAACUAUAAAUAUCAAAUUUCAAUUUAAAAUUAUAAUAACCUAUAUAGAAAUGCAUUAUUGUAUUAAUUCCAGGGACUUCAAUAAAAAACUAAAAAUCAACAAAGUUUUAAUCGAAGAACGUUGAUAAAUAGGGACCACAUCCAAAGUAGCCCUUAGUGUGUGUGUGUGUGUGUGUAACACACCUUUGAAGUUUAACUUUCUUUGAUAAAUUUUUCCCAAAUUUUAAUCCAAGAAUUUAUUUCAGAACCAACAUAAUUUUCAAUAAUAGAAUGUAAGAUUUUAAGACAAUAGAUUCGCCACACACUGAGAUUUUAUUACAUACUUUCAUUAAGUAGAAUGUAAGAUUUUGUGAUAAGCACUAGUGUAAAUAUUUUAAACUCAUGAUCAGGUUGGUUCAUUGGAUUAUUCUAGGGUUGAGGAGUAUAUUUCUAAAAAAAUUAUCUAAAUUGGAGUAAAAAAAACUGUUAAAUCGUGAAUUUUCUUUUCUAACCGUCGAAUGAUUUCGUUCCGUUACCUAAUCUCCUAAAGUUCAUUUUUGGUGAUUUUUAGUGUAUGUGGUCUUGCGGACAGUUGAAUCAUUGAAAUUAGUUUCGUAAACUGACUAUUAUGUCAAAACAAUAGAUUCAACAAACACUUAGAGUUUAUUCUAUACUUCCAUUAAGUAGAAUGUAAGAUUUUGUGGAAACCACUAGUGUACAUAUUUUAAAUUGGUGAUCAGAUUAGUUCAUUGUAUUCUUCUAGGGUCGAGGAGUAUAUUUGUGAAAAAUCAUCAAAAUCAGAGUUAAAAUAAACGCUAAAAUCGUGAUUUUUCUUUUCUAAACGUCGAAGGAUUUCGUCCCAUUAUGUAAUCCUCGAAAGUUCAUUUUUGGUGAUUUUUGGCAUAUGAAAUGUUAGAGUAUAUCCAAACAAGUUUUACAGUUUAUAGCCAGUCAUCCUGGCUCUUUCCCUGCCACCCGUUAGCUCGACAAAAUGUUCGUCAAGCAAAAGGUCCACAUAAUACGUACCAAAUUUUUCCCUUUGUGCGAAAACUUUGCCUGAUGAAUGGUACUUUACCCCUCGAACUACAUUUGUUAGACAAAAGUCAUUGAAAAGACAAAAAUGGUGACCACUUUUGCUUGAAACGUUUAGUUGUGUCAGGCAAAUGACCUUUACCUGGCGAAAGAUUGUCCAUCCGGCUAAUGGUACUUUCUAGUAGUGAAUAUAUGUAUAAUACAUACAAAAUAAUUUACUUUGAAAAUAAAAAAAUGUUGUUUGAUUCAAAAUUAAUUUACUUAUAAUUUACAUAAGUAUAGGUAAAUUAUUUGUACAAAUAUAUAAUAAUAACAAAAUCUGCCUAAUAUAUGUAAUAAUACAUGCAAAAUAAUUUACUUACAAUGAUGACCACCAAAUAAAAAAAAUUGGGAGACAUGAUUGUAAGAUAAGUAUAAAAAUAAUGUGGAAAACUCAUGAGUGGAUUAUUUUGUAAUAGUAAGGCACUUAUUUCCCAUAUAUGGUGGAUAAUUGAAUCCGUUAACAUAAUUAUAGUGUUGUGACACAUUUGUAAAUAUUUUAGUAAUAGUAAGUCACUUAUUUGUCUACUUGGCAAUUAAUAUGAAAUUCAAGUUUUAUUUGGAGGUUUAAAAGGUGAUGAGUUUUUGUCUAGAAAUAAGUUGCAAAAGCUUAUCUCUAAACAACUUUAAACAUCAUUGAUAAUAGUUCUUUUGGUAUCAUGUCGCAUUAUGAUGAGUUAUUGAGUAAUCGGCAUCAUUCAAAUUUAGUUUUUAUCAAAUUAAGAGUUUCUACAAGUCUUUGUUAUAGUAGGAACAAGAUCAAGAACACAUCGUUGAAGUUUAACUUUAAUAAAUUCUUCCUAAAUUUUAACCUAAGAAUUUAUUUAAGAACCAGCACAAUUUUCAAUAGUAGAACAAAUGUGUGGUAUUCGAGCAACAUGAUUUCCAGACCUCAUCAUAAAACAUGAUUCAAACCUCAAUGGUCUUCUCAGUUUUAAUUUCACACCUUACCUAUCUUUGUCCUUUCCCCAAAUCCUUAUCAGUAUUCAGUAAGCAUGUGAAAAUUUAAAAAAAGGUCGUACCCAGUGCACAAGGCUCCCGCUUUACGCAGGGUCUGGGAGAGGUGAAUGUCGGCUAGCCUUACCCCCAUUUAUGGAGAGGCUGCUCCCAACAUGUGAAAAUUUAAAAAAGGGUAAAAAUAUAAUUAACCUGUCGUAUCACUUUCACCUUCUGAUUUUAGGUUAUAUCCAUACACGCGUUAUGCAUGUGGAGACGAGAUGGCAUUGUCACGAAGGAUGCAGAGACUACAUUUGGGCCACAAAGACCAUACAAAAGAGGUAUAUAACAUCAUUUUCACCAGUUUGCACUAGUUUUGGUCGAGGCGAGAUGGCAGGGCCAGGUGGUACGAACACAAAAGCAGUGCAUUUCAGCCUUGCGUUUUCUCUUCCAACACUUUACGUACAUGAAAACAAAUCAAUUAAUUUCCUGAUUUCAUACUGCAUGCAUUCAGAUCCAAAACGUGCUGCACAUGUUUUAUGUCCUCAUCGCUAGCUCUUCACUGGUAGGAAAUAGAACGCUUGGUGAAUGCAGUGAUCGAAUGGGAUCAAGAAAUAGGCAAUUUAGAGUUGACCGUAAAAUCAAAAGAACGGAACUGCCAGACCUCAAGAUUUUUCAUUCUUGCCUUGUACAAAAGCGUGUUUUGCUCAAAUUUUCUUUUAUUCAUCCUCAAAUGUACAACAUAUAGUAAAUACGAAUUUUCUUUCAACUUUGGUUUAUGUCAAAUUAAGAGUUUCAAUAGGUUUUUAUUAUAGUAGGAACAAGAUAAAUAACAUAUCCGUUGUUAACUUUCUUUUAUAAGUUCUUCCUAAUUUUUAUUUUUUUGAACAAACGAUAAUAUCUACACCAAGAAUAUAGGAGAGUGAGCUAAAUGGCAUAAUGAGUAAAAUAAUGUGAUUCAAAUCGCCUUUGGCGAGAUUUUAACAUAAGAAUUCGGUUUUAAUUCACAUCUUAUCUAUCUUGGUCCUUUCACCAUAUCCUUAUCAGUAAGCAUGUGAAAAUUGUAUAAGGGUGAAAAGUAUAGCCUGUUGUAUCACGUUCACCUUCUGGUUUUAGGUUAUAACCAUUCAGGGAUUAUGCAUGUGGAAAAGAGGUAUAUGCCAUUAUUUCACCUUUUAUGGUAGAGACGAGCAGGCAGGGCCAGGUGGCACAAACACAAGGAAGAUUAUGGAUUUGUGGACGUGCCUUGCGUUUUUUUUUUUUUACGUAUAGAUCCAAAACGUGCUGCACAUAUUUCAUGUCGGCAUUGCUAGCUCCUCAUAUAUAUUUAACGAGGACACCGAUAGGAAAUAUAGCGCUUGGUGAAUGCAGUGAUCCAAUGGAAUCAAUAGAUAGGCAACCACAAUCGUGACCUUUUGAGUUUAUGGUUCAUUUUGUUAUAGGGAGUUGUGCAGACCCAACAAGACUUGUGAGCACUAUUUGAAAUUUCUACUUCACACUUUAUGAAUGGUUGAAAAUGCUUGAUGGAUAAUCAACCGGCACUCCCAUAAUUUGUGUGAACAUGACUUACCUCCUAUAGAGGGAGAAAAUGUACAAGCCAAAGAGGGUAAAUGAAGAAGGGCUUAACGCAUGGGACAACGUCUAUGGCGUCAUCAAAACCCUCAAUGGUGCUGCUAGAGAGUCUAUAUAUCUUUUUUGUUUCUCUUAUAUGCCUUUAACACUGAGUGCAAUUAGUUUUGUUCUUUAAAGAAAACAGAGAAGAACACAAGCCAAAACACAUAUGCGCUGCCUAAAUUCUAUUGAUUCAAGUGAGAGAUAUUGUUAACACUUUUAAAUGAAUCACUCCAUUAUCAGUUGUACUUUCAAAACUUUCUUAGUAAUUUAAAUGAAUUUAUAAUUAUUAUGUCAUGUGCAAAUAUAAUACUAUACGCAGUUUUCUUAAACUCAUUAUAUGGCCAAUUUCUUUGACAUGUGUAUACCACGAGUGUUUGGAUCCCAUGCCAAGAUAAUUCUAGUCUUUUUGGCUUUAUUUGCCUAAAAUAUUUUGUUCUCGUCUCAUUCAUUAAGGCAUAUAUCCACUCUGUCCAUAAAUUGCACAACAGUUCAAUUUAUUUUUGUGUAGUUAAGAAAAUGCAUUUAGCUCCUCAAAUUUAUUUUCUCUACAUUAAGUCCGACAUAAUAUUUUUGCUUAAAGAAUACUUAGUGACUAGGAUCCAUAAAUGUAAACUCAUUAAUUAUGAUUUACUUUACCCAUUUUACAUUUUUUAGAUGCCUGGCAUAUCCCUAUUGCAUGUAUGAUAUGCACAAUUAAUUCUAUACAGAUUGUAAACACAAUUAAUUCUAUGCAGAUUGUAAGAGGCAUGACUAAUGAUUUUGCAAAAGAAAAAAAGGAGAAAAAGACAUUAAUGUUACAAAUUUACGAUUACAAUAAAUCUUGGAUAUUAAUGGGAGCUUUAUAUAUAGAGACAAAAACUUUCACUACAUUUCAACUUUGAAGGACCUCCACUAGUUUUUAAACAUGUCAAUGAGAGACAAAACAUAAAAAUAACUAAAGCCCAUCUCAAAGACAUGGAAUCAAUGUUUUAAAAUACCAGCCAUACCUCUAAGACUUUAAGGCUGUUACUAGAGCCUAGCCCUCACAACUCCAACAAGUCAAUAUGUGCCAUAAGCUUAACCCAUCCUCGACUAUUUUUACAGAAUCAAUUUUCAAAAUAUAGGUAAAAUUAGUUUGAAUCCCUUUUACUGGAAUCAGUUCAAUCAGUCAUCGUCAUGAGUGGAUAAUUUUGUAAUAAUAAGGCACUUAUUUGCCAUAAUUAUGGUGCAUAAUUAAAUUCGUUAACAUAAUUAGUGUGUUGCGACACAUUUGUCAACAUUUUGGUAAUAGUAUGUCACUUAUUUGUCUACUUGGAAAUUAAUUUCAUAUUCAAGUUUUAUUUGGAGGUUUAAAACGUGAUGAGUUUUUAUCUAGAAAUAAGUAUUGCAAAAGGUUAUCUCUAAACAACCCUUAAAUUUCAUUGAUAAUAUUUCUCUAAGUAUCAUGUCCCACUAUGAUGAGUUAUUGAGGAAUGGGCAUCUUUCAACUUUGGUUUAUAUCUAGUUAAGAGUUUCUGUAAGUCUUUGUUAUAGUAGGAACAAGAUAAAGAACCCACUGUUGAAGUUUAACUUUCUUUUAUAAAUUCGUCCUAAAUUUAAUCCAAGAAUCUAUUUAAGAACCAACGGACAAUUUUCAGUAGUAGAACAAAUGUGUGGUAUUCGAGCAACAUGAUUUCCAGACCUCAUCAUAUAACAUGAGUCAAACCUCAACGGUCUUUUCAGUUUUAGAUUCACACCUUACAUGUCUUUGUCCUUUCCCCAUAUCCUUAUCAAUAAGCGUGUGAAAACUGAUAAGGAGAAACAGACAUUAAUGUUACAAAUUUACGAGGCAGGAUUUAUGAUUUUGCAAAACAAAAAAAAGCAGAAAAAGACAUAAAUGUUACAAAUUUUAGAUUACAAUAAAUCUUGGAUAUUAAUGAGAGCUUUAUAUAUAAAGACAAAAACUUUCACUACAUUUCAACUUUCAAGGACCUCCACUAGUUUUUAAACAUGUCAAUGAGAGACAAAACAUAAAAAUAACUAAAGCCCAUCCCAAAAACAUGAAAGCAAUGUUUUAAAAUACCAACCAUACCUCUAAGACUUUAAGGUUGUUACUAGAGCCUAGCCCUCACAGCUCCAACAAGUCAAUAUGUGCCAUAAGCUUAACCCAUCCUCGAUUAUUUCUACAGAAUCAGUUUUCAAACUAUAGGUAAAAUUAGGUUGUAUCAUUUAUUACUAGAAUCAGUUCAAUCCGUCAUGAUUAUUUUUGGAGAAUCAGUUCAAUCAGUCAUCGUCAUGAGUGGAUAAUUUUGUAAUAAUAAGGCACUUAUUUGCCAUAAUUAUGGUGCAUAAUUAAAUUCGUUAACAUAAUCAGUGUAUUGCGACACAUGUGUCAAUAUUUGGGUAAUAGUAUGUCACUUAUUUGUCUACUUGGAAAUUAAUUUCAAAUUCGAGUUUUAGUUGGAGGUUUAAAACGUGAUGAGUUUUUGUCUAGAAAUAAGUAUUGCAAAAGGUUAUCUCUAAACACCCUUAAAUUUCAUUGAUAAUAUUGCUCUAGGUAUCAUGUCCCACUAUGAUGAGUUAGUGAGUAAUGGGCAUCUUUCAACUUUGGUUUAUAUCAUGUUAAGAGUUUCUAUAAGUCUUUGUUAUAGUAGGAACAAGAUAAAGAACCCACUGUUGAAGUUUAACCUUCUUUCAUAAAAUCGUCCUAAAUUUAACCCAAUAAUCUAUUUAAGAACCAACGGACAAUUUUCAGUAGCAGAACAAAUGUGUGGUAUAUUCGAGCAACAUGAUUUCCAAACCUCAUCAUAUAACAUGAGUCAAACCUCAACAGUCUUUUCAGUUUUAGCUUCACACCUUACCUGUCUUUGUCCUUUCCCCAUAUCCUUAUCAGUAAGCAUGUGAAAACUGAAAAAGGGUAAAAAUUAUAGCCUGUUGUAUCACUUUCACCUUCUGAUUUUAGGUUAUAUAUAUCCAUACGCGCGUUUGAACGUGGAGACGAGAUGGCAUUGUCACAAAGGGUACCGAGACUACCCUUGGGCCAAAAAGACCAUGUAAAGGGAUAACAUCAUUUCACUAGUUUGCACCAGUUUUGGUAGAGACGAGAUGGCAAGGCCAGGUGGCACGAACACGAGGAAGAUUACGGAUUAGUGGAAGCAUUGCAUUUCAACCUUGCAUUCCAACACUUUACGUACAUGAAAACAAACUAAUUAAUGUCCCGAUUUCACACUGUAUGCAUUCAGAUCCAAAACUUGCUGCACAUAGAUAUUUAACGAGGACACUGAUAUGAAAUAGAGCGCUAGGUGAAUGCAAUGAUACAAUGGGAUCAAGAAAUAGGCAAUUUAGAAAUGACCACAAAAUAAAAAAAAUGGAACUGCCAGAUCUCAUGAUUUUUCAUUAGGAGACUUUGGAUGACGUUUGUAGCUAUGAAUAUUCUUUGACUAAAACCUUAUUGGUUUUCAAAUUUUUAUCGAAGUCCUUGAAAUUAAUGUGAUAAUUUAUUUCUAUGUAUGUUACUAUAUUUUUUAAAUUAAAAUUUAUAGUUGUUUAUAUUAAUGAGAUUUUAAAUAAAAACCAUAAUUUGUGGGAUUAAAAAUAUUAAAAUAUAAAUAUACUAUUGUGUGUGUGUAUAAACAUGGGUACAUUCAUCAAAAUUAACCAAAAAAUUAUUGUACCAAAACAUGGGUACAUACUUUAAAAUCACAAAAGGAAAAAAAAAAGAUAUUUGGCUUACUAACAUUAGUAAAUUUCUUCAAUGAAACUUGACAUGGAUACAUUCUCAAAUCAAAGAAAAAAAGAAUGUACGUACCCAUAUAAGUUUAAAAAUUGAUUUAAAAAAAUUGAAUAGAUUUUAUAUAAAAAAAGUACAUUUUACAUAUAACAAAUUGGUGUAUUUAAGAAUGAAUACAUUUUAAGAUUAAAAAUUUGAAAAAGUUACAUGAAUGGGUACAUAUAAUUUUUUAUUUAUUUUGGAAAUCUUUUGAAUUGAAAAAUAGUUAGGAGUUUAAUAAAGGUGUGGGUAUUAAAAUUCUAAAUCAAUUAUUAAUUUUAUUUUAAAAAAUUAUGUAACUAACAUGUAAAUUCAUUAUUACAUUAAUGUUAGAACUUUGAUCAAAAUCUGAAAACUAAUAAGGUUUCAGUCAACGAACAUUAGUAAUUAGGGAUUGGAUACUAAUUUUUCUUUUUUUAUUUUUGCUUUGUACAAAAACGUAUUUGGCUCAAUCUAAUGUUGAAGAGUCAAUGAACCUGUGUAGAAUAUUUAAUACCUAAUUGUUCAAUGAACCUAAUUAACACUCAUCCCCGGCAAUACACUCCGUUGGCCAAAUAUUUCAAGGAAAUAUUUUUUAAUCCAAAGCACCGCUAGCCCGACAAGAAGUUCGUCAGAAAAACUGGACUAAAAUCAUUUUAAAUAAAAUUUAAUUUUUGCACGACGACAUAUUUUGGUCGGGUCAAAACAUUUUCGCCACGCCUCAAUGGUCAAUGCAUACUUACUCGAUGAACGUUCAUGGGGUGAGUUUAUAUUGCCCGACGAAUAUUUAUUUUCGUCAGCAAAAGUGUCUUUAAUUUUGUCCAACGGGACUCUGUCGCCUUAAACCCUUCGCGGCGAACUCCUUCCUUACGAGACAUCGUCUCCUAAGUUGUUUUUGUUCUGUUGUAUAGAAAGGAGGAAAUGAACAUGCAUGUAACGUGCAAAUACUUAUUCAUAUAUGGUAUGUUGUGUUUAUUAUAACUUCUUUAAAAUAAACACUGACAUUGGUCAAACUGAAUUACAACAAAUAUCCUCAAGUAUUAUGCUUAAUAAAAAGUACAAAAUAAAAACAAUUUCCAUGUAAUACUACAAAAAAAAAAAAAAAAAAGGCAAUUGUUAAACGCUGACAUUGAUCAAACUGAGUAGGAGAAUACAAAAAACGAAAGGCAAUUUGUUAACCCAAGUAGGAAAAUACAUCAAUUAUUUGUAUCCAUUGAAAUCCAAAGAAUGAAAAAAAGAUCAUAAUAAAUUCUCCCUAUAUGUAUAUUGCCUCAUAUUUAACCUACUAUUUUUCUUACAUGAAUUUAUUUAUUUAGCUAAAAAGUAAAUAAAUAACAUUCAAAAAGGAAUUUAAACCUCUCAAGACAGCCGACAUGCAAUUGGCGUCCUCAUUUUCAGAUUAAAUCCCGUUCUUCUAUGUAUUACACCAAUACUGAGGUUGUAAAAUUUCGAUGGCCAUUAUAUAAUCUACAUUCAGUUUUUGACUUUAUUAUUUGUUUCUGUUUCAGUGUAUAUAACUUACCCGUGGAGAUAAUAAUGAACAAAGAACUUGAACCAUAUUCAUUAUUCACAUGUUUAAUUGUUCUGAUCUUCAAUCCACACCCUUCACGUGGCGACAUCGUGUAGAAAUGGUCCCCACUUUGAGGAUAGUGUACAAGCUCAGGUUAUAAAUAGGGCAGGCAUAUUGCAGGUGCUGCACUCACACAAGCCAAAUACAAUUACCCAGAAGCCAUCGUAUUCUUCUCUUUCCUGCCUUCAAACCCCCAAAGAGAGUCACAUGCUAGGUCUAGCAAACAUGUGGGCUGCCAAGGUGGCCUCAGUAGUUACCACUACUCAUCAACACAUUACUUGGCGAUCAUGAGCUUAGCCUAUUUACCAUGUCUGACCAGAAAAUCUUGGGAACAAAUUUAUGGUACUCAUGUUCAUGUUAUGCUAUGAAUCCUUUGAUGAUGAUUCUCUUUUCGGCAAUCACCGAAAAUAUCCUUAAGCGUGCUACCCAAAUUGUUGACAAAAUUGUGCAGGUAUAUAUUUUUAGCUUACAUGUAACGUAUGCACGAUUAUUAAACUGUCAAAUCAUUAUUAUAGUAUACCAAAAUUAUGUCACUAAUUUUAACCAAAUAACAUAACAUGCUCUUUUUUUCUUUCUAUAUUUUUUUAGGAGAAGUGAUGGAAUAUUUACGAGACUAUUUUAUAACACAAUAACAUAAUAUGUUAUUUUAUCUAAGAAAGCAGUACUCGUGCACUUAACUCACUUCUAUGUUACUUGUGCCUUGUUUCAGGGUACCCAAGUGCACGUGGAGAACAUAGAGGAGAACACACCCAAAGCAGGCUUCAGUGCACCAUUGUGCACACUAAAGUCCAUAGCCAGCGAGGUCAUUACCUGGGAAAUUAAAUACACACACACACACACACACACACACAUAAUGAUAUGUAUAUUUCUUGUAACUUUUCAUGUAUAUUCUUGAAUAUUCACACUAUAUCAUGGUUAAUCUUAAAAUUUCAGAUGCAAUGCAAGCCUCCUAGUGAGGAAGUUGCCCACAACACAACCCUGGCCAUACUGAACAAGCUAUCAAGCUAUUCAUGGGAAGCAAAGGCAGUGCUGACUCUAGCAGCUUUUGCCAUGGAAUACGGGGAGUUCUGGCUCCUCGCCCAGCUUCAAGAAUCAGACCGACUCGCCAAAUCAAUUGCAAUCCUGAAGCGAGUCCCCGUGCUCCUCAAGCCUCGACCUGCACAAGAAAAGACAAGCAGUGCUUGAACUUAACAAUCUGAUCAAGGCCACAUUGCAAGUGAUUGAGUGCAUCGACCAAUUCGAUAAGCUUUCCAGCUACGACCCAAAAGAUGUCCCAGCGUUGGCGCUAGCAAUGGACCAUAUUCCAGUUGAUGUGUACUGGGCUGUUGCCACUGUUGUUGCUUGUGCAACUAAGAUCACCAUCCUCACCUGUAAUGAGUAAGUUCUCCAUUGACCUUUAGGAAAUCGCUCUUUUUGCCAGACCGUGCAUCUGGUUGAAGUGAAGUUUCGUAAUCCAAAUUCACAGCCUAACAACUUAAUUUAGCAUUGGUCUGGCAAAUAAAAAUUAUUUGUUUAGUAGUUAAUAAAAUGACCAUGGUUGCCUUCGUUUUAGGGACAAGGAGCAUGAUCUAGCCCCAUUUGCUCAAAAAAUUCACUAUGUCCUAAACAAGCUUAAGAUCCAGCUUAUUGUCUGCAGAAAACAAAUUGGUGGGUUAAAUGGAGAUGUUUCAUUUGGAAUUAUUUUCUGUACUUGCACAAAUGAAACGCUCAAGAUAAUCUUUGUUUCAUGCAUGCAGAGGAGGCAGAGACUUACCGGAGGCUAAGGAAAAUCUUCCAAACUCCUACUGAAAUCAUGGAGGUUUUCAAGGCCCUGAUUUUUACCAAGGAAAAUGUCCAGCCGCUCGUUGAUGGUUCUACUAAACAAAUGGUUUGUUCUAGUCACAGUACUAUAAUGUGUAAUUGAAUUAUUUUUACCGCUGGCACUAUGUUGCUGCAAGGAAAAUUAAAGUUAAUAAUAUGACAGUAACGUACCAUAGAAAAAGAUGGCAGUAAAGUUGCUUAGGAGUACUUUUUUGUCAUACAAAAUUUCCAACGUAAUUUUCUUGGCAUGACUAAUUUAAUUGGAACCCUAAAAUGUCACGUGGAAUAUUAAUCUUUAAUAUGCAUGUUUGUAUAUACAAUUCAGUUUUUUCUACUGAGCUCCUAUGUGAUUAGUCAUAAUACUAUUUGAGCACGUAAAAUAAACAUCAUUAACUAAACACUAAAAUAACAUCAUUAUCAAAUAAAGGUGAGUGGUGCAAAACCAUUGUAUGUGAGACACACCUUUAAGGAGGAGUAUUAGCAAAGAAAAUCAGUUUUUGGUGACAUGAUUUUUCGGUUAGUCAAAUUGCUACUUAUUAAUUACUUACAACGUGCAUAAUUCAUUUAAACAGGUUAAAAUCGAUAUCCUGAGGAAGAAGAAUGUGUUGUUCAUUUCAAGCCUAGACAUCUCUGAUGAUGAUAUCUCAAUCCUCAAGCCCAUCUAUGAUAUGAUAAAGAAAGACAAUCAGCACAAGAUUGUGUGGAUUCCGAUUGUGGAGCAUUGGGACCGAUGACCGCCGAAAGAAGUUUGAGAGCCUCCGAAAUAAGAAUGCCAUGGUACACAGUCGAUUGCAGAUCUCGGUACACAGGCAUCAGAUCAGAUUCAUCAAGGAGGAGUGGAACUUCAAGGGUAAGCCCACACUAGUGGUGAUGAACCCACAAGGAAAGGUCGAACAUCCCAACGCUCUCCACAUGAUUAGGGUUUUGGGGAGUCAAUGCUUUCCCUUUCACAAAGGCAACUGAAGAAGAGCUCUCACAAUGGUCACGGAGAUAAAUGGAUUGGCACUGUUGUCCAAGGGGUUAGCCAAUCUGUUACGGUAAUUUUCCUUUUAACUGUUUAAAUAUGAGGACCGCUAUUUCAACCACAUUUACUUACCACAUUAUUAACCACCUUUCUAAUACAACUUAAUCUUACAUAUAUAAGCGUGGAUACAAAAACACAUGUUAUUUUUACCGUACCGCCUCUUUAAUAAAGGUGUAAUAAUAAUGAAACAUAUUUUUGGCAAGAAGUAUAAAAUAACAAAACAAAUUAUAAUUGACGGAGAAGUGUAAAAUUGUACAAGACGCAACUCUCCCUUUAAUAGAAAUUAGUAUAGAAUAGCAACGGUCCUUAAAUCUAGAAUACAUUUCGUUAGUUAAGUUUGUGUGGUUGAUCUAACUAUGGCUUGGUCAAACAGAUCAAAGAGGACAAGUACAUUUUCUUCUAUGGUGGCAAAGACAAUGGUUGGAUUCAAGAGUUCACAAAGAAAGCAACUGCCCUUGCAAAUGAUCCCAUCUUCAAGGAGGCAAAGAUUCACAUCGAGUUGUUCUGCGUGGGAAAAGGAAGCAAGGGAGAAGAUGACCAUGGCAUCCUCGGGAAGUUCUGGACUGGCAUCGAAAGCUUGUUCUUCACCAAGGUUCACAGGCCAGCCGACCAAGUCGGUCAAGAAGUCCAGAAGCUACUUUCUUACAAAAACGAAAGUGGAUGGGCUGUGCUCAGCAAAGGGCAUUCUGUGGUGCUCACCGGCCACGGUGUCUCGAUCUUGAGGGUGGUAGAGGACUUUGACAAAUGGAAGGACCAUGUGAAAGAGAGGGGCUUUGAGUUUUGCUUCAAGUCAUACCAUGAGAGGGUUCGCACUGUGAGUCGACCUUGCUGCCGCCUUGAUAUUCCGGGCUCUACCGGGAAGGUUCCAGACACCAUGAAGUGUCCUGAUUGCCACCGGAGCAUGGAGACUUUCAUCAGUUACAAGUGUUGCCACAUUGAUGGUCCUACUGCACAUCACUAAGUUCUCGGUCUCCUUCCCUUUACUACUUCAAGUGUGAUGUUGGCUAGUCUAAUAAGUUCAGAGUAGUAUGUUGUAAUAUCUAUAUAAAGGGCAACCUAGUUAGCUCAUGCAUGGUGAUACUUGAUGCCUAAUUAAUGGGGACUAGUAUGCUUAUGUAAUUGUCUUCCUGAGUAUGUUUUCAUGGUAUGUAGCUGCUACUUUAUGUAAUGUAAUGUUUAUUUGAAUAAUUUGAGAUGUCUACAUUUCCCUUGGUGUGUAUAUGAAUUAUCACUUACUUCAAAUUGUUCUGACUUAUAUUUGAGGAAAAUAACUUCAAAUCUAAGUCCUUGGACGUUUUAAAAAUUCAAGAAAUCAUCAAACGUGUUUCCAAGCUGAUUGAUUGAAGUUCCUUCAUCACCCUUGCGCGCAAUUACAGUUAGUAAAAAAGUUGAGUUUGAGGUUACCAACUUUUCGUAAUUAGCUUAGCUAAGUCCCACUAGAACCUACAUUAUAAAACCAAUUAUCCAUACAAAACUUGUAAACGAUUCAAAAUAUAAACCAUAUAUAAUGUAUGUGUUUAGAGGGACAAAUAAAAUAAAAUGAGAAUCCUAGUUGCUGUUAAGGAAUUUGACUCCGAGUUUGGCCAAUUGAAUAUAGGUGUUAAAUUUUCUUCAUGUCUAAUAGAUUUGUCAAAUAUUUAUUUUAUUAAUAUUUUGGGCCCCAUAGUUACAUUAAGUAUUAAAAAAUAAUUCAAAUUGAUUUUAGUUUUCAUCCUGUUAGUUGUCAAUGGAACCCAUGCAUUAAAAAAUAAAUUAAAGGCAUUUGACUCCAUCUUUGUUUGUUGUAUAAAAAGGUAGCUAGAAAGUAAGGAGUUAAAUAACUCAGCUGCCACGUCAAUUAUGGCAUCUCCAUUAGAGGAAACCUUGAUGUCUAAAUUAUUAUACUUCUUUACCGACAAAAUUGGCAUAAUUGUUGAAAUAAAUACUCAAAAUUGAAAACAAAAUUGAAAGCUUACAUAAAUCAAUCUUCAUGUACCCCAAGGUCGGUCUCAAGGGUAUGCAACUGGUGCCACCGCACAAGGCCCCGAUUUUUCUUUUUGACAUGUAUGUAUAUAUUGUAGAAAACUAGCAUACUAUGUAUUUAGCGCAAGUGGCAUUUGUGCUUGGUUUCUUGUCCAAUUGUUGGAAACUUUUGUUUACUUUUCAGUUUUUAUGUACUAAAGGCAUGUUUACGUAUAUUGAAUGAAUUUCUAAGAAAGGGGUACCAUUCCUAUAUUUUGUGUUACUAAUAACCAAGGAUUUGACGUAAAGCAGCUCACCGUUCCAAGGUUUUGAUAGGAUUGGCGCUCAGCCGAUGUGCUCCUUUAGUUUGUUGAAUGCCUGUUGACAUUCCUCCGUCCAUUCAAUCGUUCACAUAGCUCCAUGGAAUGCCUUGAAAAUAAGUAGGCACCGGUCCGUUGAUCUCCAGAUGAACUGGCUCAAGGCCGCUACUCGUCCGGUGACGCUCUACAUCUCCUUCUUUGUUCAUGGUGAUGCCAUAUUGAUGAGGGCCUAUAUCUUUUAUUGGUUGACCUCUAUCCCUGUUUGUCUUACCACCCCAAAAACUUCCAUGAGCCGACCGCCAAGGCGCAUUUCACAGGAUUCAACUUCAUCCCGCAUGUGUUGAGGAUGUUAAACACUUUAGUUAGUUCUGCCACAUGCUAGUUUUCUUUUCUGCUCUUCACAAGCAUGUCUUCCAUAUAAACUGUAAUACCCGGAAAAUUUAAAUAUAUAAAUAUGUGAGGAGCAAUAAAAAAAAUAAUCGAUUUAUGGUUGUGAAAAUUUAAUUGAGAAAUUUAAAAAAAAAAUUUCUUCUAGAAAUUUAUAUAAUUUAAGUCGUAAAAUUUUAUCUGGAUAAGGGGAAAAGACGAAAAUGGCCCUAGUUGGCUAAAGUUAAUUAUACGAGGACAUAUUUUAUCCUCAUAUUUUCUAUCGUAUUUCUUGACAUAUUUGGAUAUAGCUCGACCUCACGAACACGUAGGCGCAAACCGUUUGUGAAAUGGAAUUAUAACGAAUAAGUUUUUAAUGAACGAAGUUAGGGGCAAAAUGGUAAUCUAAUCAUUAAUCUGGAAGGCUCCAGAUUUGUUGGAGAGUGGAUAUGGUGCCAUGUGUGUGGCUGAGAUUGAAGGAAUGGAAGAGAAAGGAAAAGGGGGCUGCCAAUCGAAGAAAGGGAAAAAGAAGGGAGGGCAAAUGAGAGGAGAUAGCAAGGAGGGCAAGGAGAAAGAGUGAGAACUAGCCAACCACACCCAUGACCCGGUUCCAUAUUGCGACCCAGUUUCAAAUCGAUUGUGUUUGUUGAUUUUUCCGUCGUUUUCCAGCGAUCCAAGGCUUGCCACAUCCUGUGCUUGACUCCACGACCCUCCUUCAAGUUCCACCCCAAACCCGAUGGUUUUUUAUGGUGGUUUCUUGGAAAUAGCCCCAACGACGCCAUGGGGAGACUGACGGAAAUCUGCCACUUCUAAAGGUGAUUCCUUUAAUCACCACUACCCCUAGACACCUCUUGAACCCAAGAACACACCCCAAACAACUAUAAGAGCGGCGGAGUACCGGAUGUGAUGGAUUGAAGUCACCCAUUUCUAGGGUUUCCGGUAAUUUCGAGGGAAAUUGGGGCUUUUCCCGGCCAAAUUGGACUUGGCCACAAGUAUAAAACUUACUCUACUCAUUAAGAUCUUCAUUUCAGUAAAAUUUGGAAAUUUUUAGAGUUAGUUGGAAAAAUUGGGUUUCCGUUCACCGGAAACCGCCACCUACAACGGCGCAUGGCCAGAGGACUGAAGCUGUCCUUUUAAGUUAAUUUCGAUAUUCUUAAUGCAUUUAUGAUAUGCAGUUGGUGUGAAUCAUUUGUUUGAACCUAGUUCCGUGAUUGGUAGUCACUUGUUUGAUUUUGGAAAUGGAUUAAAAGCAACUGGUGAACUACAAAAGGCUUGAUCCUGCAUCAAGGUUACGUAGGCUGUCUAACAGGGGUUAGAUAUAGUCUUAAAUAACUGAGAGUAAUCUUUUGUGGGAAUGUGAUUGAAGAAAUGAAAUUUUGAUGAUUAUUUGGAAAUUAAAACUGAUGGUUUAGUAAGUAAAUUUUUGGUUAGAUUUUGUGAGUGAUUAAGAAAUUUUAAAUAAAAAUUGUGAUCAAUUGGUAGUUAAUUAAACAAGAGUUUAAUUUUGGCCUACCACCGAAAUCAUUUUCCGAAAUAAAAUUUUAGGGUCGGGGCGUUACAUAAACCUCCAUCGUCUUCCCUACACGUCUUAUUGUCUUGGUCGGUCGAGUGCAUGUAGAUCUAGUUGUUCUCCUAUAAAGCAUUGAGGAAAGUUAAAAGUUCGCAUCCUGUCGUAGCAUCCAAGAGUCGGUUGAUACUUGGCAACGGAAAAUAGUUCUUUGAAAAUACCCAUUGAAAUCCAUGUAGUCUAUACAUAUGCACAAUUUGGUCAGUUUUUUUACUGUCGUUGCUUUUUUUACCACCAUUACAUUUGCCACCCACCAUGGGUAAUCUACCUUUAUGAUGAAACUGAUUCUAAGCAGUUUGUCUACCUCAACCAAUAUGGCCUCAUAACCUUUUGCGUAAGACUGUUGUUUAUGCCGAAUAGGCCUUCAAUGUGGAUCAAUACUGAACUUAUGAGAGAUGACACUCAAAUCUAUUCCGGGCAUAUCUGCAUACGACCAGGCAAAUACAUUAGUGUUGGCCCUUGACAAUUUUAUCAGCUCUGCUUGGACUUUCACAAUUAACUUUGUGUUGAUCAUGACAGUCUAGUCGGACAUUCUCCUAACAACACAAUUGUUUUCAAUUCUUUCAUGAGCUCAGGUAUUCUCGGAUCUCGUCGUCUCUCGAGUUAGGUGUUGCUGUCUUUCAGUUGAGGGGAGAUAAAUUCCGUCGAGCGCCCGGGUAUGAUAUAGAGUUCUCCCCGCUACUCUUCUUAUCUCACUGGCCAUACGGCUACAAAUAGGUUGAGCAUCAUUUUUUCUUCUCUGGUUCAUCAUGAUAUCUAACAUGGUGAUUCUUCCUUGCCGCAAAGUGUGUCUUGGAUUUGCUGGGUAGAAAUAAAAACCAAAUUGUAUGCAUUUCUUACAGACAGCGCUAAACUACUAAGGUUCUAAAUUUGCAAGUCAAACACAGACGAAUCCAGGUGUAUACUCACAAAUUUUAAACCUGAUAAUCAAAGGUGUUUAACCCUUGGUAGGCUUCAGGAUGUUGAUUGAAAAUGAAAUGGACCCAGACUUAAAUGGUUCACCCCACAAAACUAAGGUUCAUUCAUAAUGUUGCAUGAAUUCUAUGAAGGAGAAUAUUUGAUAAACUAAGUUCAUUGAGCAACACAAUACAUACAUUUAACAAUUAAAUGGUGGAAGCAUGCUUGUAUGCACUUUAAAACAAAACUUAAACUACGAAAUUCAAAGCCUAGUAGUAGAGGUGAACCAAGACUUAACUUUAAACACAAAGAGAGUUUAGAAACAUUAUACCUUUGAACACAAUGAGUGACAAUGGAAGAACAAAAUGCUAUCAAUGUUCUCCAUGGUGGCUAGCCUAUCUAAGGAAGGAGAUAGUUUGUGUUUCUCCCUCUUUGCCUCAUAGAAAAUCCUAAUGAGGGAUGGAGUUACAAAGUUACCUUUAUACCUCAUUCUAAGUGAUUAGCAAACUUGUAAUAAGUAAACCAUCACUCCUUUUCGCUUUGGCUAGUUUAUGUAGUUAUGUUUGUUAAUUCUCAUUUUGUUUUAGUUGUCAUAGAACUUAACUCAAUGGGUCUUGUGGACCAAAACUCAUUUUGGGUCCUAAAACAUGAAACUUAUUUAAAGCCUGAUUUGAACAUUUCGCAUGAUUAAUUAAUAUAUUAAUUAAUCUUUGUCAUAUACAAUUAAACUAUUUAAUUGUCCUUACUUAUCUUCAUUAUAUUCGUCAAUUAUUACCCUACACAAUGUGCGACCCAUUUGGUUCCUUUUAGCGAGACAGUGGGCAAUUAGAACUCUUAGUCUUUUACUAGUUGAUUGUGAAUUGAAACUUACAUUCAAUUCUCCUUUUAGUGAUUAUACAUCUUCAAGGCUUCCACAAACCAUGAGCAACACCUAGCAGCAUGUUAUGGCUACUCAAGCUAAUCAAAAGAGGUUGGAGAACCUAUUCAGUUUCGUAUUACAAUGCAAUAUGGUCUUUCAACGGUUUAAAGGGUAGAAAUCCUUUGUUGCACCUUUGUUGCACAUUCACACGUCUCCAUGAUUAAGUGGUUUAGCCCUAACUAUGCAUGGACAAUAUCUAAUGGAGUGCCUUUAACAUAGUCAGAGAUUAAAGACCUAACCACAAGACAACUAUGAUGUCUCAAGUCAAAGGACUACUUUGCAUUAUUUCAAUUAUGAGUUCUCAUGCGACAUGAGUAUGAGAACUCCUUGUCGAUCACAUUCAGUGGAUGCACUCUUUAUUAAGCACCUACAUACUUGUCUUAGUGUCAUUCACACCAAUGACUCGAGACCAGUCACUCUCCUCGAGAGAAGACAUAAUAUGUACUAAUCUACAAGAAUCAUUAAUGCUAUAUUAGCAAUCCUAUGAUCAAGAACAUUUAGGAUAUGUGUAUGAAAUAGAAUGGUCUGGUGAAUCUUAAUUCUUUAGAUCAUUCUCCUAACUACAUAUUCCUUGGAGUUAUCGUUUAAGCGUAUAACAUUUAAUAGGACGGCUUUAAACCAUAAUCUUUACCUUUACACUGAACUAAUUUAGUUUAACAUGUGAAAUUUCUGUAAAGUAUCAUCUUACGAUUGAGUUAGGCAUAUUCCCAACAUUUUAUUGAUUAGCGGUAAGCUAAUACAUCAAUUUCUCUUUCUCAAAUCGUCUGACCUCAAUAUUGAGGGUUGCAACCCCUUUAUAUAGGCUUUUAGCGAACCCCUGUCCCUUGGGCUCUCCCUAACGAGCAUUUAAUGCACCACUCUUUGUAGGCUUGACCCCUGACACCUUUUCGCCAGCUAGCUUGGCAUUCGACGACAAAGAUAUGGGUAUCCAGUCCAGUGCACUCCUGCCCAAAAUAAAGUAGUCCAUUUCUCUGAGUCGGCCUCGGUUAUUCAGCCUAAUUUGUCCGAACGCCACUCCGACAUACUUUGUGUCCCAUCCGGGUCCUCGCCUUUUGACUUCAAGUCAUCCAUUAGUUUGAAUGACAUAUGAGCAGACCUUUUCACGAGGACUUGUGCAUCAAAGUUGUCAGUCUACCCAUAUGCUUUCAUCGGUCAGUGUUCAAUGUAAAUGUCAAUCGGUUGGCAUUGAAGCACUCGGGCAUGUUCUAUUCCAAGCUUGCCAGCCCUUGGGCCCAUUCCCAAUUUGGUACUUCUUUAUGGUUCUUAAAGUGCCCAUCAUUAACAAGGUACUCAAUAGAGAAUGAGUUCAUUAAACACGAUCAAACAUGACUUCACGUACUCAUGUCAUAUGAGAACUGACUAGUUAGAUAAUGCAAAGUAGUCAUUUGAUAUGAGAUUCCACAAUUGUCUUGUGGAUACGUCGUUGAGCAUUGGAUGAUGCAUCACAACCUUAUGGUUUGUCCACACAUUGUUCGGAUAACUGAUUUAUCCACAGAGGCAUGUAAGUGUACCAAAAGGGAUCUCUAGUCUUAAAACGAUUGAAGGAUAAUACUUUAUGAUAUGAUUCAAAGGUCUCUCGGCAGAGUACAUGAAAUGAUUAUAAAGUACAUUCCAAAUCACAUUCACAAUAAUCAUAUAGACAAGACAAUCACAUUGGACGAUAGACAUAAAUAAACUAUCAACCAAGCAAUGUGAUCAAGACAAUUGAUAUAGAGAAUGAUCAUAUUGCGUUGUAAUUCCAAGCUGAAUACAUUCUCCACCUCUUCUACUUAGCUUGUGUAGCCAUGACAUACUACUAGGUGUCACUUUUGGCUUGUGGAAGCCUUGAAUAUUAGCAAUCACUAAUCAUAAUCAAAGGAAAAAUUGAAAGACAGUUUUAAUUCACAAUCGAUUAGUAAGAGUUCUAAUUGCUCACUACCUCGCUAAUUAGAACCUAAUGGACGUUCACCGUGUAAGGUAGAAACUGAAGAAUACAACGUAGUUGAUUAAGAACAAUUAAGUAGUUUAAUUGUUUAUGAUGAGAUUAAUUAAUAUGUUAAUUAAUCGAACAUAUAAGUUCUAAAUAGGCCUAAGGUUAGUUUCAGGUUUCAUGGCCCAUUGGGAUUAAUUUGCUAAUUUGAUCCAAAUCACAAAUGGCCUAAAGGACCAAGGAUUGUCCAAAACCAGCCAUAAAGAAAAGGAUAAGGUGUUCACAUAUAUGUGAGCCCUAUAUAAGAGACUUCAUACUUCCGUCCUCACUUUGGGUUUUAUGUGAGAAAAGAGAGAUCGAGAGAAAACAAACCACUCGUCCCCUACACCAUAGCCAGCCACAUAGGAGGAAGAUUGCUUGCACUAUAUCUUCCUUCCAUGUCACUCAUCUCUUCUUUACAUCCUACUUUGGUGUGGAGACUUAGAGGCUUCCUUUCUUGGAAACUUUGGAGAUUCCUAUUUCACCAUCCAAAUCCAAGAAGCCAGAGUUCCAAAGGAGCAAAGGAGAGCAAAUGAAUGAAGACCAUCACUUGGGGGCAAUAGCCUUUGCAAAUGCAAACAGGAUCUACAAAGUUGUAAUGGUUUUUAGCUCUCUUGUGAAUUUGAGUUGAGUCAAGGUUCACCACACUACUAAGCUUUGAAUUUUAUGAGUAAAAUUUGUUUUUGAAUGCAUAUGAGUUAGCUUUCGCCUUUUAAUUGUUAAUUAUGCUAUGUAUGUUGCUCAAAUAAUCUUAGUUUAGCUAAUUUUUUUUCUUUCAUACACGCGCUCCACGUCACCUCAUUCGCAUCCAUGUGUUUGGUUUGAAAUUUCGUCACUCGUGAAAGAGCGUGUUAAGUAUGAAUUCCACUUUAGUGAGAGAAAUGACCUUACAUGAGCUUAUAACAAAUAAAUAGAAAACUAUAUUUUAAUCCCUAAUAAGAUGAAGUUUAGAUUAGUUCCUGGUAUAAGAUUCAAAAUUAAGUUUAGUCCCUAUAGGUUCUAGUUUGAAAUUUCAUGAUUUUUCUUUUUCAAAGUUUACACUAAUUCAUUAUAAUAAAAAUUCAGAAUAAUAAUUUGAAAAAUGUGAAAAGAAUACAAACGCAUGUGGUUGCAUCCUUUACGCUUACAUGAUGGUUAUAUUGUCAUUUAGAUUUUUAAAACUCUCCAAACCCUCAUAAAUAGUGUUUAUUGUUGUGUGCAAAAUUAAUGUAGAAGUGUGAAAAAUGUAAAAACAUAUACAAUCAACUCCGAAAUUCAACCAUAAUCCAUAAUCUCUUAUAUUUAACCGUCGAUUGUUGUUUACACUAUAUUCUUCUCACUAUAUUUCAUUUUUCAGAUUUUAUCUUUUGUAAACAUGAUCUUUUAAUGAAUGUAUAAAAAUGAAUGGUCGGACUGUUGAUAUCACGUUCCGAUGUUUAUGAUGAAUUAAAUAUGAGUCGAUGUUAUAUACUUUCUAGAGACUUUAUAACCUCCGAGCAAUAUUUUUACUAACCUUAAAAAUGUGAAUGUGAUAUCAACGAUCCGAACCGAUCAUCUUUUUGCAUCCGCUAAAGGAUCAUGUUUUAAAAAAAAAUUUGAAAAAACAAAAUUCGGUAAGAAGAAUGAGCGUAAGUGUAAAUUACAAUCAACUGUUAAAUUUAAAUCUAUGGUUUAUGGGAUUAUGGUGGCGAAUUUCGGAGUUGACAUCUUCAAAAAGUUGUAGAGCUUCUCAUUACGAGCAUUGUAUAUACUUUUUAUAUUUUCUUCACACGUCUACAUUAACUAAAAUCCCAAGAGACAUUCUUUGGAGGAUUUUAGAGAAGAAAGGAGUACGAGUAGCAUAUAUCCAAGCUAUAAAGGAUAUGUAUGAAGGAGCAAAGACUGCCGUAAGAACUCAUGAAGGACAAACCGAAAGCUUUCCCAUAACUGUAGGAUUACAUCAAGGCUCAUCCUUAAGUCCUUACCUUUUUGCGUUGGUAAUGGAUGAGUUAACAGGACAUAUUCAAGAUGAUAUUCCUUGGUGUAUGCUUUUCGCAGACGAUAUAGUGUUGAUAGAUGAAACUCAGGAAGGGGUAAAUGCAAAGCUUAACCUUUGGAGAGAAGUGUUGGAAUCUAAAGGUCUUCGCCUAAGCCGAUCAAAGACAGAAUAUAUGGAGUGCAAGUUCAGUGCAAAUGGAGGCCAAAACGAGUUAGGGGUGAGGAUCGGAGAUCAAGAAAUACCAAAGAGCGACCGUUUUCGUUACCUAGGAUCUAUCUUGCAAAAGAACGGAGAAUUAGAUGGAGAUCUCAACCAUAGAAUACAAGCUGGAUGGAUGAAGUGGAAGAGUGCAUCCGGCGUGUUGUGUGACCGCCGUAUGCCACUGAAGCUCAAGGGAAAAUUUUAUAGGACGGCAAUAAGGCCGGCGAUGCUGUAUGGCACAGAAUGUUGGGCGGUGAAACAUCAACACGUACACAAAAUGGGUGUAGCGGAGAUGAGGAUGCUUCGUUGGAUGUGUGGGCACACGAGAAAGGAUAAGAUUAGGAAUGAGGAUAUCCGGGGUAAAGUAGGAGUAGCCGAAAUUGAAGGAAAGAUGAGAGAAAAUCGGUUACGGUGGUUUGGACAUGUGCAAAGAAGGCCUACUGACGCUCCGAUUAGAAGAUGCGACUAUGGGACAGAGGUUCAGGGCCGAAGGGGUAGAGGAAGACCUAGGAAAACUUUGGAAGAGACUCUAAGAAAAGACUUAGAGUACUUGGAUCUAACGAAGGACAUGACACAGGAUCGAGCACAAUGGCGUUCUAAGAUUCAUAUAGCCGAUCCCACUCAGUGACUUGGAUUUUCCAAGUCUCCAACCGAGAAGUUUUCCUCACUCGGGAAAUUAAGGGAACACUACCCCAACCUACAUGCUCCACUCAGAAAGCUUCAACAUACAAGCUUCAACAAAAGAAAAUUCAAAGAACUUAGCGAAGAAGGCUUUGGUGUAUUUAACACAAUACGUUGAAAUGAAGGAAAAAGCUUAUUUAUUGAUAUCCCCGAUAAGCUACAAAUAUGUACAUAUACAUGAGUCAAAAUAAACACACAAGAGGGAGCCUUCACAAAGGUUGCUUAGGAGAAGUCUCAGCAGUCGGUAGAGCCCCAGAAAGAGAAGGCACCGGAGGGGGAUCAUUUGGAGCCUCAGUACUGGACAGAACCCUAGAAGGAGGAGGCAU